UGUGUGUGUGCGUGCGUGUGUGGCAUGGUCGCGUGUGUAGUGUGUCUGGCCAUGGUACGACCGUGUGUGUUUUGGCUAGGUGGUUAGCUACAAGGGUGGCCGUGCAUGUAGCUGACUGGCGGGUUGUUAGUGCGUGCGUUGGUCAGUUGGCGAUGGAGCCGGAGGGUGACCGCGUCCAGGACUGUUUGGUGGCCGCGUCGUCUGUGUACGGGCGCGACGAGAGCGCGAGCCAGGUACGGCGUGGGAUGCGGGGCGUGGGCGAGUGCGUGCGUACAAGCACACGUAUAAAGCCCAGGUGGCCUCUGUGUAUCGCUGGCUAUGGCCGGGCUGAGUUUGUGCUCACGGGAAAAAGGUGUUCGUGCGCCUGGAAACUUGCCGUGUCCUUGUUCUUCCUUCUCCUUCCUCCUUCUUCUUCUGUUGAUCUAGUUCAGAGAAAGAGAGAGAGGUGCAGCGUGAGAGAGAGGUAAAGCUAGGGCAUAGCCACGGCAACAACAAUUGGUAUACAGAGCCACAGGUUUGGGGGGCGGCCGUGGCGUGUGGCCGUGUCCGCGGUGCGCACGGCGAGCGUGACGGAGAUGGAGGCUGCGUCCGCGGCGAGCGCGGCUGACAUGGACGUGUCGGCUGCGAUGGGCGGCCAUGCACGGUGAUGCCGUGCGCGCAACGAGCAGCGGCAAUCGCGGAGACGAGGAGGUCGCGGAGGAUCUGCGUGGUGGCGCAGAGGCCGCGAAGGCUCGGCGCGACGAUCGUGGAGCCGCUGCGCUGCGGUUGACGGCGCAGCGGUGCUAGGGCAAUAAGUGCGGCGGCGAGCCGGGCGUGACCAGUGCGUGUUAUGGGUGCGCACUGGACGCGUCGGGCACGUCGGGACUGCGGGAGUGGACCGUGUCGAGGCGCUGGACCUGGUUGCGCAGAUCGUGUACGUGCACGGAGGGAGCGCGGGCCAGGAGCGCGGGGACAUGGGGAGUGCGCGCGAAGGGCACGGCGGCACGGUGGCAGGCGUGGCAGCGACGUCAGGGCGGUGGCGGCUACAAUGACGACGACGUCGACGGCGCGGCUGAGCGCGCACUGCUGGCGUGGCGAAGGCAGCGGAGGACUGACCGCGUCGGGGCGCUGGACUCAGGCCGUGGCGACUGCGUGCGUGCGCGUCGUGUACACGAGUUUGGGAGCGUGGGACGUGCGGUGCUGCGUGGUUGAGGCGGUGCAACGGCCAUGGCGCGACGUCAACGACGAGCCUGACAUAUGCAAGGUCAUGGCUUGGGGCGUGAAUGUUAGCAGCAAGUUAUGCCCAUGUGUGUGUGCGUGCGUGUGUGGCAUGGUCGCCUGUGUAGUGUGUCUGGCCAUGGUACGACCGUGUGUGAUUUGGCUAGGUGGUUAGCUACAAGAGUGGCCGUGCAUAUAGCUGACCGGCGGGUUGUUAGUGCGUGCGUUGGUCAGUUGGCGAUGGAGCCGGAGGGUGACCGCGUCCAGGGCUGUUUGGUGGCCGCGUCGUCUGCGUACGGGCGUGACGGGAGCUAGCGCGAGCCAGGUACGACAUGGGAUGCGGGGCGUGGGCGAGUCCGUGCGUACAAGCACACGUAUAAAGUCCAAGUGGCCUCUGUGUAUCGCUGGCUAUGGUCGGGCUGAGUUUGUGCUCAGGGAAAAAGGUGUUCGUGCGCCUGGAAACUUGCCGUGUCCUUGUUCUUCCUUCUCCUUCCUCCUUCUGUUGAUCUAGUUCAGAGAAAGAGAGAGAGGUGCAGCGUGAGAGAGAGGUAAAGCUAGGGCAUAACCACGGCAACAACACUCAUGCCCGAAUUAAUUAUGGGUUAGUCAUGUACGAGGACGAUCGACCUAGCUAAAAAAACUUACGUACUGUCGACACGCGCUAUGUGUUCUGAGGAAUUUCUCACUGACAAAAAUCUCCCGGUCGAGCAGCAAACUUGAGCACAGGGGUUCAUCCUACGCUACGAUGCAUUCUUCAUCGAGCAGUGUGCAUUGGAAUUUAUUCAAAUCCGGCAACUGACUCACACAUGCGUGAUGAGACCUUGUUGCAGAUUAAGUUGAGACUCCUCUUUGGUUACUAAUGAUCGUGGUUGGUUGUGUGCUAAUCUGAAGCCUUUGUUUAAACAGAUUGAUUGUCUGAAAACUUAUCUGUAUACGGUUUAAACUAAACCAGAAUAACUCUCUAUACAUAUAUAUUGGUCUCUACCUUCUGGUCUCAACAAAGAGCCGCUCAAUUUUCUCAGGAGCCUAUAUAUUUAAUUGGCUACAGUUUGAUGGUGCAAUAAAGCUAAAUAAGAAACCUUGAUAAGCCUAGAUCAGUGCUAUGUCUAUGUCGAUCAGUGACUUGAUUAGUUUGAAUAUUUGGUACAUGCUUAGCCAAAACCUAGGACUCCUAACGUCAGAGGACACUUUACACGAUUGGGACAUAUGGUUUAAUUACUUAGCGGAUGAUACUGCAUGCAUCAUUAUCUCUUGGAUGUUUAAUAAGGUACAGGUCGAAGAAGCUUAUUUCAACAGUACGUGCAAAAAUAUCUCCCGAGAUAAGCUUAGGGUAUCAAUCACUGACCUAUAUGCUUUGUCUGACUUAGCCCAGAGUGGUAUUAGCAGUAGUACUUGAUGAGUUAUCGUCGUGGAAGACUAGAAUGUUCCACGAGUAAUAUAUACAAUCGAUGAAUGCAACCGGGCACACACGUACAUCUCCUACAGUAAUCGAUCAGCUUUUCUUCACAGUAAUCAAUUGUUUGGUUGAUUUUACCGAGGACACCGGAUCAUCAUCACCAUCUGGUGAGUAAACGUUAACAAUGGCUUAAUCAACUGUAGCUUUUCAGUUUUUUUAACAGCGACUAACUCGAUGUGCAUUAGUUAGGAGCCAUGGGUUAGGUUAGGUUAGAUAGCUUUCCACCUCUGGCCGGCCAGCAGCUCGUUGCAGAUGGCCAUCAAUAUAAUCACGUCCCUUGCAUAAGGUUAAUCCUUGAUUAUAAUUAUUUGGAUGACGCCCCCCUCCCGCCCCCUCCCCUUCCUCUCGGGCAAAGCGCGUACGCCGCCAUUUAAUCCACAUCCUCCUACCCACCCCCACAUCUCACUGAGCUCUCCCCGCCCCCAAUCCACAGCAGAGAAGAAGCAUGACCGGAGCGCGACGCCGCGGGGUGCGGAUUCGCCGGCUUGUGCCGGUGGCGUGGGUUGCGGAGCCGCGGGCGCUUCCACCGCCAGCUGCAGCGCCGCUGCCCGAGAUCGAUCCGCACUCGCCGGAGGCUCGCCGCGAGAUGAGGCGGGUGGUGAUGGAGUGCUUCCCCGACCGCGACAUGUGGGGGGAGAUCCACAUGCACAUCCUCCAUGCAAACUUCGUCGAGCGCGCGCACUUCAUCGGAGACGAUGGUUGCGAGGAUGUGGAGCUCCUCUUCUGGGCGAUUCAGGAGGCGGAAUCGUCAGAUCCACGGCAGGCCGCCCGCUGGGAGAACUUCAGGAUGGCGAAUCCCUCGAGGCUCAACAUCAGGCCGCCUUCAUGGGAGGGGAUAGCCAGGAUCCCGCCGGAGUUCAUCCCUGCGGGGACCAUCUGGCCCCCGCGUCGCCAGUAGAUCGUGUUCCCCAACCGGUUCGGGCACAGCGACGAGCCAUUGAUCCUCCUCCAUGGCUAGGUGAGUUUGGUUUACAUUUUCGUGCUAAUUCAACUCUCAAGGCUAGGCUAUGGGAUUUUCGACUGCGCAGCCGGGGGAUGCUUAUGGGUGAUUGUUCGUUUGAACAAAUGGUUUCAGUUCCUAAUGCGUUAAUUCCGGAUGUGGAGUUAGAUUCGAGGGUUCUCCCUCUUGACUUCCAGUACAACAAGGGAUCUGAUGUUGCUUCUGCGGCGGGCGAGACCUCGUCGGAGAAUUUGUCCGGCGACGGGCUUGGCCAGGUUUUAAAUCCUAACCCCGUUCCAGGAGGGCUCUGUGCCUUUCCCGUGGGGUGAAUCCAGCUCUGCCUGGGCCCACGGUCGAAAUGCGUGUCGUUGCGGAGAAAGCGGGAACCACGAGGGGUUUGCGUAAAGCCAAAAACCUAGAAAACAUUGAGGAGCACUUUGGCCAGCUCUGGCUCAUUCCCUCCCCCCCUCGCCGCCGCCCCCCAGAAACCCUACCCCUCGACCUCAAGACCACCAAAAAUCCGGAUUCCUUUGCUGGAUCCGGAGAGAACUGGUUGAGAACAAAGCCUUUUCGGCUGCGGAUUGUUUUCCUGCAACUCGUCGGCCAUUCGACCCACCCCCCAGACAAAUCAAAGUUGCUCGUGAGGGGAUUGGCCCUGGUUCUAUCUCCUUCGCGGAGGCUGUUAAGCGUGGGGUGAAGAUGGCAGAUCGUCGUGCUGGAGGGAGCAACCACCCUGCUGCUCCGGCCAAGGGAGUAGGGCAGAAGCCUGCUGCGCCUGCUGGGCGAAAACCAGCUGCGCCUGCAACAGAGGAGCAGGCUCCUGCUCCCAAGCCUACCAGAUCCACAGCUUCUACUGCUGGAUCUGCUCAGGUAUAGUCAUCCCAGUCUGUCGAGGUUGUGAUGGAACAAGUCCUGGACCCUAGGUACAAGGACAUGAUCUGCUUCGAUUGUGGUGGACCGGGGCACUACGUUGGGAAUUGUGUGAAGCCUAAGGCCUGUUUUAUCUGUCAGCAAAAUCAUAAUGUCAAUAAUUGUGCAGCUUGGUCUAAGGUUCAGCCUACUGUUGCCUUUUUUGGUAGUGGAGCUCAAGGUCUUGGUUUUUCCCAUGUGGAUGUCCCUGUUGCAAAUGAAUCCAAGUGGCUGAACUUCCAAAACUGUGCAGUGGUUAACAUUCUAAAAGGAGAAGUGAAUGGUACUAAGCUAAGGGAAUUGCUUUCUGCUACUUUUUGCAAAUCUAAAAGUUGGCCCUAGCAAAUCAGAGGGCUAUCUAGUAAGACUUUCUUGGUUAGGUUCCCUCCCUGGAAAAAAGUGGAAGAUCUCAUUGAGCUGCCUGGGUUUUCCCUGCCACAGGAUGUCAAUGUGACUCUUACUGAAUGGAAAGGUGGAUGUGAACCAUUUGGUGAAUUGAUUGAAGCUUGGGUGCUGAUUGAAGGGAUUCCUCCCAAGUGGUGUACUUGGAAAGUGUUUGCUCAAAUUGCCUCACUGUUUGGAGCUCUUACAGAUGUGGAUUGGAAUGGUAUGUUUAGAACUUUUUUUGAGAAUGUCAGAGUCAAGAUUGCUUGCAGAGACCCUACCAAAAUUCCUUUUGAAAGACUGAUUGAGAUGAAGAAGAAAUUGUUUUUACUUGGCUUUACAGUGGAAGGUUUUGAACAAACUGGUGGAGUUGAUUCUGUUAUUGAUGUAGAUGGAGAUGAGGAGGACUUUGAGGAGGAUGAGAAGGCUGAGGAGAACCAGACAGGACAUGAAGGGACCCAAGGUGGCCAUAUUUCUGAUGGGUCAGGAGGGGGUGACCUAGCCAUUGAUGAACUGGACAAGGCCAAUUUCUCAUCCAAACAAAACUCUUCAAAAAAAUCUGAUGUUCAAGGGAGGAUGGAUGCACACAUGGGAGAUGACAUAGAUGCUGACCAGGAGAACUUUAUUCUGGAAUAUGCUGUGACAAAAGAUAACUCCAAAGGUUCAUCUUCUGAUGGACAUGGGCAUGCUUCUGGAUAUAUGUGUAGACUGACAGAUCAAGACCUACACUGUGAGGACAGAGAGGGAGAUGCCUACAAAACUCCUGCUCCCAAAGGAAAAACUAUUAACGCCAACCCUGAGAGUAAUACUGAGAAUAUGAAUUACUGUGAGGAUCUAUUGAGAUCAGUGGACAUGCAUGACUCUGAAGAUGAGGGGAUAGAAGGUGAUAUGGGGGUUCUCCCUCCUGAGGUUGUUCAAAUUCUCCAGAGUGAAACUUGGAAGAGAUCCUUGCUGGAAUCACUUGCUCAAGCUAAAAAUGGAGAGGCUGUUCAGGAAAACAAGUCAAGGUGGGGCCCUGUUGUUGCAACAAGACCUACUACCAGAGGCCAUGGCAACACUAACAUUAUGGAAAAAGCUGCAGCUUAUAAGAGGAAGAAGAAUCUGGAAAUCCCACCCACAUUCAAAGGUAAAUCUUUCUCUAAUAUGGAUAAAAAUAUUCUUGCUAAUCAGAUGAGUCAAAUGAAUUUGGUGAUUGGGGGGGAUGACAAUCAAAAGAAACUUACUAUUGAUGAGAUGAUAGAGGUAGAGAAAGAGAGGUGUUUGGUUUUUGCCAACAACAAUCCUGAAAUUGUGUUGCCUGAUAACCUUGAGUUUGACCCCAGUGAUUUAGUUAGUACACCUAAUGGUAUGCCCCCUAUGGAACCAGUGGGCACUGCUGAUGCUUCCAGGGGGACACCUAUGAUGCUAACUAAGAGUAAGCCUUGUGGCUUGUCCCAUCCUUUUAAAAUUAAUUAAUGAUAGGUCUUAUUUGGAACAUUAGGGCCGGGUUUGGGCCAACAUGGUAAGACUCAAUGCCUGUGUGAUACUAUUGCCAAGUCUAAUCCUGACUUUAUUGGUUUUCAAGAGACCAAGAGAGAAAUCAUUUCUGAGGGUUUCCUCAAGUCUAUAGAUAAAUUUGAUAAUUUUGUUUGGCAUUUCUUGCCAGCUGAUAAUACUACGGGUGGGAUCCUUGUGGGUUUCAGAAAAAACUGUUUUGAAGUGGUUGGUUUUAUUAAUCAAAAGUUUUCGAUUGUUUCUACCAUUAAAAAUAAGUCUGAUGGUUUCAUCUGGCGGUUGGUGUUGGUUUAUGGGUCUGCUUACCCUGAAUUUAAGAUAGACUUUAUUACUGAACUACAUGACACCUUGUCUAAUGCUUCUUACCCAGUUAUGGUCUGUGGAGAUUUUAACUUGGUUAGGAAUGAGAAGGAGAAGAGUAGUGGUUUGGUUAAUCAACAGACUGUUUUCUUGUUUAAUGAUUGGAUCAAUAGGUGGGCAUUGAUGGAGAUUUCUAUAUCCAAUAGGGUGUUUACUUGGUCUAACAACCAGGUCUCCCCUGUUUUUUCUGUGUUAGAUAGAGUGUUUGUUUCUGAGAACUGGGAUACAUACUUUCCUUUUUCUACCUUAGUUGCUCUCCCCAGGGUGGGGAGUGACCAUACUCCCUUGGUCCUGGAUACUGGUGCCAGAGCCCCAACCACCCCCAAACCAUUUAGGUUUGAGAAAUGGUGGCUCUCACAACCAGACUUCCAUCAAAUGGUGGUGGAAGCCUGGAAUUCUGUUUCCUCAGCUAAAUCCUCUGCUGAGAAUUGGUUAUGUAAAACUAAGAAUCUUAGGAAAAAGAUUAAAGGGUGGAACAUUAAUAGGGAGGCUGCUCUUAAGAAAAAGAAGAAGGAACUCCUUCUGGAGUUUGAUAUAUUGGAUGUCAUGUCUGAAACCCAUCAACUAUCUACUGCUGAUUAUGACAGGUUGAGAGAGAUUAAAAAAGAGCUAGAUGAUUUGUGGAAGAAAGAGGAGACUGCCCUCUGGUAGAGAUCUAGAGAUAGAAAAAUCCUAGAGGGUGAUAGAAAUAAUGCUUAUUUUCAUGCACUGGCUAAUCACAGACACAGAAAGAACCAUCUUGCUGAGCUAAAUAGUCCUAAUGGUGUGGUCACCUCGACCAGAGAGAUGCUUGAGGUGGCUACCUCUGUUUAUAAAGAGUUAUUUGCCUUUGAACCCAAACCUGAUAUCCAUUUGGAUACUAACUUCUGGUCUGAGGAUGAAAUGGUGUGUGCUGAUGAGAGAGAUUAUCUGGAGAGACCUUUUUCUGAGGGUGAAAUUAAACAAGCUGUGAUGAGUUCAUACGCUAGUGGUGCCCCUGGCCCUGAUGGCCUAUCCUUUUUGUUCUACCAAAACUUUUGGGAUUUGAUUAAGGAAGAUUUUAUGUGGAUGGUUAGAGAUUUUGAAAGAGGUAUCCUGGAUAUAUAUAAACUCAAUCAUGCCAUUAUUACUCUUAUCCCCAAAAUUCCUAUGGCUAAGGACAUGAAGAAUUUCAGGCCUAUUAGCCUUAGUAAUUGUGCUAUUAAGAUCUUUUCUAAGGCUAUGACCACUAGGGCCUCCCCCCUUUGUGACAAACUAAUUUCUUCUAAUCAAACUGCGUUUAUCAAGGGGAGGUUCAUUUUAGAAAGUGUGGUUAUGGCUCGUGAAGUCAUUCAUGAAGUUCAUAGAUCUGGGGCUCCUGGUUUGGUUCUUAAGUUAGAUUAUGAGAAAGCUUAUGAUAGAGUGAGUUGGGAUUUUCUAAAAGAGAUGCUUCUAUCUAGAGGAUUUGGUAAUAAAUGGGUGGAUUGGGUGAUCUCCACCAUUCAUCAAAGCACAUUCCAGGUUAGGAUCAAUGAUACUAAUGGCCCCCAGUUCUCUGGGGGGAAGGGAUUAAAGCAGGGUGACCCUCACUCACCCCUCCUUUUUAACCUGGUGGCUGAUGUGUUUCCAAAAAUGCUUCAAAAAGCUACAAGUAUUGGUUUAAUUCGUGGGCUUCUACCACAGGCCUUUCCGGGUGGUGUGGUCAGCCUGCAAUAUGCUGAUGACACCAUCUUAUUUUUAGAGACUUCGUUGGAUUAUGCUAAAAAUUUGAAGUGGAUUCUUUCAUGCUUUGAACAUUUGUCAGGGUUGAAAAUUAAUUUCCAUAAAAGUGAUUUACAUUCUAUUAAUAUCUCUGAACAGCUGUCUAAUGAAUUUGCCCAAGUUUUUUGCUGCCAGAUGGGGGAUUUCCCUUUCAAAUAUUUAGGUGUACCCCUUCACUUUAAAAAGUUGAGGAGGGAGGACAUUCAACCCAUUAUUGAUAGGAUUAUUAAGAACAUCUCGGGCUGGUUGGGGAGAUUUCUAUCUUACAGAGGGAAAUUGAUUUUGCUUACCACAUGCAUUGCUAGUAUUCCUGCUUAUCUGAUGUCUAUUGUGAAAUUUCACAAAUGGGCAAUUGAUAUGAUUACUUCUCAAAUGUCUCAUUUCUUUUGGGGCAACAUGGGGGAUUCUCAUAAAUACCACCUUGCUAAUUGGGGGCUGAUCUCUAGGAAAAAAGAGUUUGGUGGCUUGGGGGUACCAAUCUUAGAGAAUUUAACAUGGCUCUCUUGGCAUCAUGGGGAAAAAUAUUUUAUGACGAAAGGGACAGUGAUUGGAAGAAAGUGCUGAAGUAUAAAUAUAAUACCACUUGUCCUAAUUUUUUUAAUACUAGGGUGGUUUUUGGUUCUCCAUUUAUGAAGAGUUUACCUUGGGCCCUUGCAGCUGCUAAGAACUUCUAUAGAUGGGUUCCUGGGGAUGGGAAUAGCAUUGCCUUCUGGCAUGACAUCUGGGUAGGAGAUUGCUCUUUGAAAACUGCAUUUUGGGAUCUUUACAGUAUUUGCCAACAACAGGAGGCUACCCUGGCCCAGGUCUGGGUGGAUGGUGAGCUUCGGUUAACAUUUAGGAGAUGUGUCACUGAGAAUACAUUAGUUAGAUGGGAGGAGCUCAAUGAGAUUGUUAAGACUAUUUGCUUGUCCGACUCGCCAGAUCAACCUCUCUGGAUGUUAGAUUCUUCUAACAAGUACUCUGUCAAAUCCUUUUACAAGCUAAUUAAUUUUGGAGGGAUUCCUUCUAUCAUUAAAGAUGACAUAUGGAAGAUCAAAGUACCUCCAAAUAUACAUGUCUUUAUCUGGCUGAUUUAUUAUAAUAAGUCUUACCAGAGAUAAUUUAGCUAAGCGUAGGCAUGUUGAGGACAUAUCAUGUGUCUUUUGCUGUGAGCCUGAAUCUAUCCAGCAUCUGUUUUUUGAUUGCGUUGUUGCUGAAUAUGUCUGGAGCUUAAUUGCUGAUAUCUUUGCGAUAAAUGUUCCUAACUCUUUUGAUCAAUUAACUUCCUUCUGGAAGAGAAGGAAACAUUGUGAAGCCUUGAAUAUUGUUUCUGCUGCUGCCUUGUGGAGCUUAUGGCGUCUUCGGAAUGAUUUUGUUUUCCAGGGGCGAAGAUGGCGAAGUAUGAGGUGUGUCCUGGACCUAUUUGGGGCGACGAUCAAGAAGUGGAAAGUGUUGUGUUCCGAGGCUCAGGGUGCGCUACUUCUCCGAUGCUUAAGGCUUUUGGACCACCGAAGAGGGGAGUUGCUUAGGAUUGCGUGGAGAUCUUAGUGCUCUUUCUCAGUUUGGAGCUGUAGUCGCUGUUACUUGUGUUGAACUAUCCUUGAGCUUGUAAUGGGGCUAAACCCUCUCUAUCUGCGGCAGCUACUCUCUGUCGUCGAGCGCUGUUUAACAGUCCGUGACUGGUUGUUUUGCCUUGGCUUUUUAUAAAAGUUGGGGUGGGGGGAAACCCCUUUUUCGUCAAAAAAUUAUAAUUAUUUGUUGGUAGCUUAUCAAGCUGGGCGCUUGGUGCAGAAGGCUUAUCUAGAGGGAAUGAAUGUUCAAGUGGGAAGUGGAAUGGUUGUUUUCUUCCCAUGAAAACUUUAUUAAUUAGUCAACUGAGGCGGGCCUUCUCCCUAUACUAAUUCACAUCAUUUUACCAAAGAAGGGAACUGGAGUUAAAGUGUACUCUCCGUCUCAAAAUAAGUGUCUUAACUUUGUACUAACUUUUUGGGACGGAGGGAGUAUUUUCCAUGCUUAAUGUCUAUACGAGCCCCCUUGUACAUACUCCCAAUCCCUGCCUCAAAGGUUACCAAACGUGGUGUUCUCAUGUCUUCAUCUCAUUUAUUUGGUGAAGAUCAUGCAUGAAUCAAUCUCGCGAACCCGAGUGGCAAGGUUGUGCUUCAACACAAGGUUGUUGGCCACAAUGUCAAAGCAAGGCAACUGGCGGCGGCAUACUGAAUGCCGCUCGCCUUCUCAUCAACUAAGAGAGUGAGGGCUUCAGUUGGGCCAAGAUCUCUUAACUCCAGAUUGACCUGCCGAUUUUUAGCCUGAUAAGCAUGACAUGCAUGCCUCAUAUGUAGGGUUUUGUAGUCAAUUGACUUGAAUCUCAGAACUUGAAUAAUUCAUCAUUGAUUGCCUCAUGGUUUAAUCGAACAAUAACCUAACAUUUGUGGCUUUGGGGGGGAGGGGGGGGGGGAUAACCAUGGGUUAUUUGAUAUUUACUAUAUUUUUAUGAUUGUUUUUAUAUCAAAAUGAAGCCGAGUUUAGGCUCACCUAAAAAAAGAUAAAUGAAAGAUAUAUAUUAAUGUACCUUUUGACGGUAAAGAUCAAUCAGGUGUGGCUACAAUAAUUACCUUAAUAACUGUUAUUGGUUUGAAAGUUUUAAAUAUUGUGACGAUCCCCUCAAAACAGAGAAACAGUAUUGUGAUGAUCCACUAAUGACGAGAACAAGCAAACAAAUCGUUGCUACUUGCCGGACAGAGCCAUCUGGACAAGCAAGGUCUUUUUCUUAAGAAAAUUUAUUUAGUUACGGAGCUAGCGAGGUGACCGUAAAAUCAGGCACCUCAGACUACUUACUGUGUAGAUGCCCCAAACAUUAUACAAAAAUAUAUAGACAAGUGGCUCGUUACCUUCCCAUGGGCCACUUUCUAGAACAUACUGCUCCCUGCGUUUCUAAGCAGAAGUCUUUUAGAGAUUUUAAUACAGACUACAUACGAAUACAUAUAGACAUAUUUUAGAGUGUAGAUUCAUUCAUUUUGCUUUAUAUAUACUCCAUACAGAAAUCUCUAAAAAAACUUAUAUUUAAAAACAAAAAGUACUAAAAGUACGUAUUCUCUCAUGACUCAUGACCCAUACUGUGAUAUAAACCCGUGGCUAAACUAGAGGUUGCUGGUCGACCAAUGUUUACAUGGCGUAAAACUCCAGUAAAUAAUUGCAUGUCAGAGCACGCGCACUCGGACAUCUCAAACCCUUUAUAUGUCCGGGUGAACGGUCCAGUCAAUGUCCGGUCACAAAAAUAUGACCCAGCCGAGCUACUCAAGCUGUCCCUAUAUUUCUGGGCUGAUCAAUACCCCUCAUUUUUUUAUUUUUUUGGGUAACCGGCACCCCUCAUAUCCAGACUAAAUUUGUGGUGAAUAUGAGGAGGACUGGACACACUCGGACGCACCCGCCAUGUCCAGUCUGAGAAGCAGGACCGACAAUAAAUUGCACCAAUUCUUCCUAACCUUGUCGAACGAGCCAUUUGCCUCUCCUCUCUUCUCCGUCGCAACUCUAGCUCCACCGCCAUUGUCACCCCUCAACGCCACCACCACCGCCGCCACAAACCUCCUCACGGGCUGUCAUGUCGCACCGGAUGCCGGCGCGGUACGUCUAGCUAUUCUCAUACUGCACCUUGCCUUUUAUGUGUUCAAAAAUUUGACCGACCAGUUUUAUAAUUCUUUUUUACAAAAAUGAUAGAUUCGGGUUGUUCAUCGGGAUGAGGAUUGUAGAAACACGGAGCUUGAUUGAAAUCAGGGAGGAAGUUCUCUUUAAAAAAAACAGAACUUCCUCGAAAUAAGAUUUCACUCUACUUUAUAUAUAAAGCAACAAUCAAACAAACGACCAAAUGAUACAAAAUAGUGAGGAAGGUCCCAUACAACAUUGAUCCCAAGAUAAUCAGAUCGCGUAGGACACAAGCGACUACGCUACCUAAAGAGAUCAUAAGAAGACCGUGUCAUGCCAGCCGACCUUGCUUCUAGGCCGCGCUUGUGCGCCGAGGCCCUUUUAGCGUCGUCCCUUGAAGAUUGCUCGUCUUUUCCUUCAGAGUGCUGCAUCCUUCGUUGCACUCCUGUUGAGCAGGAUCUCCUUGCUGCUAUGCUCUCACCGGGGCCGGUGGGCAUCGAUCCGCAUCAUAGUGAUCCUAUGCUUGAUGAAGCAUUGACGCCCACCCCUCAGGUUUUGCAUGCCACCAUCGGUCCUGUGGGCUACUAUGUUCAGGGAGAUGACGUGUGGUAGAUCCAUGGUAUUUCGACGGUAGGGAGUGAGGAAUCCGUUGAUCCUAUGUGCUUGGAGGCUACNNNNNNNNNNNNNNNNNNNNNNNNNNNNNNNNNNNNNNNNNNNNNNNNNNNNNNNNNNNNNNNNNUUUAUGACUGUUUUUAUAUCGAAAUGAAGCCGAGUUUAGGCUCACCUAAAAAGAAGAUAAAUGAAAGAUAUUAAUGUACCUUUUGACAGUAAAGAUCAAUCAGGUGUGGCUACAAUAAUUACCUUAAUAACUGUUAUUAGUUUGAAAGUUUUAAGUAUUGUGAUGAUCCACCUAGUAGAAAAGAGGGUUUGGUCCAGGCCGGGUUAGCCCAUUAGUCCCGGUUCAGUCCAGAACCGGGACACAUGGGGGAAUUAGUCCCGGUUCAUGAGCCCACGGGGCCGGCCGGGCCACGUGGGCCAUUUGUCCCGGUUCGUCCGGUCCUUUUAGUCCCGGUUGGUGCCACGAACCGGGACUAAAGGGUGCAAUGCCCAUUAGUACCGGUUCGUGGCACCAACCGGUACUAAAGGUUAGACCUUUAGUCCCGAUUCGAGCCACCAACCGGUACUAAUGGGGUUUGAGGCAUUAGUACCGGUUCAUGGCACGAACCGGUACUAAAGGUCCCAUUUUCAAACUCUAACCCCCCCCCCAUCGCCUUUUCAGUUUAAAAAAAAAGAAAAUGAUGAAAAUGUCAAAAAAAAUAAAAGAAAAUAAGUUUCUCAUGUGAUAUGUGGUCUAGUUGUUGGGAAAAUUUACAAAUAUGAAUUUCGACUUUAUUUGUAAAAUCUCUCUAGAAUUUAGUAAAAUGGGCAUAACUUUUGCAUACGAACUUGGAUUAAAAAGUUUUUUAUAUGAAAAAUCAUCUACUCGAAAAAUCAUCUNNNNNNNNNNNNNNNNNNNNNNNNNNNNNNNNNNNNNNNNNNNNNNNNNNNNNNNNNNNNNNNGUUGUUGGGAAAAUUUACAAAUAUGAAUUUCGACUUUAUUUGCAAAAUCUCUCUCGAAUUUAGUAAAAUGGACAUAACUUUUGCAUACGAACUCGGAUUAAAAAGUUUUUUAUAUGAAAAAUCAUCUACUCCACAUUUAACAACGGGAACCCCGUUAAACAUUUUCAAAAUCCUCAAAAACCUAACAGAAAAAAAGUUACAGGGCUUUUAAGAUCUGGAGGCAAAAAAAUUCAUCAAAUUUCAGUUUUUUUUACUUUUUGUUAAAUCUGGUCAAACUAUGGUCAAACUAAUUAUUAAAGAAGUAUUAGUGUUACUAAAUAAUUAUUCAAGAAUAUUAGUGUUACUAAAUAAUUAUUUCAGUUUUUUUGAAUUUUGGUCAAAUCUGGUCAAACUGUGGUCAAACUAUGGUCAAACUACUUAUUCAAGAAAUAUUAGUGUUAGUAAAUAGUUAUUGUUUUUUAGAACAUUAGUUUCAAACUUGAACAGUGAAAUGUGUGACUUCAUGCUCAAGCUAAAUUUCUGAGGGUUAAUAGGAUUGACAUCUUACUAUUGUCAGGAAAACAACAAGUGCAGACUUGGAAUCGAGGGAGAAUAGAACCUGGAAGUUAAGCGUGCUCAGGUUGGAGUAGUGAGAGGAUGGGUGACCGUCUGGAAAGUUAGAUGAUUUGGAAUGAUGAGGGUGAUUAGAAAUUAGAGGUUAAAUUGAGCAGUGAUCAGGGGUGAUUAGAGAUUAGAGCCAUCUGGAUAAGCAAGGUCUUUUUCUUAAGACAAUUUAUUUAGUUACCGAGCUAGCGAGGUGACUGUAAAAUCAGGCACCUCAGACUACUUACUGUAGAUGCCCCAAACAUUAUACAAAAAUAUAUAGACAAGUGGCCCGUUACCUUCCCAUGGGCCACUUUCUAGAACAUACUGCUCCCUGCGUUUCUAAGUAGAAGUCUUUUAGAGAUUUUAAUACGGACUACAUACGACUACAUAUAGACAUAUUUUAGGGUGUAGAUUCGUUCAUUUUGCUUCGUAUAUAUUCCAUACAGAAAUCUUUAAAAAGACUUAUAUUUAGAAACGAGAAAGUACUAAAAGUAUGUAUUCUCUCAUGAGUCAUGACCCAUACUGUAAUAUAAACCCGUGGCUAAACUAGAGGUCGCUGGUCGACCAAUGUUUACAUGGCUUAAAACUCCAGUAAAUAACCGCAUGUCAGAGCACGCGCAAUCGGACAUCUCAAACCCUUUAUAUGUCUGGGUGAACGGUCCAGUCAAUGUCCGGUCACGAAAAUAUGACCCAGCCGAGCUACUCAAGCUGGCCCUGUAUUUCCGGGCUGAUCAAUACCCUUUAUUUUUUUUAUUUUUUUUUAUCGGCACCCCUCAUAUCCAGACUAAAUUUGUGGUGAAUAUGAGGAGGACUGGACACGCUCGGACGCGCCCGCCAUGUCCAGUCUGACAAGCAGGACCGACAAUAAAUUGCACCAAUUCUUCCUAACCUUGUCGAACGAGCCAUUUGCCUUUCCUCUUCUCCGUCGCAACUCUAGCUCCACCGCCGUUGUCACCCAUAAACGCCACCACCGCCGCCGCCACAAACCUCCUCACGGGCUAUCAUGUCGCACUGGAUGCCGGCGCGGUACGUCUAGCUAUUCUCAUACUGCACCUUGCCUUCUAUGUGUUCAAAAAUUUGACCGACCAGUUUUAUGAUUCUUUUUUACAACAAUGAUAGAUUCAGGUUGUUAAUCGGGAUGAGGAUUGUAGAAACACGGAGCUUGAUUGAAAUCAGGGAGGAAGUUCUCUUUUUCAAAUAAAAAAAUAGAACUACUUCGAAAUAAGAUUUCACUCUACGUUAUAUAUAAAGCAACAAUCGAACAAACGACCGAAUGAUACAAAAUAGUGAGGAAGGUCCCAUACAACGUUGAUCCCAAGAUUAUCAGACCGCGUAGGACACAAGGGACUACGCUACCUAAAGAGAUCAUAAGAAGAUCUGAGUACAAUGCCACACUACACCGUGUCAUGCCAGCCAACCUUGCUUCUAGGCCGCGAUUGUGCGCCGAGGCCCUUUUAGCGCCGUCCCUUGAAGAUUGCUCAGUUUGUCCUUCAGAGUGUUGCAUCUUUGGUUGCACUCCUGUUGAGCAGAAUCUCCUUGCUGCUAUGCUCUCACCGGGGCCGGUGGGCAUCGAUCCGCAUCAUAGUGAUCCUAUGCUUGAUGAAGCAUUGACGCCCACCCCUCAGGUUUUGCAUGCCGCCAUCGGUCCUGUGGGCUACUAUGUUCAGGGAGAUGAUGUGUGAUAGAUCCAUGGUAUUCCGACGGUAGGGAGUGAGGAAUCCGUUGAUCCUAUGUGCUUGGAGGCUAUGUUCUGCUCGCCCCCACCCCACCGGCUGCUCCUCGUCAUUCGUUAUGCAGUCCCUUACACGUCCGAUGCUUAGUCUAGAUGAGCCGCUUGGUUUCAACGUGUCCAACGUUCUGGUUGAUCCUCUGGUUGAGGUGUGCAAUGUUGUGGCGCAGGUGACGCGGGCUAAAACACACUAUUACCUCUAGACGAUUUUCCUAGCAAAGUUAUUUGUCCGCUCUUGCAUCCUCUGCUUGGGAUGCCGACACCUUCGCACAAAGGGAAGGAUGACGGGUGAUGGGUGUCUAGAAAAAGAAGAACAAGGCGUGGAACAUUCCGAUGUAUAAGCGCGCGAAGCAUAGGUUGUUGGAGGCUUUUAGUGAGCUAUCGGAGAUCAGCAAAGCGGAGGGCCCUACGCAAAAGAUGCAAGUAUACCUGGACAUGUAUAAAAGGCCGCUCUCACUACAAGUGAUCGAGGCAUUGAGCAGUUUGGCGAGCAUCGCGGGAAGUUGAUGUUGGACGUUCCAUGAUGUUAUCCACAUGAUAAUAUUAGUACAUAAUGCUUUGAGGCUAACACGGAAGAGUCAUUCGAUAUGGACGGAUUCUCUUUGAUGAGUGAUGAUCAGUUUGUUAUGGUUAAGUGCUUUUUGGGCCUAGGUGCUCCUGGCUUUGACGGUGUCCCUUGAUGCUGCAUUUGUCCUGUCCCUACCCCUAACCCAAGCUCUAGUGCCGUUUUUGGUUAUUUAUUUAUUUUCCUUUUGAAUUUUCAUUCGUUUUCUCUAAUUAAUCAAGAAUAUUAGUUUUUUGGGUCCGGUUCAUAUAAAUUCGACUAACUCCCGUCUUUUUAAUGUAAUGAAACCAACCACCUGCUCACGAGGUUUCUCAAAAAACUAGAAAGUGCCAUUGAUUUUCCAACACCAUCUUCUUGUGCAAUUUAAGAAUGGAGGUGAAAUCCCAACCGCUACGCCGUCCCUCAAGAUAGUACCACUGCUCUGAAAUAACAAUAAAUAGCACGGUUAAAAUUAAGAUACUAUGGUACUUAAAAUAUCACGAGCAGGACGAAGAAAAAUCCUCUGUUCAUCAGUUGAGCGCGCCAUGAAACUUUGACAUAAAUUUCUUCAGGCUGGUUGUAAUGGUAGUAUCGUAGCUAGUAUCAUGCAUGCCAACUGAAUUGCUUGAGGACAAGCAAAUGUUUAAGUUUGAGGGAGUUGAUUCGUCUCCGUCGUAUCUACUUUUCCAAACACUUUUGUCCUUGUUUUGGACUCUAACUUGCCUGAUUUGAAUGGAACUAAUCCGGACUGACGUUGUUUUCAGCAGAACUGUCAUGGUGUUAUUUUUGUGCAAAAAUAAAAGUUCUCGAAAUGACUUGAAAGUCCACGGAGCAACUUUUUGGAAUUAAUAAAAAAUAAUGGCGAAAGAAUCAACGUCAGGGGGCCCACACCCUGUCCACGUGGGUGGGGGGCGCGCCCCCUGCCUCGUGGGCCCCCUGUGGCUCCACCAACCUCAACUCCAACUCCAUAUAUUCACGUUCGGGGAGAAAAAAAUCAGAUAGAAGAAUUCAUCACGUUUUACGAUACGGAGCCGUCGCCAAACCCUAAACUCUCUCAGGAGGGCUGAUCUGGAGUCCGUUUGGGGCUCCGGAGAGGGGAAUCCGUCGCCGUCGUCAUCAUCAACCAUCCUCCAUCACCAAUUUCAUGAUGCUCACCGCCGUGCGUGAGUAAUUCCAUCGUAGGCUUGCUGAAUGGUGAUGGAUUGGAUGGGAUUUACCAUGUAAUCAAGUUAGUUUGUUAGGGUUUGAUCCCUAGUAUCCAUUAUGUUUUGAGAUUGAUGUUGGUAUGACUUUGCUAUGCUUAAUGCUUGUCAUAUGGCCCGAGUUCCAUGAUUUCAUAUCUGAACCAAUUAUGUUUUCAUGAAUAUAUGUGAAUUCUUAAUCCUAUCUUACAAGCCUAUAGUCACCUAUUAUGUGUUAUGAUCCGACAAUCCCAAAGUGACAAUAAUCGGGACCACUCACAGUGAUGACCGUAGUUUGAUGAGUUCAUGUAUUCACUAAGUGUGAAUGCUUUGGUCCCUCUAUUAAAAGGAGGCCUUAAUAUCCCUUAGCUAGUUUCCAAUAGGACCCCGCUGCCACGAGAGGGUAAGACAAAAGAUGUCAUGCAAGUUCUGUUCCAUAAGCACGUAUGACUAUAUUCGGAAUACAUGUCUGCAUUACAUUGAUGAACUGGACCCUAUGUUAUAACUAUUACAUGAGGAAUCGCAUCCGACAUAAUUAUCCAUCACCGAUUCAAUGCCUACGAGCUUUUCACAUACUGCUCUUUGCUUAGUUACUUUACUGUUGCUGCUGUUACAAUUACUACAAAACUGCUACUGUUACUUUUGCCACUGUUACUGUUACUUCCAUACUACUUUGCUAUCAAAUACUUUGUUGCAGAUACUAAGUAAUCCAGAUGUGGUUGAAUUGACAACUCAACUGCUAGUACGUGAGAAUAUUCUUUGGCUCCCCAUGUGUCGAAUCAAUAAAUUUGGGAAAAAUACUCUACCCUCGAAAACUGUUGUGAUCGUUUAUACUUGUGGGUUAUCAGAGACCCCGUCAUUUAACGUUCCUUCUCCAAUUCCGAAGGGGACCCCUGCGCCUCACCCUGGAUCAAAGGGCGCCGGACCGUCGGAAAUUGGAGCAACUCACCCUAGAGCAACGAGCAGUAUAUAUUCUGGAGCACCUUGGGGGAUUCUCAGCAUGACCAACUCACUGUGCAAAGAUCGCCAGGAGAAGAGCCCUACCACAUCUCACUGGAUCAUACACGAAGAAACAAAGCUGCUGAAGGACGAGGACGCGGAUGGAACAAAUAGCAGAGUUGAUAAGCGACCGUAGCUGAGAUAAGAUCAAUGCUCAAUGAAUUAAUGUCCAGAUUGCCCACACCGUGUUUCUACUAACUGGGAGAGGAACCCUAUCCCCUCCCCUACCAUGGCAAUAACGCCGACUCACUGGUAAGCACACACACACACACACACACGGCUAGUCUGCAGACAAUUACAAGCAGCUAAUCUUGUGAAAAUUUGCAUCCCGGCGCUACCUCCAACUGCCAUGUCGCUGCUUGCCGGAAAACCACAUCGAAACGCUAGUGCACACCCCCAAACUCACCCAAGACGGACCUUCAGCAAGGUGACGGCGCGGAUGCCGCGCCGCUGCCGCCAAGCCCAUAACUGGCUAAGGUUUUCACUCGGGUAUGAGAAGUGAGGGAGCGGGGAUCGAACCUCAACGGCUCCUCCGAGAAGGGGAAAUACGCCAGCAGGCGUCGCCUCCGUCGUGACCGGAAAGCCGGCCAAAGAUUUCCGUCGGACCGAUCUCGCACCUCCGAUGUCCCCACCUUCCAUGGAUUUGGCGACCAGCGACCGCCACAGACCACAUCCAGCGGGGAAAAGGCGAAAGAAGGGGGAGGAAGGACCUCCAGAUCUGACUCGCAGCCAGGGGCACCAGGCAACCCGCCGCGACCUGCGCCCGACGCCUCCACCGCUCGCCGCCUGCACAACCAAGGGGGAGGAGGAGCACCAGCGAGCGCCGCUUGCCACAGAGCCGGCGUCGGCGCACCGCCCAAGGCCGCCGCCUCGGCUUCCGAAGCCCUCCGCGAGAAGACGAAACAGCAUGGCCUCGCUGCCGCGUUCCUUGGCAGUCGCGCAGCCUUCGUCGGCAACCCCUCUGGCGGCGGUGAGGAGUGAAAGGGAGGCGGAGGGGGUUCGGCGGCUAGGGUUGGGUCGCCGCCCACGUCGCCUCGAGCGGAGCGAAGCGGGGGCCAUUGGGAAGGGGGGGGGGGUCCACAAAUCUUCGCACGUGCAAGACUUAUAAACUGAGAUGGAGAAAGUACUAUUACUUAUUAGUACUCCCUCCGUUCCAAAAUAGAUGACCCAACUUUGUACUAAAGUUAGUACAAAAUUGGGUCGUCUAUUUUGGAACGGAGGAAGUACUUCACAAGCAGGGAAAUAAGAAGAAAAAUCCUCGGUUCAUCAUUUGCGCGCGUCAAGAAGUUCCACAGAAAUCUCGUCGGAAUCGGAGAAUUUCUGCCGUGCUGCAAGUUGCUGGCCUGAUCCGGCCGGCUGGGGGCACGCACGGGUGCCGCGUGACGGCAGCAAGCGGCGGCGAGACGCGACUCAUCUCUUGCGAAGCUUAUCCGAAACCAAAACAGGGGCGAGACACAUCCACAAUCCAGAAACGUAAACAGAAACAGAAGCAGAAAGUGGUUGCGGCAGAUCAUCCAUGAUCCAUGAAUGGAUAAGCCACCCGGCAACAGAUCAGAUGCAUGCAUGUGUGUCUCCAAUUUGUCACUCAUUUAGUAUUGAUGUAUAUCCAGAAGACCAAAACCAAGGGGAGUUGUACACAGCGGGAAGAGAGGACAAGAGCUCACUCUAUGUACAAGUGGAGCUGAGAGGACGAACUCAGAACUCACUCUAUGUGCAGCUGAGCGGGGAGGAAGAAGAGGCUCACUCUAUGUACAGUAUCUACUGGCUAGCUAAUUGAAAUUUUGGGAACAUUUCUCGAAAGAAAAUAAAGACCUGAUCGACGUGAUCGACAUGACGCAGUACGUGGAGCGCAGCGCAUACCCAUGGGGAGCUGGCACGGGUAGGACCUGAUCGACGUGACGCGCCAGCAGCCGGCAGCGACCCGACGGACCACAGCCGCCGGCCGUGGGUUCGCCUCCGCUUUGCUUGAAACGCGGCCGACCUCUGAACAUUCGACACAGCAUAGCAUCAGCAUCAGUCGCCGUAAUGGCUGCGGAGUCCGCGGGAAGGAAAGGAUCACGUAGUGGAGCCGGCUAGUGUUUUGUUUUUGUCUCCGGCCACACCUCGUCGUUUGGAUUCGACCGGAACAGCUACCGUGCAUAUCAGAUGGCCGGGAAAAUAUCACAUGAUACCACCCUUUAGGAGUUUAGGUGAUACGAUGAUAUCAUUUCAGAAAAUUCGAUUUUAAAUGUCUCAAAAAAUUCCGAAAUAAAUUGUGGAUGUUGACAUCACAUGAAUGUACAAUCCCUAAAAAUUUCAGGUUCAAAUUCGAAAUAUACAUUGAGAAACAAAAAAGACAAAUCCAGAAUGUCAAAAAAGACAAAAGUCAAAACGUCACUAUGCACAUCCAGAUUUGUCUUUUUUGUUUCUCAAUAUGUAUUUAGAAUUUGGAUCUGAAAUUUUUAAGGGUUGUACAUCCAUGUGAUGUGAACAUCUAUAUUUUUUUCAGAAUUUUUUGAAACAUUUUAAAUUGAAUUUUUCGAAUGGUAUCAUGGGAGCAUUUAGAAGGUGGUAUCACCUAAUACUCUCCCUCAGAUGGCCUACUGAUUCUUAUAUCGUGGCGCCCUUUUUUCUGUUGUUGAAGAAAGCGGAGCGGGCCAGACGAACUACUCGUGUACGAUCUAGCUUAAUUUCCGCCGACCGUCCGUGGAUGGUUUCAUGUCUAAUCUUGCGUACGGACCUUUAAAAUCUUUUUUCUGCAUAUUCAUAUAAACUUGAACCUCUAAUGAGAAAUACACAAUAUAGACACACACGCUCACAUAUGAGCUUCAUGUGAUACAUGGGUUGUCAAACCUAGAGGCUUGAUCUCUAGUGAGACGGGGUAAGAGUAAGACCGAGAGUGGCAUUUUGGCACAUGCGAGCGCGCGCUCCUGAUUUUUAAAAUGUGUUUCAAACAUAUUUUGAAAUGUAAAAAAAAUUUAAACAAAAAUUUGGCGCGUACAUCUUGAUAUUGUACAUGCUCACAAAGUUGUUCCGCGAAAAACCGACAACUUAUGUGUCGCGUGUGAAAAAGACAAAAUCCGAUGUUCAAAAAUGUUUUUCACAAGACAUCCUUUUGUCUUUUUUACAAAAACCACAAAAAAUGUCGGUUUUCCCCGAAACUUGAUGCGCGCACAUAUAGUGUCGAGACGUAUGCGCUAAAUUUUUGUUUGAAAUUUUUUCAUACUUUGAAAUAUUUUUUCGCACGCAGGAGCAUGCGCUCCCGGGAGCAUCAAUGGAUUUCCGGGGUAAGACUACCCUUCUAGCCUUUAAAAAAGAGGUGUUGGUUCCCGUAUGACUGUAGAGUUCGUGCUUAUAAUAUGAUACAUAUUUUUUUAUGAAAAGGAGAACGACCCCCGGCCUCUGCAUCUGGACGAUGCAUACGGUCACUUUAUUAAUUAUUGACACAAGACCGUACAGAGUAAUACAACAAUAAGUCUAAAGCCACCAAACUAAGCAACAACUGUCGCUAUCCCUAUCCAGUUGAUGUAGGGGCGCUGAAAGUCUGGGCCUCAUACCAAACAGACCACGCAGCCAAACCUAACCAUCUAAAGAAUUGAGGUCCCACCCAGGACGCCUGCCGGGUAUGGGCACCCACCAGUCCGGCGUGCUUCUCAACCAGGACCCCUGCCGGGUAUGAGGCCGCCGCAACCACCUACCACGAACCCAUCUUCAGAGUUGUACUGCUGCAUCCACCUUGGCCGGUCCAACUGCCGCCGACGCGACAAUGACGCCAGGUGAUUGUGUGCAUAUAUAUAAUUCUUUCCGAUUUUGAAGAAAUAAUAAUGGAUAGUACACUAGUAGAAAAACACCUAAUAGUCCCGGUUCGUAAGGGCCUUUAGUCCCGGUUCAUGAACCAGGACUAAUGGGUUGUUACUAAUACCUCCACCCAUUAGUCCCGGUUCAAACACAAACCGGGACCAAUGUGCCUACACGUGGCCUAUGCGCCGAGCCCAGUUAGGGGGGCCUUUGGUCCCGGUUGGUGGCACCAACCGGGACCAAAAGGUGUCCACACGUGCAUUUCAGUGGCUGGGGUUUUUGUUUUUUUUUGAAAGGGGGGGGGGGUUGGGGGUGUUGAUGGGUUAAUUUAAGUGUUUCAUAUAUUGUGUUAGCUACCUAAUUAGUAGAGAGAAGUGUUCUCUCUUAUGUCCGUGCUUGGUUGACGCUACGUACUAUAUAGAUAAGUGAUCGAGAGAAUCAUUGAGUACAGAAGUUCGUCAUGCAUACCGAGAGAAGUGAUCGAUCGACCUUUCCUUCUCGGAGAGAUUGGUCGAACAACAAGUUUUCGUAUCAUGUAUCCGACGCUACUGGCUAGAUACAUGUACAAUAUGUAAGAUCUCUUAAUUAAAAUCCCCUAGCAAUUGAAAUCAACUUCCACAUAGCAAUUGAAAUCAACUUCCACGUGGUCAAGAAAGUAUCCCGCCAAUUCCUCUUGAAUUGCUUUCAUGCGAUCUGGUUCUAGGAGUUCAUUCCGCAUCUACCACGUCUAAUUUGAAGAAGGGGGUUAAUUAAUACAUAUAUAUGAAUGAAACUCAACAAAAAUGAUGGUGUAAUAAAAUGAAAUUGUGAAUAUUAUUGCUUACGCACUUCAUAUUGUCUUUGAGAGUAGCCCCGCUUGUUUUUCAAAGUCGCGUUGUGGAUGAACUCGCACACGUAGUAUCCACAGAAAUCAUUCCCUUGUUCCUGCCACAAUCACUUUACGAGAAAUAGAGGUCAAUCAAACUGAUAAUGAAGCAUUAUAAAUGGCAUUGAUGAAAGUAAAGCUAUAGAAUCAACAGGAGAUGCGUGCAACUAGCUAGCCAGUAGUACUUACUUUCGGGUAUGUAUAUCGCAGCUCCUUCGGCAGUCCUGGAGCUUCUGCGGUGAACUGUUUCCAAACCCUGCAAGACAAAGAAAAUAAUUAUUAUUAUUUGAGAUAUCAGGAAAUGAACAAAAAGUUGCCGAUAUGGUGCGAUAAUGAUCGAUUGAACUUACUUGUUGAGCAAUUCAGUCAUGUCCGCAUAGGUUUUGGGUCUUUCCGUCUCGAGUCUAAGACGGUUACUAGUCCACGCUCAAGCUUAAUCUCCAAAAGAACAUAGUGGUACCUGCGCAUGCAUGCAUAACUCAUCAAUUACAUUACUAUAACCUCGCUCGAGUAAUAAGGGAAACCGAAUAUGAACACGACAGUAACACUCACUUGCCGUUGUAAGGAAAGAGUAUGCUAUCUUUGUUUUGAUUUUUGAUCAACAAUCGUAGCAAGUUGUCCUCGGCCUCUUCGACGUCCUUUUCAACCAGAAAUUCAUCUAUGAUAUUUGUGUUAAUGAACCCAAUAUCAUAAAUUUCUUGUUUUUUGCACUCGACGAUCUUCAAUCUGCAUAAUAUAUUGAGGAUAAUUAAUUAUAAAUACAUGAAAUGAAAAAGCCAAGCUAUAUAUAGAGACUUAAUGACAGAAAUAGUACUUACAGACAAUAGCAAAAGACCAUUAGUUUAUCGAGGGCCUUUUGAUUGAAGAACGCGAAGAACUCAUCAAAUGGAACAGUCAACAGAUCACUUGCAACGAGCUCGUGCUCCUCUUUAAUAUUAAGAUACAAAGCAUUCGUCCCCCCAGACUCUCUGCAGGUUUCCAUGUACCAAUUAUGGAAUCUUCGCAUCAUUUUUGUCAGAGAUUUUUCAUCUUUGACGAGAGGCUUCCCGUACUCGUAUCUGUGUUCGUCCACCUCCAAGAAAUCAGGAAGAUGAUCGUCAGGCAGGUAAGCUGCAAGAUUGCCAUAACCGGCCACCGUCCCCGGAGCAUUAGACACAUUGAGCGGGGGGCAUGAUUGAUGUGCUUGUUCGCCGAGCUGGGCAAUUUUUUCCCCUUUGCUCCUUCUUUUAACCUUUUAUCGCUGACAGUAGUUCCCGACCGCUGGGCUUGGAGAUAUGUCUGUUCAGUAAUGCGCUGAUAGUGGGUUCUCGGCGGAGACUUUGGUGGUUUCUUCAGGGCAUUGAUAGUGCGCUUUGCUUUCACCGGAUCUACCUUCUCCUCCGGAGGUGGAUGUCUCUUUGCUUUAACCCCUUCAAAGAACUCCUUCACGUGGGUCCGCACAAUCGUAUCAUUUUCCUCCUCAGUCCUCUCGUACGGUAACUUCUCUAGAGGCUUGAGAGGUGGACCGUAUCUAUAUUGCCUCCCGCCUCUGGUUGUGCUGCUAGACGCCGGAGCAGACGGAGCGGCUGCGGCGUCUGUCUUCUUUCGUGCUUUCUUACGAGGCGGAGGAGAAGGAGUACGACACGCCGGAGCAGCCGGGGCGGCGGCGGGUCUCUUCCGCCCUUGUUGGCGAGGCGGAGAAGGAAGAGGCUGUUGGCUUCUCGGUAGCGCCAGCGCAGGCGGAGAAGGAGGCAGAGUGCCGCCACGCGCCGGAGAAGGAGGCGGAGUGCCCUGAUCGUCACUCGCCGGAGGAGGAGGCGGUGGAGGAGGCGGAGUGCCCUGACUUGCUAGAGGAGGAGGAGGAGGCGGAGGCGUCUAGUUCGGAAGGAUGAUGAGCUCCUUCUGCCAUAGGCAUGGAGUCUUCAGAGCAGAACCCAGCCUAGUCUCCCCUUCACCGGUAGGGUGGUCAAGCAGGAGGUCCUCAAAUCUCUCCGUUAUUUCAACCACCAUCACCUUAGCAUAUCCUUCUGGAAUCGGCCGGCAGUUAUAAGUUGCUCCGGAUCCAGUAGGAUAAACAGAGCCAACAGCCGCCUUGACCUUCAAAUUCAUUCAUCGCGCCAUAAUGUGGCAAUGUUGAGACUCCGUGAUAGCAUCCACGGGAUAGCUGGCAGGAGCCGUCAAGACAUGCUCCGGCUGAAGCAGCUUGGUGGAAGCCACGCUGCUUCUCCGCUGAGAUGGCGGGGUAGCUUCGGGGGAAGCUUCAGUAGGUCGUUUCCUGCGAUCUGCUGCUUCUCGUUCCUCUUCUCGUUCCUCUAGCCCCAUUACCCUUUCGUGCAGCGCCUGCAGUUGGCCUUGCUCCAGUUUCUUCCUCCUCUCGUGGGUUUUGUAACCCCCUGCGUCCGGAAAACCAGCCUUCCACGGAACGGAGCCUGGCGUGCCUCGUGUCCGUCCAGGGUGCUCAGGAUUCCCGAGGGCCAUUGUGAGCUCGUCCUUCUCCCUGUCUGGAACUAACGUCCCUUGCUGCGCUGCAUUGAUAUAGUGUCGAAGGUUCUUGAGGGGUGUUUGCUGUUGCCCGUCCGUCCAACGGCACUCCCCUGAUACAGGGUCCAAGGUUUCGCCAGCCCCGAAGAACCAAGUCCGACAACGGUCUGGCCAUCUCAUUGUCUCUGGUUUGAUCCCUUUUUCAAGCAGAUCAUUCUCCUCCUUGGACCACUUAGGACGGGCUUUAAGGUAGCCAACUGACCCCGUGCGAUGGUGAAGCUUCUUCUUCGCAGCAUUUUGCUUGUUCGUCGCCGACAUCUUCUUACUCUUUUCCGAUGUCUUGUGGGCCACAAAUGCGGGCCAGUGAUCUUUGAUCUUCUCAUAUUUGCCGAUGAAUUAUGGUGUCUUUUUUUCGACAAAAUGGUUCAACUCUUUCCUCCACCUCCUGAAUAGGGUUGCCAUCUUCUUAAGAGCACAAGACUUGAUUAAUUGCUCUUUGACUGGCUUCUCCGGAUCCUCCUCUGGCGGUAGGGUGAAAUUUGCCAUCAGCUGAGUCCAAAGAUCUUCUUUCUGCAUAUCAUUGACAUAAGACACCUCAGGUUCGUCCUUAGGCUUAUACCAUUGUUGGAUGCUGAUCGGGAUCUUGUCCCUAACAAGAACCCCGCACUGAGCAGAAAAUGCGUUCUUUGUCCGGAUGGGUUCAAUCAGUUCGCCGUCGGACGCGAUUUCUAUGAUCUCAAACCUUUCAUCCGAGCUCAACUUUUUCUUCGGGCGUCGUCUCCUUACCGAAGUUGUGCUCGAUCCGGAGGGCUAUAAAUUAAAAGGAAGAAAGACGAGAGUAAUUAGUAUGUGUACAUAUACCAAGACAAUGAAUGCAUCAAUUAACUAGUCAGAACGGGCUUAACUAAUAUAUAUAUACCUGGCCGGACUCGGUUCGGUCAUCGGAGCAGUCAGCACGGUCUCCUUCUUGUACCUCCAUUGGGUCAUCACCGGAGCCAUCAUGAACAUAGCCCUCUUCUUGUACCGGCAUUAAUGGGCCGGAGCCAUCAUGAACAUGGCCCUCUUCUUCACCCAGUCCUUCCUGACCAACGACGUUGUCGAAAAAUGACGCAAUGACAUCAGUUCCUUCUGCAAUUAUCUCCCCCAACAUCGCUUCUGUUGCUUCGUCUCGGUAGUGCUCCAUAGUUUCUGCAAAUAUUUACAACAUGUCAAUUAUUAUUCAAACAUGGUACAGAUGGAUAUAUAUUAGUGGCAAACGUAGAACUAGCUAGCUAAUCACAAUAAGGAAUCAUGUUAGUGGCAUCGAUGCUGCUUCUCUAGGGUUUGGGAUCGCCUCGACACAACGCUUCAAGGGUUUGGGGUGGCCUCGACGACAACGCUCUUUUAACUUGGUAAAUUUGGGUGGCCUCGAGAGUUUUGGUCGAGCGAGAGGGCCGAGGGGGGUGCUGCCGUUGUAUAGGGUUAUCACUGUCGAGAGGGGGUAUAUAUAUCGAUCGCCCCUCAUGUCGAAGUUAUCUCGAGGGGGCGGCGAGGGCGAAGGCGAGCAGCCUGACAGCAACAGACCCGAUAAAACAUAAGAAAACGAAGAAGAAAUAAAAAGAGGAGAAGAAGAAAGGAAUAGAGGAGAAGAUCGAAGAAAAAAAAGAGGAAAAGAAGAAAGGAAUAGAGGAGAAGAAGAAAAAAAUAGAAUUUUUUUAUUUUUUCUUCUUCUCCUCUAUUCCUUUCUUCUUCUCCUCUUCCUUUUCUUCUUUUUUGUUCUUAUUUAUUUCUCCUCUAUUCCUUUCUUUCUUCUUCUCCUCUUCUUUUUCUUCUUCUCCCUCGAGAAAGGAAAAUAAUUAAGGAAAAGGAAGAAAAGAGGAAGAAGGAAGAAGAAGAAGAAGAAGAAGAAGAAAGGAAUGGAGGACAAGAAGAAAAAAUAGAAAUUUUUUUCUAUUUUUUCUUCUUCUCCUCUAUUCCUUUCUUCUUCUCCGCUUCUUUUUGUUCUUUUUUCUUCUUCUUAUUUAUAUCUCCUCUUCUUUUCCUCUCCUCUUCUUCUCCUUUUCUUCCUCUUCUUAUUUUCCUUUUUCCUCUCAUUCUUUUUCUUCUUCUUCUUCCUUCUUCCUUCUUCCUCUUCUCUUCCUUUUCCUUAUUUUACUUUUUCCUCUACACUAACCUAAUUAAAAUGCACUAACCUAAAAUCGAUAUCUACUAACAACCUAAAUAAAAAAUUAAUACAUAUAUGAAAAAACAUAUAUAAACAAAAAAAUGCUAUGAACAUUAUAUUCAUACAUACAUAGCCACAUCCAUUCAUCAUAUAGCUACCACAUACAUAUAUACAUUAAUUAUAUAUAUGAAAAAAAUGCAAUGAAAAAAUACACUUGUAUGUAUGAAAAAAAGCACUGAACACAGAGCCUCGACGGCGGCGGCUCACAAUUGGGCGGCCGGCGAGGGCGACGGCGGCGGCUCACAACGGGGGCGGCCGGCGAGGGCGACGGCGGCGGUGGCAAGGGUGUCGGCGACGACCACGGCAGGCCGGGGCAGGGGCGUGGCCUGCGAGGGCGNNNNNNNNNNNNNNNNNNNNNNNNNNNNNNNNNNNNNNNNNNNNNNNNNNNNNNNNNNNNNNNNNNNNNNNNNNNNNNNNNNNNNNNNNNNNNNNNNNNNNNNNNNNNNNNNNNNNNNNNNNNNNNNNNNNNNNNNNNNNNNNNNNNNNNNNNNNNNNNNNNNNNNNNNNNNNNNNNNNNNNNNNNNNNNNNNNNNNNNNNNNNNNNNNNNNNNNNNNNNNNNNNNNNNNNNNNNNNNNNNNNNNNNNNNNNNNNNNNNNNNNNNNNNNNNNNNNNNNNNNNNNNNNNNNNNNNNNNNNNNNNNNNNNNNNNNNNNNNNNNNNNNNNNNNNNNNNNNNNNNNNNNNNNNNNNNNNNNNNNNNNNNNNNNNNNNNNNNNNNNNNNNNNNNNNNNNNNNNNNNNNNNNNNNNNNNNNNNNNNNNNNNNNNNGCAACUGGCGAUGUGUUCGUCAAAUUUUCCUAAGUGUUGUAUAUAUAGCAAGAGCAUUGGUCCCGGUUCGUGAAACCAACCGGGACCAAUGCCCCCUUUAGUCCCGGUUGGUGCCACCAACCGGGACCAAAGGCCUCUUUUCAGCAGCACAAAGGGCGGGAAGCGGCGGCCUUUGGUCCUGGUUGGUGGCACCAACCGGGACCAAUGCCUCCCCCUUCAGUCCCGGUUGGUGCCACCAAUCGGGACCAAAGGACCCUGUGUUGCCCGCGUCGGGGCCAAAGUUUAGUCCCACCUCGCUAGUUGAGAGGGGCACGCAGUGGUUUAUAAGCCCCACUGCCGCACCCCUCUCGAGCUCCUCUCCACCGUAGGCUUGCGGGCCUAUUUGCUACUGCUUUGCCUGAUGGGCCUUCUGGGCCUACUGCGGGCCUGAAUCCUGGCCCAUUGUAGGGUUUCUAGUCGUAUUCAGGCCGUGGGGGCCGAGUAGGAGGCAUUUUUUUCUUUCUUGCUUUAUUUAUUUUAUUUUGUUUCUACUUACAACAAAAUACUUAUUGUUGCUAUUUUUAAAUAUUUUGCAUUAUUUAUUUUCUUUUGUUUUUUUCUUUAUUUUUUAAUUCUUUUUGCUUUUAGUUUUAGAAAAAAUAUAAACUUUCUGUUAUUGCCAUUAGUUUUCAAAUUUGAAAACACUUUUUUUGUUUUUUAUUUUCUUUCUUGCUUUAUUUAUUUUAUUUUGUUUGUACUUACAACAAAAUACUUAUUGUUGUUAUUUUUAAUUGUUUUUUGUUUUGUUUUCUGCAUUAUUUAUUUUCUUUUGUUUUUUGCUUUAUUUUUUAAUUCUUUUUGCUUUUAGUUUGAGAAAAAUUAUAAACUUUCUAUUAGUGCCAUUAGUUUUCAAAUUUGAAAAACCUUUUUUUGUUUUUUUGUUUUCUUUCUUGCUUUAUUUAUUCUAUUUUGUUUCUACUUACAACAAAAUACUUAUUGUUGCUAUUUUUAAUUAUUACGAGGGCCGAACCAUAAGACAUUAAAGCAUUUCAAAUGAACUAUGAGAAAGUUGAAAGUUGGCAUGGUAUCAUAAAUUCACCCACGUAGCAUGUGCAUGUACAAAAUGGACAAUGGUAUCAUACUCGUGUGUUACAAAGUUGGCAUGGUAUCAUCAUAAUAGUUGCGGGAGAAAAUCUUCACUUUUUCUUCGCUUGUGUCAUUUGCUUAUUGCGCCGUAACCAUGGAUAAUCUUCAUCGUUUAUCAGGAUGCUGGGGUCAACCUUGACUUUGAAGGGAGGAAUUUCAUGAAACUUUUCAUAAUCUUCAGACAUGUCUGUCUUGCCCUCCACUCCCACGAUGUCCCUUUUUCCUAAAAGAACUAUGUGGCGCUUUGACUCAUCGUAUGAUGUAUUCGCUUCCUUAUCUUUUCUUUUUCUCGGUCUGGUAGACAUGUACUUCACAUAGAUAACCUGUGCCAAAUCAUUGGCUAGGAUGAACGGUUCGUCAGUGUACCCAAGAUUUUUCAGAUCCACUGUUGUCAUUCCGUACUAUGGGUCUACCUGUACCACGCCUCCUGACAGAUUGAUCCAUUUGCACUUAAACAAAGGGACCUUAAAAUCAUGUCCAUAGUCAAGUUCCCAUGUGUCCACUAUGUAACCAUAAUAUGUGUCCUUUCCCUCUCGGUUGUUGCAUCAAAGCGGACACCGCUGUUUUGGUUGGUGCUCUUUUGAUCUUGGUUAAUCAUGUAAAAUGUAUUCCCAUGUAUCUCAUAUCCUUUCCAAAUCGUAACAGUCGAGGAUGGUCCCCUGGAUAACAAGUACAGCUCAUCACAAACAGUGUUGUCACCUCUGAGACGUGCUUCCAACCAACUGCUGAAAAUCCUGAUGUGUUCACAUGUAAACCAGUCGUCGCACUGCUCCGGGUGUUUGGAGCGCAGACUGUUCUUGUGUUCAUCGACAUACGAGGUCACCAAGGUAGAGUUCUGUAGAACUGUGUAGCGUGCUUGAGACCAAGAAUAUCCGUCCCUGCAUAUUAUUGAGUCCCUUCCAAGCGUGCAUUUUCCAGUCAGUCUCCCCUCAUACCGCGAUUGAGGGAGACCUAUCUUCUUAAGGCCAGGAAUGAAGUCAACACAAAACCCGAUGACAUCCUCUGUUUGAUGGUCCAUGGAGAUGCUUCCUUCUGGCCUAGCGCGGUUACGGACAUAUUUCUUUAGGACUCCCAUGAACCUCUCAAAGGGGUACAUAUUGUGUAGAAAUACGGGGCCCAGAAUGACAAUCUCAUCAACUAGAUGAACUAGGACGUGCGUCAUGAUAUUGAAGAAGGAUGGUGGGAACACCAGCUCGAAACUGACAAGACAUUGCACCACACCACUCCUUAGCCUUGGUAUGAUUUCUGGAUCGAUCACCUUCUGAGAGAUUGCAUUGAGGAAUGCACAGAGCUUCACAAUGGCUAAUCGGACGUUUUCCGGUAGAAGCCCCUUCAAUGCAACCGGAAGUAGUUGCGUCAUAAUCACGUGGCAGUCAUGAGACUUUAGGUUCUGAAACUUUUUCUCCAACAUAUUUAUUAUUCCUUUUAUAUUCGACGAGAAGCCAGUCGGGACCUUCAUACUAAGCAGACAUUCAAAGAAGAUUUCCUUCUCUUCUUUGGUAAGAGCAUAGCUGGGGGACCUUCAUACUGCUUUGGAGGCAUGCCGUCUUUUUCGUGCAAAUGUUGCAGGUCCUCCCGUGCCUUAGCUGUAUCUUUUGUCUUCCCAUACACGCCCAAGAAGCCUAGUAGGUUCACGCAAAGGUUCUUCGUCACGUGCAUCACGUCGAUCGAAGAGAGGACCUCUAGGUCUUUCCAGUAGGGUAGGUCCCAAAAUAUAGAUUUCUUCUUCCACAUGGGUGUGUGUCCCCCAGCGUCACUCGGAACAGCUAGUCCGCCGGGACCCUUUCCAAAGAUUACGUGUAAAUCAUUGACCAUAGCAAGUACGUGAUCACCGGUACGCAUGGCGGGCUUCCUCCGGUGAUCUGCUUCGCCUUUGAAAUGCUUGCCUUUCUUUCGACAUUGAUGGUUGGUCGGAAGAAAUCGACGAUGGCCCAGCUACACAUUCUUCCUGCAGCUUCCCAGGUAUAUACUAUCGGUGUCAAGUAAACAGUGCGUGCAUGCGUGGUAUCCCUUGUUUGUCUGUCCUGAAAGGUUACUGAGAGCGGGCCAAUCGUUGAUGGUCACAAACAACAACGCCUUUAGGUGAAAUUCCUCCUGUUUGUGCUCAUCCCACGUACAUACACCGUUUCCAUUUCACAGCUGUAAUUUUUUUUCACUAAUGGCCUUAGGUACACAUCAAUGUCGUUGCUGGGUUGCUUAGGGACUUGGAUGAGAACUGGCAUCAUAAUGAACUUCCGCUUCAUGCACAUCCAAGGAGGAAGGUUAUACAUACAUAGAGUCACGGGCCAGGUGCCGUGAUUGCUGCUCUGCUCCCCGAAAGGAUUAAUGCCAUCCGCACUUAAAGCAAACCAUACGUUCCUUGGGUCACUUGCAAACUCAUCACAGUACUUUCUUUUGAUUUUUCUCCACUACGAUCCGUCAGCGGGUGCUCUCAACUUCCCGUCUUUCUUACGGUCCUCACUGUGCCAUCGCAUCAACUUGGCAUGCUCUCCGUUUCUAAACAGACGUUUCAACCAUGGUAUUAUAGGAGCAUACCACAUCACCUUCGCAGGAACCAUCUUCCUCGGGGGCUCGCCAUCAACAUCACCAGGGUCAUCUCGUCUGAUCUUAUACCAUAAUGCACCACAUACCGGGCAUGCGUUAAGAUCCUUGUACGCACCGCGGUAGAGGAUGCAGUCAUUAGGGCAUGCAAGUAUCUUCUGCACCUCCAAUCCUAGAGGGCAUACGACCUUCUUUGCUACGUAUGUACUGUCGGGCAAUUCGUUAUCCUUUGGAAGCUUCUUCUUCAAUAUUUUCAGUACCUUCUCAAAUCCUUUGUCAGGCACAGCAUUCUCUGUCUUCCACUGCAGCAAUUCCAGUACGGUACCGAGCUUUGUGUUGCCAUCUUCACAAUUGGGGUACAACCCUUUUUUGUGGUUCUCUAACAUGCGAUCGAACUUCAGCUUCUCCUUUUGACUUUUGCAUUGCGUCCUUGCAUCGACAAUGACCCGGCGGAGAUCAUCAUCAUCGGGCACAUCGUCUGGUUUCUAUUGAUCUUCAGCAGCUUCGCCUGUUGCAGCAUCAUCGUUCAGAUCGUCUGGUUCCUCUUGAUCUUCAGUAGCAUCACCGUAUUCAGGGGGCACAUAGUUGUCAUCGUACUUUUCUUAUUCGCCAUCUUCCAUCAUAACCCCUAUCUCUCCGUGCCUCGUCCAAACAUUAUAGUGUGGCAUGAAACCCUUGUAAAGCAGGUGGGUGUGAAGGAUUUUCCGGUCAGAGUAAGACUUCGUAUUCCCACAUAUAGGGCAUGGACAACACAUAAAACCAUUCUGCUUGUUUGCCUCAGCCACUUCGAGAAAUUCAUGCAUGCCCUUAAUAUACUCGGAGGUUUGUCUUGAACCGUACAUCCAUUGCCGGUUCAUCUGCUUGCAUUAUAUAUAAUUAAGUGUGUCAAAAAUCAUUACAAAACAUCAUGAAUAGAUAAUUAAGUGACCAAAUUAAUAGAAGUUCAUCAUCACAUUAAAACCAAAGUACAUACAUAGUUCUCAUCUAACAACAUAAAGCUCUGCAGAGCAUCUAAAUUAAUUAAACCAUACACUGAAACUAUGUAAAAUAUUUCAAUGCGAAAACAAAUGCGAUCAUAAUCGCAACCAAUGUAACAACUGAUCCAACGACAUAAUGAUACCAAGCCUGGGUAUGAAUGGCAUAUUUUCUAAUCUUUCUAAUCUUCAAGCGCAUUGUAUCCAUCUUUAUCUUGUGAUCAUCCACGACAUCCGCAACAUGCAACUCCAAUAUCAUCUUCUCCUCCUCAAUUUUUCUAAUUUUUUUCUUCAAGAAAUUGUUUUCUUCUUCAACUAAAUUUAACCUCUCGACAAUAGGGUCGGUUGGAAUUUGCGGUUCAACAACCUCCUAGAUAAAUAAAAUCUGUGUCACGUUGGUCGGCAUAAUUGUCAUAAACAAUAAAUGAACCAAUAGUUAUGAAAAGAUAAUAUAUACCACAUCCGAAUCAUAGACAUGACGAGGGCCGACGUGGGCGGAUACCAAAACCAUUGCACUAUAUAAGAUGCAAUAAUAAAAGUAAGAAAAUUAUACAAGUAUCUAUAUAAACAUACAAGUAAUAAUUUUUUUCCUUUCAGAAAGAAGAUAAGAACAAGAGGCUCACCACGGUGGUGCCGGCGACGAGAUCGGCGCGGGCGAUCGAUGACGGUGAAGACGGGGACGGGACGUGACAGACCGCUAAACCUAGACAAAUAUUGAGGAAAAUGGAGCUUGGAGGUCGAGCUUGGAGAGGAAAAAGCUUAAGUAGUGUGCCUGGGGCAUUCUAUCGAACACCUCAUGUGCAUAGGAGGUGAGCUAGAGCACCACAAAGCUCUUUCCUCGCCGGCCACAAAAAACAGAGCAGUGAGAGUGCUCUGCUCGCGGACGAGGGGUAUAUAUAAGCAAUUAAUUGGUCCCGGUUCGUGGCUUGAACUGGGACUAAAGGGAAGCCUUUGGUCCCGGUUCAGUCCACCAAUCGGGACCAAUGGUGGUGGGCCAGGACCAAGGCACAUUGGUCCCGGUUCGUCCCACCAACCGGUACCAAAAGGUCCAGACGAACCGUGACCAAUGGCCCACGUGGGCCGGCCGACCCCCGGGGCUCAUGAACCGGGUCCAAUGGCCCCAUUGCUCCCGGUUCUGGAUUGAACCGGGACUAAUGGGCUGACCCGGCCUGGACCAAUGCCCCCUUUUCUACUAGUGAUAUAUAGCACCAAUUGCUUUAUACAUUCCCUGGUUCAAUGUGGAACAAAUAAUAGCGAGAAUCAGCCUAGCUUUUCUUUUCUUUCUUAUAAAGGAGGAACGAGCUUGCUUAGUGCAUGUAGGUCUGGGAUUCGACCUGAAAUGCAAUUCGAACAUAUGGAUAAAGCAUUUCGUUGAUGCCGCAAUUAUUGCAAGAAUCUUGUCGAUACGUUUCGAAAGACGUAGAUCUUGUUAGUCCUUUUCAUCCAAAGCAUCCCCCGAGUACGUGUCAAAACAGGAGAAGCCUGGCCCGGCCCAAUCUCGAUGUAACGUGAUCUCAAGAGAUUGACGUAUUGAAAUUAGAAUUCACCCUAUCCCCGCCUGCUCUCUCACAAGUGAAGCAACACAACACGAUCUAUGACUGUUAUACCCUAUAUCCUUAAGCAGCACGGAGAAGCUAGGUUUGGCAACGACGGGUGCUCGUGCAUGGAGGGUAUGUAAGACAAUAAGUUUUGGGGAACCAGCACAACCAUCUAGGGGUGGCUUAUCUCAUUAUAUAUAAUGGUUGUGUUACAAUAUGUACCAUAUACGUACAUAGGUACAGAAGCUAUACAUAGUCUAACACCCUCCCUCAAUCUUAGCCACUUUCUAAAGAACUGAGAAGGGUAAGAUUGCGCCUACAAGCCUCAAACUGUGGCAGCGGUAAAGGCUUAGUGAAGAUGUCUGCAAGUUGAUCCUUGGAUGAGAUAAACUUGAUCUGGAGUUGCUUCUGUGAUACACGUUCCCGUACAAAGUGAUAGUCAACUUCAAUGUGUUUCAUUCGGGCAUGAAAUACUGGAUUUGCAGAAAGGUAUGUAGCACCGAUGUUAUCACACCAAAGAAUAGGAGGCUGUGGUUGAGACAAACCCAACUCCUGAAGCAAAGACUGCACCCAAAUAAUCUCUGCAGUAGCAUUAGCCAUAGCCUUGUACUCAGCUUCAGUACUGCUACGUGACACAGUAGCCUGUUUCCGAGCACUCCAGGCGAUCAAAUUAGAGCCAAAGAAUACUGCAUAACCCCCCGUGGAUCGCCUGUCAUCUGGGCUACCAGCCCAAUCUGCAUCAGAGAAGGCCGAAAGGACCCGAGAGGAAGUCGGCCGAAUAUGCAUACCAAAUGUCAGGGUGAACUGAACAUAACGAAGAAUGCGUUUAACAGCAGCCCAAUGAGUAUCUCUGGGAGCCUGAAGAUACUGGCAAACCCUGUUAACAGCAUAAGAGAUAUCUGGUCUCGUGAUCGUCAAGUACUGAAGUCCACCAACAAUGCUCCUGUACUCUGUGGCAUCCGCAGGGGACAAAAGCUCACCAUCAACAGCUGUUAUCUUGUCGAUAGACGACAUGGGUGUGGUGGUCGGUUUGCACUUCAGCAUGCCAGCUCUUUGUAACAACUCCAUGGAGUACUUCUUCUGCGUAAGGACAAGACCAGUAGCACGAGAAGUGACCUCAACUCCAAGAAAGUAGUGAAGCUUCCCAAGAUCUUUGACCGCAAAAUCAGCACCAAGAGAGCAGACAAGAGCAUCAGCAGCAUACUGAGAAGAGCUGACAAGGAUAAUAUCAUCGACAUAUACCAAAAGAUACAUAGUGACUUCUGGCUUCUGUAGAAGAAAUAAUGAAGUGUCAGCAGUAGACGGCACAAAACGAUGAGCACGAAGGGCAGAGGCAAGGCGGGCAUGCCAGGCAUGAGGAGCUUGCUUCAAACCAUAUAGUGCUUUGGAAAGACGAUAGAUAUAGUCAGGACGAUCAGGAUCAGAGAAACCAGGCGGCUAUUUCAUAUAAACCUCUUCCUCCAAAAAUCCAUGUAGAAAAGCAUUCUGCACAUCAAGUUGACGAAGUGACCAACCACGAGAAACAGCAAUGGAGAGAAGAAGCCGAAUAGUGGUAGGCUUGACGACAGGACUGAAGGUGUCCUCAUAGUCAAGACCAUGACGCUGCCGAAAACCGCGAGCAACAAGUCGCGCUUUGUAACGCUCAAUAGAUCCAUCCGAAUGCUUCUUCACUUUGAAUACCCAUUUUGAGUCAAUAACAUUUACCCGUGGUGGUGGAGGAACGAGAGUCCAUGUCUUGUUACGAAGAAGAGCAUGAAACUCCUGCUCCAUAGCCUCUCGCCAAUGUGGAAUGCGCAGGGCAGCCUGAUAUGAGCGAGGCUCAGAAGAUGGAUCCGCAACAGCAGCAGCCAAACAAGCAGCCAACCAAGCAACCGUACCAUCCUUACGUUCCUUAGGUUUGAAAAUGCCACUGCGACUGCGUGUAUGUGGUCGGGACACAGGAACCACCGAGGUCGACGGAGCAGCCUGCAACGGGUUGGAGGACGGCGACGUUGACGAGUCAGCCGGUGACGAGGAGCCAGUCACGGUAGCCUCGGACUCGGUUGGGGAAGAAGGCCGACCCACAGGCGAAACCGGCAGAGCAGACGAAGCAGCUGGCGACUCCGGCAUCACAGACCGGGCCGAUGGCGAGCUCGGCAUAGUGGGCCGUGGCGCGGCCGAUGUCGCGGGCCGAUCCGCUGAUGAAGGCGACGUGAGGACCCGAGCCGCGGGCGAAGACGGCGUGACGGGCCGAGCCGCAGGCGAAGACGGCGUGACGGGCCGAGCCGCGGGCGACUCGGCGGCCGCUGGCGAAACGGACCGAGCAGUGGAGAUGCUCGGCGCGACGGGCUCGUCGGGUGACCAUGCAUGGGCACGCGAAUCGAUGCCAUGCAACAUAGGGCGAUCGACGUGCCCACCAGAAGACGACGAUGAUGAUGGUGAAUCCUCCAACAGCUCCAAACGAGCUCCACGUCCGGUUCCUGCACCAUGGUUAGGUAACAGCAAAGGAGAGUAUGCAACAUCAUCAAAUUGGUCAGAAGCAACAGAGGAUGAAUGCAGGGAUGGUGGUUCGACAGUGGACACAGGAAGGUUGGCAAAGGGAAAAACAUGCUCAUCAAACACGACGUCCCGAGAUAUAUAGACACGAUUAGUGGGAACAUGAAGACAUUUGUAACCUUUAUGAAGAGAGCUAUAGCCAAGAAAAACACACUUCUUAGAACGAAACUCAAGCUUGCGCUUGUUAUAUGGACGAAGAUGCGGCCAGCAAGCACACCCAAAUACCUUGAGAAAGGUAUAAUCAGGUUGUUCAUUAAGGAGAAUCUCAAUGGGAGUCUUCAUGUUUAAAACACGAGUAGGAGUACAGUUGAUGAGAAAGCAUGCAGUGGUGAAAGCAUCACUCCAAAACCGAAACGGAACAGAUGCAUGGGCCAAAAGAGUAAGACCAGCUUCAACAAUAUGACGAUGCUUACGUUCGACUGAACCAUUCUGCUGAUGUGUAUGUGGACAUGCUAAACGAUGAGCUAUCCCAAGCGACUGAAAGAAAGAGUUGAGGUUGCGAUACUCGCCCCCCCAGUCUGACUGGACAUGAACAAUUUUGUGCUUGAGAAGACGUUCAACAUGUUUUUGAAACUGAACAAAAAUAUCAAACACAUCAGAUUUGCGUUUAAUAAGGUAAAGCCAGGUAAAGCGACUAUAAGCAUCAACGAAACUGAUAUAGUAAUUAUGACCACUGACAGAAGUCUGAGCAGGACCCCAUACAUCUGAAAACACAAGUUCUAAAGGAUGUUUCACCUCACGACUGGACUCCGAAAAAGGAAGUUGAUGACUCUUCCCCUGCUGACAAGCAUCACACACUGCUACAUCUUUAUUACUAGACAAACUAGAAAGCUCAUGACGACGCAAAAUAUGACGAACAAUAGGUGUGGCCGGGUGACCAAGACGAGCAUGCCACUGUGACGGAGAGACCCGAACUCCACUGAAAACACGAGCGACACCAGGAUGCUCCAGACGGUAGAGGCCCUGGCACAACCGCCCACUAAAAAGAAUGUCCCUCGUGCCCCGAUCCUUAAUAAAAAGAUCAAAAGGGUAAAAUUCACAAAGCACAUUAUUAUCACGUGUGAGUUUAGGAACUGAAAGAAGAUUACGGGUCACAGAUGGAACUCGAAGAACAUUGCAAAGCUGAAGACUCCUAUUGGCAUGUCUAGUGAGAAGAGAUGCUUGACCAAUAUGAGAGAUGUGCAUACCUGCUCCAUUGGCGGUGUGGAUCUUGUCGGAGCCAUGAUAGGGUUCACGAGUGUGAAGCUUCCCCAUCUCGCUGGUUAGAUGCUCUGUCGCCCCAGAGUCCAUGUACCAGUGUGGAUCGAUGGAGUAGGACUGAGUGUGUCCCUGUUGCUUCUGCGGCACGGGACGAUCAGCCAUGGCAACCUGACGGGCAUUGUUGCGUGUAUCUUUGCCGUCAUUGCCAAGACCAAGGAAGCUUCGCUGGAAGCGCUUAUGACACUUGGAGGCCCAGUGCCCAUCGCGGCCACAAAGCUGACACACACGUGGACCGCCAGCCCCAAGGGAGACCGGGGUGAUGAAGAAGAGCGGCCACCCUUGGUGGCGGCGUUGGCCGAGAGGGAGCCAGUGCCCCUCGUGCGGCGAGUCUCGACCCGUUGCUCAGUGAGAAGGAGCCGAGAGAAAACCUCGUGUGCCAGCAUGGGUGUCGAGUUGCCCCGCUCGUUGAUGAUCUCGACUAAGGCAUCAUACUCCUCAUCAAGACCAUUGACAAUAAAUGAGUUGAACUCGGAGUCGGUGAGGGGCUGUCCAAUGGAGGCCAAUGUGUCGGCGAGGCCCUUGACCUUGUUGUAGAACUCAGUGGCAGUGGAGUCAAGCUUCUGACACUCUCCAAGCUGACGACGGAGUGCAGAGACACGAGCCUGGGACUGCGCUGCAAAGGUGCGCUCAAGGAUGGUCCAGGCCUCAUGAGACGUCUUCGCGAAGACAACAAGGCCGGCAACUGCCGGCGAGAGCGACCCCUGGAUGGAGGAGAGGUUCGCCUGGUCCUGCCCCGUCCAGACGCGAUGGGCCGGAUUGUAGACCGGACCGUGCACGCUGUCUACCAGCGCGGGUGGGCAGGGAAGCGAUCCGUCGACGUAGCCUAGCAGGUAGUGACUCCCCAAGAGCGGGAGAACCUGCGCACGCCAGAAGAUGUAGUUGUCGGCGGAGAGCUUGAUGGUGAUGAGAUGACCGAAGUGAAACGGUGGCGGCGAAGACGAUCCCAUCGAGGAGGCUGCCUGGGGUGCAAACACCAUGGAGGCAGCCGGAGGCACCGAAGCCGAUGCGGGAGGAGGCGGGACCGCAGCCAGGGCGGGCGCCGCAAAGCUCGCGGCCGGUGCGGACGCCGCAAGGCCCGCGGCCGGGGCGGACGCCGCCAACCCCGCCAGCGGGGCAGUGUGAUCCGCUUGCGGCAGGAGCGGCGGGACGACGCCUGCGGAGUCCACAGCGGACGGCGGCGCCGCGGUGUGGACCACGAGGUCACGCCCAAGCGAGGGCGCCGGCGGCGUGGAGAAGACGGAGCCGAUGCUCCUUGUCCCGAUCGGAGCCGGAACAGAGACGACAUUGAGCGGGAGGUUGAGCAGAGCCGCAAGAGAGGCCGGGAGGAAGCCCGCAGCAGUGGAACCGGUGGUGGCGGCGCUCGACAUGGCGGCGGCGCGAUCGGUGGCGCGGCGGCGGCGGUGAAGGCGGCGGCGGCUGCGGCGGCGGUGCGGGUAUUAGGGUUUAGAAGCGGAAGCGAUCGUAACCUAGCGUGAUACCAUGUAAGACAAUAAGUUUUGGGGAACCAGCACAACCCUCUAGGUACAUCGGUACAGAAGCUAUACAUAGUCUAACAGUAGACAUCGACGUGCGUUGCGAAACCAAGCCACCGGCCAGAAAGUUUCGAAGGUGUGGUCAUUCGGUUGGCCGUUGAAUUACCCUCGGUCCCGGCAAGAGCUGGACGCAGCGGCGCGCGUCGGAACUCAGGAUUGGUCUGCGAGGCAGUAAUUCCGUCCUGGUCAGCUCCUCCUGUGCUAGCUUGCUACACGCGCCGAAAGAGAUGUGACGUCGCGUACGUGUAUCACUUUGCAUGUCCGGCAACCAGUGAGCGCCAUGCACGUAGCCACGUACCCUACCCUAGCGAGCACCAUAUUUUCUUCGGUCGUAUUGUAUCGUACAAUAAUCCAUGACCUCUCGUUCCCUUGUAGUACGUGGAAACGUGUGGUCGGUAACUCGGUAUGGCACGCACGUUAGUCCAUGGAUCGGAAUGCGACGAUAGAUCGAGCGGCUAGCUGCAUGUGCUAGCAUAAUCCGUGGCGUCUCUCCAAGGAUACAGUACGUCCAUCUGUCAGGGGAUUCGAUGCAUGCAGCAUGCAUGCGUACUUUUGUUGGGUGGUGCAAAGACUUUGACACUAAUGUCCGGCUGCAAUUUUUUGCUUACUGAGAUUUUUUUAGUAACUUUAAUUGGCCGGCAAUUGAUCGCGGGCAACCCAUGCUGCCGUAGAUAUGGACCUCAUAAUUCACCAGUUCAUUCUUUUUUACAGCCAUAACAUUCACCUUGGUUGGUCUCUUUGGGAAGAAAUAUUUUAGGAGACGGUCGAGUACUUUCGACGACGACCGGGCUGUCAAAGCUGGCCGAGGCGUAACGGGCACCUACUUUAUUUAUUGUACGCCCGUAAGAUGCCGGCCACUGCCAGCCAUGGAUUGUUGAAAGAAGUCUGUACUUUCUACGAGUGCACGUACGCUGACGGAAUCUACCACAUGUCGAUCGGUUUGAGCCUAAUCCCGACCACACGUACGUUCCCGCUAAUUAACCACGCCCGUGCAGUAUAAUACUCCUAUAUACUAGACGAAUGCAUGUACGACGACGAGCUAAACAAUGGUUUUCGAACAAUUGUAUAGUUUCUCCAUGUUGAACAACGAAAACGACAGGAUUAAAAUCAAAUGAUCGCCAGCUAGCUCUGUCUUUCGGUUAUAUAGUCGUACUUUAGUUCAAAACCGUGAUACUUAUUUUAGAUCGGAGAGAGUAGUGAAUUUUUAAUCAGACCCAACGACACAGAUCUACGGCGUAACAACGACACAGAUCUACGGCGUAACAGACCCAACGACACGGCACGGCGUACCUCCCUGCGUCUCGCCGGGAUUUGGAUCUCGAACCAAGGAGAAUAUCUCAGAGAGAGAGGACUUGGAGAAGGGGAAAAGAGCAGGCAGGAAAGCUUGAAUAAGAAACAAUAGUUGUGAUUACAAUUCGAUGCCUCCCACACACGCCAGCCACACGCUUAUAAGCCUAAUCCACCCACGCCACACGGGCUGAGCCACACAGGCCCAAUAACACACGGGCGGGCCUGGCCCAGGUCGUUGCACUCCCCUCCUCUUAAGGAACAGCUCGUCCUCGACUGUUCAUCAACCGGCCGUUGUCGUUGCAGUCACAGCUGAAGACCAUUCCCAAGUCGCCAUUGUAAUUGGGAGUCCACGCCAUGCAAUCUUCCAUUGCGUGCGUGUGUGUCCACCCACACGAACCAACCUUGUUUGAAGAAUUUGAGCCGGUUUGGACAGUUUAUCCCCCAGCAGAAAUAGAGAAUCCAUAGUGUCUGAAGUAGGGGUUGGCGGGUCUGCCGGUUUGAGCAGCGAAACGUGCACCACAGGGUGAAUCUUGCUAGUCUCUGGCAGGGCCAAACGAUAUGCAACCUCGCCGACACGUUCAGUGAUCUGAUACGGACCAAAAUACUUAAAACCCAACUUGUGGUUGGAACGUCUGACAACAGUUUGUUGCACAUAAGGCUGCAGCUUCAGAAAUGCCCAGUCGCCAACUUGAAACUGUCGAUCCGAUCGAUUAGUGUCUUCCUGAUGUUUCAUCCUGUGUUGAGCUCGCAACAGGUGUUCUCGGAUCAAUCCUUGCAUCAGGUUCCUUUCAGCCAACCAUCCAGACAGAUCAGAGGACAGAGUACUCUCAAGAUUGGCAAUGCCCAAGUGUCGAGGUUGAUACCCAUACAGUACCUGAAAUGGGGUUGUUCCAAGUGCAGAGUGGUAGUUUGUAUUGUACCAGUACUCAGCCUGAGAUAACCAAUAAGCCCACUUUUUGGGAGUUGAAUGUACCAAGCAUCUGAGAAAAGUUUCUAAGCAUUGAUUCAGUUUCUCCGUUUGACCAUCAGUCUGGGGAUGAUUAGCAGAACUCAUAUUCAUCUUGGUGUCAGUGAGUUUGCACAAUUCUUGCCAGAUAUUGCUGGUAAAUAUAGGAUCUCUGUCAGUAACCAGGACCUGGGGAAGACCAUGAAGCUUAUAGAUGUUAUCCACAUAUAUCUGUGCGACUUGUAGAGCAGUAAAGGGAUGACAUAAGGGAAUGAAGUGCCCAUAUUUGCUGAACUUGUCGAUAACCACCAGGAUUAUGUCAAAGUUUUUGCUCUUGGGGAGACCUCCAAUAAAAUUCAUGCUGACCAUAUUCCAGGCUUCUUUAGGAAUGGGCAAUGGACUUAAUAGUCCUGGUUUCUUAAUAUGCUCAGACUUUGCUUGUUUACACACCACACAAGCUUGUACAUAGGCUUGGAUAUCCUGUUUCAAUGCUGGCCAAGCAAACAAUCCCUUGAUGCGUUGGUAAGUGUCCUGGAAUCCAGAAUGACCUCCAACUCCACUGUCAUGCAAAGAAAGCAUAAUAGCUUGGUGAGCUUCUUUAUUGUGGCCCAACCAAAUCCUGUCUUUGUACCUUUAUCACUCCUUGAUGUAGAGUAUAACCUUUGUCAUUGGAACCAGUCAGGGCCAGUUCUUGCAGUAAUUCCCUAUCUACCUCGUACUGCUGGUAUCCUUCUGUCACAACAGCUAACCAUUUGGGUGUGCAAAAGGAGAUAGCAGACAACUCCAUUGGGGCAGGAGAUCUGGAUAAGGCAUCUGCAGCUGCAUUAUCCAUGCCUUUCCUAUAGAUGAUGUUGUAUUGCAGACCUAGCAGUUUAAGAAAUGCUUUCUGUUGCAUGGUACCACUGAGUUUUUGCUCUUGAAGAUGUGUCAAGCUUUGAUGAUGUGUGGAAAUAGUGAAAGGAGCAUGCUGCAGAUAAGAUUUCCAUUUUUCCACAGCAAGGAGCACAGCCAAGCACUCUUUUUCAUAUGUGGACAGGGCUUGGGCGUUGAGUCCCAGGGCUUUGCUAAGGUAAGCAAGUGGAUGACCUUCUUGCACCAGUACACCCCCAAUGCCUUGAUUACUGGCAUCAGUUUCAAUUGUGAAAUGCUUCUUGAAAUCUGGGAGUGCCAAAACUGGUGCUUGAGCUAAUGCUGUCUUAAGAUGUUGAAAAGCAGCUUCAUUGGUUGGUGUCCACGAAAACACAAUAUCUUUCUUCAGUAAAUCAGAUAAACUCCUACUAAUAAUUCCAUAUUUUUUGAUGAAUUUUCUGUAGUACCCUGUGAGACCCAGAAAUCCUCUCAUAUCUCUAACACAGGUAGGCCUGGGCCACUGCUGCACAACUCUGAUCUUAGUAGGAUCAGUUUGCACUCCUUUGCCACUGAUAAUAUGUCCCAAGUAUUCCAGCUCUGUUUGAGCAAAAGAACAUUUGCUAAAUUUCACAAACAGCUGAUUUUCUUGAAGUAUAGUGAAAACCUGAUUGAGGUGCUCAAGAUGUGUUUUCAAGUCUGGGCUGUAGAUUAAGAUGUCAUCCAUGAAGAUAAGCACACAAUGUCUCAACAAAUGGGCAAACAGGGCAUUCAUAGCCGCUUGGAAAGUUGCAGGGGCAUUGAUUAAACCAAAGGGCAUGACCUUAAACUCAUAUAGGCCAUGAUGAGUUUUAAAAGCUGUUUUAUGUUCCUCUCAUUCAACCACUCGUAUUUGAUGAUAUCCUGAUCGAAGAUCCAGCUUAGUGAAAAAUGUAGCACCAGCCAACUCAUCAAGUAACUCAUCCACUACUGGCAUUGGAUAUUUAUGGGGCACUGUGACAGAGUUUAACAUUCUGUAGUCCACACAAAAACGCCAAGUUCCAUCUUUCUUCCUGACCAACAACACUGGAGAAGCAAAAGGACUAGUGCUCUCCUGGAUGACUCCUUGCUGUAACAUCUGAGUUACUUGUUGUUCAAUUUCAGUCUUCUGCAUUGGAUUGUAUCUGUAUGGUUUCACAUUGAUAGGUUUAGCUCCAGGUAGAAGAGGGAUUUGGUGAUCAAAGGACCUGUGGGGAGGGAGCUUGUCAGGUUCUGUGAAGACUUGUUUGUGCUUGGCCAAAAUUUCUUGCACUGCAGGAGGGAUGAAUUGAUCAGUAUCAGGGGCUUCCACAAUAUGAUUUAGUUGAAUCACUUGCUCCACUGCACCAGUGUUAAGUAACCCUUGCAAAUGCUUGCUAGUUAUGCCUGUGCAGGAAAUGACGUUCUCUCUUAUUCCUCUUAGAGUGAUCCUAACUCCUUGAUAUUUGAAUCUCAUGACCUUCUUUCUCCAGUCCACCCACAUAGGGCUCAUAGUUUCUAGCCACUACAUGCCCAAGAUGAUGUCAUAAGUGCCCAGGGGUAGCACUUUUAGAGAUGUAUUGAAGGUGUUUCCUUGACAAAACCAUUGCAAGUUAGGAACCUGUUUAUUGCAAUGUAACAAUCCUCCAUCAGCCACAGUAACUUUAGCCGCUGGUAUUUCUUCCACUGGGCACUGUAGGUGUUUCACUAGCUCUGCACAGAUGAAAUUUGUGGAACUACCUGAGUCAACUAAGAUCAACACUUGUCUCUUACCAACCACGCCCUGUAAUUGGAUACUAUCCUUUGAAGCAGUGCCCUGGGCUGCAUGGACUGACAGUUUCAUGAAUGCUUCUUCUGCUGUUGCUUUAUCGACCACGGGCUGUUCGGCUGGCUGUUCAGUUUCAGGUUCACUUUCAAAAAUUUCAGACAUCUGUAGAGCCUCGAUCAGUUCUUCCAGUACGUGAAGUUGGACUGUUGUGGGGCACUUGUGUCCUGGACCAUAUUUCUCCCCGCACUUGAAACAUUCUCCACGCGCUCGGCGUUGUGCCCUGAGGUUAUCCACUCGAUCUGGAGCUCUUUGAUGUGUUUCCGGGGGUUUAUCUUGUGCUGGUGUUGUUCCCAUAAUGCCCUGAUGCACAUAAUUUUUGGCAUUGGCUCUGUUUUCCCAUCUUUUGCUGUAUUUGGAGGUAUCUUCAGCCAACAAUGCUUCUUGUGUCUGUGCCAAGGAGUAAGCUAGAUCCACUGAAUUAGGUUGUUGCAGCUUGAUCGGCGCCCGGAUAGCAGGUUUCAGGCCCUCAAUGAACCUGUUGAUGAAAAAGGUUUCAUCGUAGGAGUGGUUAUACACAAGCAUCUUGUGCAUGUGCUCUUCAAACGCAUGAGCAUAAUCAUCGACAGACUCAGUUUGCUUGAGAGAGAAGAACACAUCAAUUGCUCGAGAAUACUUGUUCCUGUUGAAUUUAGCGAACACGGCCACACACAGAGCGGCCCAGCUAUCAAUAGUGUGCAUUACUUCAUAUGUCUGCAACCAGAGGGCUGCAUUUCCUGCCAAGUGCAUAGUAGCGAAAUCGACCCAUAAUUCUGAUUGAACAUUGUACAUCCGGAAGUAUUUUUCACACUGUUUUUUCCACCACUUGGGGUUAUCUCCCUCAAAUCUGGGGAAAUCAGAGCGAGGAAUGCGUGCGGAGAAUUUCCCAGGGGCAGAGUGAAACUGCGACUGCGGUGAUCUCUCAUAAUCGUCAUUGUCAUCAGAUAACUCGUCAGGGAAACGAGCGUGGGAUCUAGACUGCUCACCUCGAUUCCUCUGCUGGAAUGACACGCGCAGACCUCGAGUGUCCUAUCCUGAAUGGUGCUGAUCAGAGCUCUGUCGCUCUGUUUGUGGCGGCUCUGUCCGCCGGCCUUGAGCUGUUGUCGUGCCUGUCGGCUGCUCCAAAUUGUCGACGCGGUGUACGAUCCCGUCUAGGAACUUUCGCAUCUCGGCCAUAGCCGCAUCGAGGGAGUUGUGCGCGACGAGCACCCGCCCCAGCGUCGACUCGGUGCGGGCCAGCGAGCUCGUGGUCGUCGUGGCCAGCGCAUCGAAGGCCUUGGCCGAGGAGGAAGCGUACUUGUCGAGGGACUCCUGCAGCCCAUCCAGACGUUCCGCCGUCUUCGCGCCCGCCUCCGACACCGCCUUGCUCUGCACAAUCGUUGCCUGGACGAGCUGCUGCAGCUCGGCGAUGGUGAGCUCCGCGGCGUCCAUACGCGACGAGAGAUUGGGCUUGGUCGAACGCGCCGUUGGGAAGGUCCUGGAUCUACUCAACCCAGCGCAGGUACACCGGAGGUGUUUUGCGCGAGAUCACCCGAGGGGAUCUGCACCUUUUGCUAGGAAUUACAAGCCGAUCGAAGGAUUGAUUGUGAGCUCUGGAUGAAAAAUUUCAGAUCAGAGGAAGCGGAUCGAUACACGGCUCUGAGUACCAAAUGCUACGAUUCCGUAGCACCUCCCUGCGUCUUGCCGGGAUUUGGAUCUCGAACCAAGGAGAAUAUCUCAGAGAGAGAGAGGACUUGGAGAAGGGGAAACGAGCAGGGAGGAAAGCUUGAAUAAGAAACAAUAGUUGUGAUUACAAUUCGAUGCCUCCCACACACGCCAGCCACACGCUUAUAAGCCUAAUCCACCCACGCCACACGGGCUGAGCCACACAGGCCCAAUAACACACGGGCGGGCCUGGCCCAGGUCGUUGCAAAAAUUAAGCAUCCAUCAUGGUUCUUGUCACGAGGAUUACGGCCGAGCGUGUGUGGAUUAGCAGGCAAAUUGUUUGGCGACGGACAGAAUUGAGCGAGCUAGCGACAGGUCAGAUCAAAUUUCCACAUGCAUCCGUCAGCUAGGGAGGUCCGCCUCCCCCUCCGCGGAUAUCAGAUUUUAUUUUUACAUUUUUUUGAAAAGAAACGUGUUUCCCCCGUCCCAACGUUUAUUGAAAAGCAAAGGCGAAACCAACACAUCCAAGACAUUGCACAGCGCUCGGCAACAACCAAAGUUGCUGUUACAGAAGAAGGGUUUUAAGCUACCCUAUUACAGCACAGGAAAAGCCCAGCCAAGAGGCUGACUAACAAAAUAUAGGCAAAUUCAAGCUAGUUCAGGAUGCAUCCCAGGCUAUUCUAAGCAAUUCCCCUCUUCGUCGAUCCAAAAGCCUUAAACACCGGAGAAGUAACGUAUCCGGGGAGUCCGAGCACAAAAUUUUUCAUUGCCUUAGUAGUCCUCCCACCAGGUCCAUGAUGCAGUGAAUAUUUCGCCAUUUUCACCCUUGGAAAAGAAAUUCAUUGCCCAAAAUCCAUAAGCCCCACAAGGUAGCAGAUGUGACAAGAUUAACAUCCUCUUUUUUCUUUCUUUGUUUUCAUAAAACAAACAAGGAUAUGAAAGAUAUAGGUAAGGUGAUACACAUCCCUUCAGAAAUUAUUUUCCAGAUUUGGACAGCUACCACCAAUUCAAAAAAUAGGUGUUUAAUCGAUUCUUUCUCACUGCAAAACACACAAGUAGGGUCUUCCACAAGUCUCCUCUUAGCUAGAUUAUCUCUAGUCAGGCAUUUAUUAUAGUAAGCUAGCCAGAGGAAGACAUGAAUAUUGGAUGGAACUUUGGUUUUCCAAAUAGCAGUUAAUCAUUUUAUAAAAAGAUUUCACUGUGUAAAUCCCAGAUGGUUCAAGAUACCAUCUAGGAAUUUCUAGGGUAGCACCGGGUGUAAAUUUUCUGACUACAUCACACAGAUCCAACCACUUGUACAUGGUGACACCAUCCACACAUCUUCUAAAAGUUAGCUGUAGAGUAUUGCCAUCCCACACCUGGGCAAUGGUGGCAUCUUGUUGUUGACAGAUGUCAAAAAGCUCCCAAAAUCUGGUUUUUAGGGAACAUUCCCCAAUCCAAGUAUCAUGCCAGAAGGCAAUGCUCUCACCAUUCCCAGGCACCCAGCUAACAAAGGUUCUAGCAGCUUCUAGAGACCAGGUUAAGCUUUUCCAAAAAGGAGAGCCCAGCCCAGACUUGCCCCAAUAGAUAUUGGGCUUAUCAGUGGCAUACUUGAGAAAUAAUGAUUUUUUUUCAAGUCACUAUCUCUCCCAUCAUGAAACCUUCUCCCCCAUGAGGCCAGAAGGGUCAUGUUGUAUUCUCUGAGAUUGGGUACCACCAUUCCCCCAAAUUCCUUUCUCUUAGUAAUUAAGCCGCUAUUGGCAAGGUGAUAUUUAUGAGUAUCUCCCAUGUUACCCCCAAAAAAGUGAGACAUCUGUGAAGUAAUGGCAUCAAUGGCCCAUUUAGGAAACAUCAUAAUGGACAUCAAAUAAGCAGGAAUGCUAGCAAUGCAUGUGGUCACCAGGAUCAGCUUGCCUCUAUAGGAUAAAUGUUUUCCCAAUCAUCCAGCUAUAUUUUUGAUGAUCAUGUCUAUAAUAUGUUGGAUGUCCUCCCUCCUCAACUUUUUAAAGUGAAGAGGUACUUCAAGGUAUUUGAAAGGAAAAUCCCCAAACUGGUAGCAAAAAAUCUUUGCAAGCUCAUUGUACAUAUGUAGAGGAAUGUUUAUAGUAGUAGAUCACUUUUACUAAAGUUAAUUUUAAGACCAGAGAGGUUUUCAAAACAUGUCAACACCCACUUCAAAUUUCUGACAUAAACCAUAGAGUUUUGUAGGAAUAAGAUGGUGUCAUCAACAUACUGUAGGCUGAUGACACCACCAGGGAUCACUUGUGGAAGAAGACCAACAAUUAAACCACCUCUAGCAGCUUUGAAAGCAUCUUAGAAAACUCAUCAGCAACUUAGUUAAAAAGCAAAGAAUAAUGAGGAUCACCCUGCUUCAAUCCUUUGCCAGCCACAAAAUAUGAGCCAUUAGUUUCAUUAAUCCUGACCCGAAAGGUUCCUUGAUGUAGAGUACUAAACACCAAAUUAACCCAUUUAAUACCAAAACCCCUAGAAAGGAGCAUUCCUUUUAAUACCAAAGCCUUCUCAUAAUCCACCUUAACGACCAAACCAUCACCUCCUGAUCUAUGAACUUCCUGAAUGACUUCAUGAGCCACCACAACACUCUCCAGUAUGAACCUCCCGUUGAUGAAGGCAGUUUGAUUGGAAGAAAUUAGUUUAUCACACAAGGGUGAAACUCUAGUAGUCAUAGCCUUAGAAAAGAUCUUGACAACACAGUUACUAAGGCUAAUAGGUCUGAAAUUCUUCAUCUCCCUGGCUAGACGAAUUUUUGGGAUGAGUGUAAUAAGGGCAAAAUUAAGCCUAUGCAUGUCGAGUCUACCAUCUUCAAAAUCUUUGACCAUCCACAUAAAGUCUUUUUUGAUGAGAUCCCAAAAGGAUUGGUAAAAUAGAAAAGAUAAUCCAUCAGGACCAGGGGCCCCAUUGGCAUACUUACUCAGGAUAGCUUGCUUGAUCUCCUCCUCAGAAAAGGAUUUUUCUAGAUUAAUCCUGUCAGCUUAAGAGACUACCUCCUCCCCUUCCCAAAAGUUAGGUUCAAGAUGAAUAUCAGGUUUAGGAUCAAAGGCAAAAAGAUUUUUAUAAAAAUCAGUGACCACUUUCAGCAUGUCAGUUGUGGAUGUCACUAUCCCACUAGGGCCUUCCAAUUCAGAAAGGUGGUUUUUUCUAUGUCUAUGAUUAGCCAAGGCCUGAAAAUAGGCAUUAUUUCUGUCACCUUCAAGGAUCUUUCUAUCUCUAGAUAUCUGCCACAAAGCAGUUUCCUCUUUUUUCAGAUCUCAUCCAACUCUUUUUUGAUGUCUCCCAUCCUAGCAAAAUCACCAGGGGAUAAAUUGUGAGUCUCAGAAGAGACAUCUAGCAUAUCAAGGUCCAUAAGAAGGGCUUUCUUCUUUUUCUUAAUGGCAACUUCUAAAUUAAUACUCCAACCUUUAUUUUUUCCUAAGAACUCUAAUUUCAGCAUCCAAUUCUCAACAGAGGAGGUCCCAGAGGACACAAAGUUCCAGGCAUCCACUACAACCUGUCUAAAACCAGGUUGAGAGAGCCACCAUUUCUCAAACCUACCUAAACAUCUUAGGACCAACAUGUCUCCUGGCCCCUGUGUCCAGCACCAAGGGGGCAUGAUCACUACCAACCCUGGGGAGGGCAACAAGGGAGGACAUGGGAAAAUGAGCAUCCCAAUCCAAAGAAGUGAAAAUCCGAUCCAAGACAGCAAAACCUGGAUUCUCUUGAUUAUUGGACCAGGUAUAUUUUCUGUUGGAAACAAAAAUUUCCAUAAGAUUCCAACUAUUUAUCCAAUCAUUGAACAACAAAGCACUUUGUUGAUCAACAAGGCCAGUACUCUUCUCAUUGUUCCCUCUAAUCAAAUUGAAAUCACCACAAAUUAGAACAGGAUAGGAGUUGGAAACAAAACCAUCAUGUAACUUAGAAAUGCAAUCUAGUUUGAACUCAGGGUAAGAAGACCCAUAUACAAUCACCAAAUGCCAUAAAAAUCCAUAACUUUUGUUCUUAACAGUAGCUUUAAUUGAGAAUCUAUUAUUAGUAAACCCAAUCACAUCAAACUUAUCUUUUUUGAGACCAACGAAAAUACCACCAGCAGAACCCACGGCAGGAAAUAUUUCCAACUAAAAAUAUUCUUAGGAUCCAAGGAUCUAAGGAAACCGUCAGAGAUGAUUUCCUUCUUUGUUUCUUGGAAACCAAUAAAAUUAUGUUAGUGUAAGUGCAUCUAGUGCCACCGCUAGUUUAUUUUAGAGUAUUGACAUCAACUUGGUUGAGGAACUAAUGUGUUUGUGAGAAUUGCAGGAUAACACGGGUAGUAGUCCCAUAUUAACUCGGUUUACCUAGCAGAGAUGACUCCUAAAAAUGUGUGAAGACAUUGAAGACAAUGGUGGUCUGUGGAGAUAUUCACAUUGAAGACUAUGGCAUGAGAAGACAUCACAUGAAGACUAUGGAGUGCGAAGACAUGGUUGUUUCGUAGUUUCCUUUUCUUCCUUGUUGAGUCAUAGGAACCACCGUACUGUUAAGUGGGGUCCAAGUGAACAAAGUCAGAGUGACUGAGGUGAUGCUCAACCAAAUCCUAUGUCUUCAAGCGAAGACAAUGAGAGCAAAUCUUAUCUAGAGCUGGAUGAGUCAGCUUUACUUGUAGCCCAAAUUAAGCUGCCGCGUGUGUUCGAAACCUGACCGUUGGACACGUGUCCGUUCCUUAGUGACCCAGGGGCAUUUUGGAAAAAUCAGGCCGGGUUGCCUCCUGGCUAUAAAUAGCCCACCCCCUACACCAUAAAUUGGUGGCUGCUUAGAGUUAGUGCACGGCUUUUGUCAUUUGAGAGCAACCCACCUCCGAAGCCUUUGAGAGAGUAAUCCAAGCGAGGACAAAGCCUAAAACACCCAGAGCCAAAGAGUGUUAACGCAUCACUGAAGUCUUUCUGUCCGCGUGAUCUGAAGACUUAUUACACUUGAGGACUGUGAAUCCUCCAGCCGGUUAGGCGUCGCGUUCUGAGCAUCCAAGAGUCAUUGUGGAUUGCCAGUGAACGAAGUCUGUGAAGGUUUGUAAGUCUCUCUUGAAGACAUACCAGAGUGAUUGGACGAGGACUAAGUGUUCUUAGAUCAAGGGGAAUAAUGUGAAGAUGCGGUCUUCUGAGUUGAAUCUCAGCCUCCCUAACCAGAUGUGUAGUUGUCACAGCAACUGGAACUGGUCCAACAAAUCCCUGUCUUCUCCGAGCAACUGGUUCCAUCGUUUACCUCUCUUUACUUACAGUUUGUCUUCGUGAACUCAUUGCCCAUUUGUCUAAUCUGAUUGACUUCACUGAGUGAAGACUGUUUACUGUUUGGCUUCAUACUAUCUUCCAUCCUGAUCCUUACUACCUAACUGCUAAUAGUCUUCGUGCUUUCACUUCAUUGCUUACUUGACUAUGGCUUGUCUAUUGUAGUCUACCUUCCGCUGCAUAUCAAUAGGUGCAUUUCUAUUGUUUGUCUUCAAAGCAUUCAUGUUUUGAAGACUUUCAAAAAAUUGCCUAUUCACCCCCUCUAGUCGAAUACUAGAACUUUCAAUUGGUAUCAGAGCAAGGUUCUCCCUUGUUCUGAGUGAUUCGGUUUAACCACCUUGAGUUUAGCUAUGUCGACUGCAGGGAUAAUCAAAGUCUCUGUUGCGUGUCCUGUCUUUGAUGGUCAAGAUUAUCCCAAAUGGAAAGUAAUGAUGAAGAAGCGCCUCCUUGCCAUGAACAGUGAACUGUGGACCGUCACAGAGAUUGGUCUCACCGAUUUAUGCAAGAUGGCGAAUGUUGACGACAUUCUAAAGUACACUCGUCUAGGUAUCACGGCUAAGGAUAUCAUAUGCUCAUGUAUAUCCAAUGACGAAUUCAGGUGCAUCAUGCAUCUUUGCAAUAUGAAGAUUAUCUGGGACCGGAUUUAUGAUGUCUAUGAGGGUCAUCGAACCCAUCAAGACCCAUGGUUCUGCGAGUUCAUAUAAUCUCUUAAAACGAUGUCUUUCGAACCCGAGCCAUCUGAUCAAAACUACUGCCUCAUGGCACGUAGUGUCAAGGUAACCUCUGGUGAUUCCAAACCUAGCUAUAAGACACUUGCUAAAAUUGCAACUGAACUACAGAAUGCUAUGGAACAUAUUCAAAAGUUGUUAGACAAAAGCGAUGACCUGUUGGACGCAGAAAUGACCAGAACUCAGUCCUUAAUUGAAGACAUUAAAAUAAAGGAAAUAUGCCCUAGAGGCAAUAAUAAAGUUACUAUUUAUUUCCUUAAUUCAUGAUAAAUGUUUAUUAUUCAUUCUAGAAUUGUAUUAACCGGUAACUUAGUAUAUAUGUGAAUACAUAGACAAAACAUAUAGUCCCUAGUAUGCCUCUACUUGACUAUCUCGUUAAAAAAAGAUGGUUAUGUUUCCUAACCAUAGACAUGUGUUGUCAUUUGAUGAAUGAGAUCACAUCAUUAGGAGAAUGAGGUGAUGGACAUGACCCAUCCGUUAGCUUAGCAUUAUGAUCGUGUUAGUUUCAUUGCUACUGCUUUCUUCAUAACUUAUAGAAGUUCCUCAGACUAUGAGAUUAUGCAACUCCCGAAUACCGGAGGGACACUUUGUGUGUUACCAAACGUCACAACGUAAAAGGGUGAUUAUAAAGGUGCUCUACAGGUGUCUCCGAAGGUGUUUGUUGGGUUGGCAUAGAUCGAGAUUAGGAUUUGUCACUCCGUGUUUCGGAGAGGUAUCUCUGGGCCCUCUCGGUAAUACUCAUCACUAUAAGCCUUGCAAGCAUUGUGACUAAUGAGUUAGUUGUGGGAUGAAGUAUUCAGGAACGAGUAAAGAGACUUGCCGGUAACGAGAUUGAACUAGGUAUUGAGAUACCGACGAUCGAAUCUCGGGCAAGUAAAAUACCGAUGACAAAAGGAACACCGUAUGUUGUUAUGCAGUUUGACCGAUAAAGAUCUUCGUAGAAUAUGUAGGAACCAAUAUGAGCAUCCAGGUUCCACUAUUGGUUAUUGACCGGAGACGUAUCUCGGUCAUGUAUACAUAGUUCUCGAACCGUAGGGUCCUCAUGCUUAAAGUUCGAUGACGAUUGGUAUUAUGAGUUUAUGUGAUAUGUUGUACCGAAGAUUUUUCGGAGUCCCGGAUGUGAUCACGGACAUGACGAGGAGUCUCGAAAUGGCCGAGACAUAAAUAUUGAUAUAUUGCACUACUAUAUUCGAACAUCAGAAGUGUUCUGGAGAAGUUUCAGAUAAAACCAGAGUGCCGGAGGGUUACGGGACCCCCCCGGGGGGGAACUAAUGGGCCUCGAUGGGCCCUAGUGGAGAGAGAGAGGGGCCGGCCAGGGCAGGACGCGCCCCCCUGAGUCCGAAUAGGACAAGGAAGGGGGAGGGCGCCCCCUUGCCUUCCCUCUCUCCCUCUCCUUCCUCCCCCCUCCCUUCCCCAAGUUGGAAACCUACUAGGAAUAGGAUUCCUAGUAGGAAUCCUACUUGGGGCGCACCCUACAGGGGCUGGCCGGCCUCCCCCUUGCUCCUUUAUAUACAGGGGCAGAGGGGCACCCUAGGACUCACAAGUUGACAAUUGUUUUAGCCGUGUGCGGUGUCCCCCUCCAUAGUUACGCACCUCGGUCAUAUCGUCAUAGUGCUUAGGCAAAGCCCUGCGCUGGUAACUUCAUCAUCACCGUCACCAUGCUGUCGUGCUGCCGAAACACUCCCUCGGCCUCAACUGGAUCAAGAGUACGAGGGACGUCUCCGAGUUGUACGUGUGCUGAACGCGGAGGUGUCGUACGUUCGGUGCUUGGAUCGGUUGGAUCGGGAAGACGUUCGACUACAUCCACUACAAAAAAAUACACUGCCGUGAUGAUACGUGUUUGUCAUAGUAGGUCGCGUUUUCUGUCAUGCAUGUACAUCCAUGACGAUUUUAUGACAGAAUCAAGAUAGUCAUACCUGUGCUAUCGUAGAAAUCUUCCAUGACAUUACCAAAAUUAUCAUCACGGAAGUGUCCACUUCCAUGACAAUAAAUCGUGCAUCAUAGAAGUGCUUUCGUCAAGGGUGACCGACACAUGGCAUCCACCGUAAUGGAACACCGUUAAGAUAUCGGGUCCAGUUUUGGAUCCGAUAACCCGUUAACUGCCCUAACAAAUGGGGAUUUUCCACAUGUAAAAUCAUCAUUGGCCGGAGGAAACACGUGUUGCCUCACCGUUGGGACAGAUGUCAUCCACUCAUUAGACAGGAGGCGCCUAUGAUAGGUCGACACAUGGCAUGGCCCAACAGUGGCCCAUUCCGGUGAAAAAGGCCGGCCUGGUAAAAAUUAGCAGGCCAGCCCAUAUAAGGCCUACUUGUGCCAGGUCCAUUUAAGCCCACGUCCCAUACGAGAUGUGCCAAUUCGGCCCAUCAAUGACCCGUUAAAGAUUUGACACCAUUGCAGCCCAUCGUCAGUUCAAGCCUGUUAACAACCCGCUAUAUAUUUGGGCUCAAUAUUGGCCCGAUGAGAUUUCGGCCUGUUAACGGCCCAUUUAAUGGAUGGGCCAAUUUUCAGGAUGUACAUCUUUCGGCCUUUUAGCGACCCAUUUAAAUGUUGGGCUAAUUUCUGGCCCGGUGUGUCUUUCAGCCUGUUGACGGCCCAUAAUCAGUUGGGCCAUUUGUAGUCCGACCUCAAUUUUGGCCUUUUAGCGACCCAUUUAAGUGUUGGGCCAAUUUUCGGCCCGGUGUGUCUUUCAACCUAUUGACGGCCCAUAAAUCAGUUGGGCCAUUUGUAGUCGGACAUGAGUUUUGGCCUUUUAGCGACCCAUUAAAGUGUUUGGCCAAUCCCCGGCUCUGUGUGCCUUUCAGCCUGUUAACGGGCCAUAAAUGAGUUGGGCCAUUUGUAGUCGGACCUGAGUUCUGGCCUUUUAAUGGCCCAUGCCCUUCAUGGUCCAAUACCAACCUGGCUUCUCUUUCGGCCUUCUAAAGGCCCACAACAUAGUUGGGCCAUUUACAAUACGACCCGACUUUCAGCCUCUUAGCGGACCAUGCUCUUCAUGCUCCAGUACAAGCCCGCUGUCUCUUUCAGCCUGCUAAAGGCCCACAGUAUGGUUGGGCCAUAUGUAGCCCGAACUUAGUAACGGCCUGUUAAUGGCCCGUGAAAUCAAAUGGGCCCACCUGUUGCCCACUUCGAUGUCGUCCUGUUAACGACUUGGGAGGUAAGAGGGCCGACCAUUAACUUUUGGCCUGGUAAUGACCCAUUAACUUAAUGGGCCCACUAAAGUUCGUACAUGUCUUUAGGCCAAAUUAGAUAAUUUAAGCACAUUACAACGAGCAAUUAUGCACAGGACCAAAACCGAUCAAGCAAAGGUACGACAUACAGGGAAAAACGUUGCACAACUAGCAUAUAUUACAGGAACUUACAUCCACUGGGCAACCAAAGAUUGAUGCCAGUGCAAAUAAAUGAACAAAACCUAACGAUCUACAACGUCACAAUCUGCAACCUCAGCACGGAUGAUGCCCAUAAGCAUGUGGGCAAGUUCUUGCUGCUUUGCUAUACUGUCUCUGAAAACAUUGAUCAGUUGUUGUUACGCACGAAUCUGCACCUCUGAUUCCUCCACCAUUUCCAUCAUUGCUUCUGCCAUUAAUUGGUUCACAAACAUACAUUUUUCCGUUGCAUUCGAGACAGAGGAUACUGAACAGAUUCAGAUGGCGAUUUUGGCAUGCUUGUAUUAUUGAUAGUGGAGAGUGCCUCGACUACUGCAUCAUAACAUAAAUUAGGAGAGGAACCAAACAGAUUAAUCAUGAGUUAUUGCCAUAUUACCUGGCCUAGAUUUAUUGGAAAUAAACAAUGGGGUUGCCUUGCUAUUUUUAGAGUUUUUCUUCUUAUCUUCAGCAUCCUGCACCAAAUUAACACACUAGCAUUGGUAUCAUUGGCCAUGUCAGAUAAUAGGAAAGCAACAAUGGCGCCUUUAACAUUUUGCUACAACUAAUUUUAGAUCAGAUAAAGGUUGGAUUCACGCCGAUUAACAAAAUAUAUGCUGAUGUAUACAACAGGUACUUACAUCAGCAUUGGAGCACAGAGAAUUCCGGCAAGAUAAUUUCCUCGAAUAUAAUCGCAAUGAAGUCUUCUAUCAUUUAACCUUAUUUUCUAAAAGAGAGAUGGGUAAGAAGCAUGUAGAAAAUAUGAUCAGAAUGCUAUAAAAUUUCAUGAUGCAAGGAUACGCACACGCUUCUUAGAAUGAAGUUGACAUUCUUUUGCUGGACUGGAGCAGACUAUAGUUCUUUGGCCACUGGAAUCUCCUUAUUAUCAGUGGGAGUUGGGUUUCUCUGUGCUGGAGCAGUAUCUAUGAAAAAUGGAGUUGGUUUAUUAUCACCUGGCAUUUGGAUCUUUUGCAAAGACCUGGUUUGUAACCCUUCAGAUUCUAACAUAGCCGUCUUCCCCUUGCAUGCCUUAUAUAGAAGAAUGGUGCUUCAAUUAUAAAACAUGCUACAGCAGUGAUGGAAUAGGUGCUAAAGAAUAAAAAGACAUGACAUAUUGACAUGUAUUCCAUCCAUCCGGAAAUAAAUGGAUGGGUCUACGCAUAUUUCAGUUCUAGAUACAUCCAGUUUUAUCCAUUUCUGCGACAUGUAAUCCGUACAGAGGGAGUAUGAUGUAAUAUCUAGGGAUACGACUGGACAACACAGUAAAAAAAUACUGAAAACCCACUACAGAACCAUAGUAUUCAAACCCACUGAUAUGAGAUAGUACACUCAUGUAGCUCAGGAUGCAAAAAUACCAGGCAGUUUCCUUACAAAUAUCAACAUUGUGGCCUUUAAUCAUACAUUUUGCUACAAGUAAAUUUAGAUCAGAUACAGGUUGGAUUCACACCGAUUAACAAAAUAUAUGUUGAUGUAAAAAUAUAGUGAUAUACAACAGGUACUUACAUCUGCAUUGGAGCACAGAGAAUUCCUAGAAGAAUCUUUCCUCACAGACGAUACCAGUGUAGAAAUUCAUCUAUCUGCUAAGCUUAUUUUCUAAAAGAGAGAUGGAUAAGAAACAUGUAGAAAAUAUGAUCAACAUGCUAUAAAAUUUCAUGAUGAAAGGAUAUGCACACGCUUCUUACAAUGGAGUUGACAUAUUUUUGCUGGACUGGAGCAGACUAGUUCUUUGGCCACUGGAAUUUGGUUAUUAUGAGUAGGAGUUGGGUUUCUCUGUGCUGGAGCAAUAUCUAUAAAAACUGGAGUUGGUUUAUUAUCUCCUGGCGUUUGGAUCUUUAGCAAAGGUCUUGUUUGUAACCCUUCAGAUUCUAACAUAGCCGUCUUCCCCUUGCAUGCCUUGUAUAGAAGAAUGGUGCUUCAAUUAUAAAACAUGCAACAGCAGAGAGAUGGAAUAGGUACUGAAGAAUAAAAAGGCAUGACAUAUUUACAUGUAUUCCCUCCAUCCAGAAAAAAUGGAUGGGUCUAGGCAUAUUUCAGUUCUAGAUACAUCCUUUUUAUCCAUUUCGGCAACAUGUAAUCCGGACAUAGGGAGUAUGGUGUAAGAGCUAGGGAUACGACAGGACAACACAGUAAAAAACACUAGUUGAAUGUAAAACUGUAUGCUAGCGGAAUACAUAUAGAAAAACUAAGGCAACAUACACAUGUAUGAUUGGGAAACUAAGAUGGCAUUGCAAUAGAGCACUAGAACAUCACUUGAAUGUAAAAAAACAUGGUAUGGUAGACAGAUGAAGUACAUACUGAUGAAUAACAAUGCAUAAGAUAUUCAGAAGCAUGACGUCCAAAUUAAGCAGAUGGCAUUGCGAUAGAGUACAAUGACAGUACUUGAAUUUGAAAACAUGUUAUCAUGAAUGGAAUAGGUACUGAAAAACAGGAAGGCAUGACAUAUUUACAUGCAUCAUCAACAUGCUAAGCACAUGGCAUUGCAACAGAGUAGAUACACUCCAGGACAUUAUAUGCAUGUUGUACCCAUAUCACGGGCCAAGUUAGAGCAAGGACCUUGUGGGGUGAAGAGGAUUCAUCAUCUUUCUGCAAGUCUUCUGAAGAAUUGCCUUUACAUGUUCCAUCAUAUUGGGUAUCAUUGACAUCAAGUUUAUUGGCCUUUACAUUGCUCUGUGAGGUUCUUGUGGAGAUAUCAGUGUGUGCAAUUAUAUCUGACAUGCAUGGAAGACAACUAGUAUUUAGAUUUAUGUAAUGUGUGCCUAUAGGAGACGACAUAAAUAGUAGGACUGGGGUUAACUAGCAGCAACAGGUCUCAAAAACUAAAGGGAGAACACAGAUGAAAGCUGCAGAAUAUGUAUCGUUUGUACUCGAGAUUAACUAGAUGGCACAAAAAAGUAUUAAAGAACAACAUAGGUAAUACUAGAAGUGGUAUAAUACUAUAAUCACCAGCCUGUGGGAUAUCAUUGGCUGAUGGAUGAUAACUAUGGAAUAGUGUUACCUAAAGAACAAGUAUCUUAGCUGAACUAUGGAACAACGUUAACUCCUGAACAAGACCCGUAAGAGAUUAGCAUGAAUAUACAGUGAAAUGUGAUAAUCUAUUUUCCAUGAUUAGAUGAAUAACAAAGCCAUAAAUUUUGCGCACAAUAAGAUGACGGUACAACCUAUCUGGCCGCCAUCCAUAGGAGUGAGCAUCAUGUGCUGACUUGUCGAUGGCCGUGCAGUUAUUGUGGUUGUCCAUGUCGGGCACGCGCAUUCGAUGCAGGGAACUGUUGAGUGGGGACUAUAGCUCCCUUCUGGUGUAUGCUUCCCUUGUUGGAGCAGCUACGGUGAGUCGGAAGACGGUGUGGUUGAAGAUGGAGAUAACGCAUAAUGUUAAGAACGACACAUCUCUUUGAUCUGAAGAAAUACACUAAGAGAUCAACAGCAAGGUACGAGAGUGGUCACACGUCUGUUAGACUAUAGACUAAAUUGGGGUCACAUGAUUUAAGUUUAUUUUAUUUUGGUACUGUCCGAUCUACGCCAGAUGGCUUGAUGGCCGUCUUGUGGCUCUCGGCUAACACUGUUCGGAAUCUUCCUCGAAGAGCCAGCGACCAAUGGUAGAGCAGCCUGCCUCCACUGUCCAUGGCCCCAGCCAAAACCCUGCUUCCCGCCCCACCGCACUGCCGUGGUUGCCCCGCCUCCGAGCUAAUCCACAAAGACUCCCCGUCAUCGAGAUCUAACAGCGGCAGUACCUUCAACCCACGCAACCCUAAGAUAGCCAUCUAAGCGCUACUUCCGCGGCGAACUUGCGGCCCCACACCCUUACAUUAGACGCUAGCCAACCAGCAGCCUAGGACCUCCGCCGCAUCGAGGGGUGCUGCUUCCCAUUGGGAAUCGAUUGGCCCAGAAUAAAAAUUCAGACAACUGACGCCUAAAUAAAGUGAUUUGAGAUGAGGGUGCGACCUAUCUGGCGGCAUGGUGAAGUAGGUAGCUCCAGCUGCCGAGUCAGUGAGGCCGGCGCUGUUGCGGUGGCCACCGGCGGAAGGGAAGCAGCGAUGUCAUGACGGUCGACGGCUAUGGGGAAGCAGCACUGGGACUCUGGACGGAUCCAAAGUUGGAGCCGCUCCGGUGCCGUGAACAAUGGCGCGGGUGAAUCGGCUCCGGUAUGGUUCAUGCGGCCGUCGUCGAGGCAGCUCCAGCAGCACGGAGUAAGAGGCACAUGGCCCAGUGCACGACGGCAAAUGGACAGCAUCUUCGGCAUUAGGGAGGAGGGCUGCUGUGAAAUUGAUGCGGUGGGGGUGCCAUGAAGGAGGGGCUGAGGUUUCGCGGCUCAGGAGAAGGGAGCUUCCGGGGAGAAGGUGAUUUGGCGCCCAUGAGGUAUGAAUGGGGGUGGUGAAUCGGGAGGGGAGUGGAACCAUGUCUUACGGACGCAUUUGUCUGAAAUAUGGGGGCGAGUUACAGUUCUACCCUUGCCUUUAGGCUUCUCGGCUUGGGUCUGUGUACUGAGGGUCGGGGAUAGUAGAGUAACUUUUUUUCUCCGCAAAUAGAGGGCGGGAGCGAUUUCGGGUGAGGAGGGCGUGUUUUGAAAUAUAGUGGGCGAGAGCGAUUUCGGGUGAGGAGAGCCUGUUUUGAAAUAGUGGGCGCGAGCUAUUUCUGGCGAGGAGAGCGUGUUUUGCCGACCAUGGUUUAUGAGUUAUUCGGCACAUGUCAUUUCGGCCAAGGAGAAGGCGCUCCUGGAUGAAGUUACAAACCUACCCUCGAUGUACAAUGGGCCAAUUGAUGCGUGUCCCACAUAGGACGGUAAUUUCGCAUCUCCCAAUUAUUUGCUCGGGCGAAUUCCACCGAGUAGAGGAUGUUUAACGGUUCGUUCAAAUUUUGGGAGAACGAGUAUCCACGUCUACCUUACCAAGUCGGUUCGAAUCAAAUUUUGAAAUAUUAGCUUGCCACUUCUUUUUGAGAUGGAGAGAUGAUGCUCGGGAGUAAUGUGUACAUGCUUGUUGCUAGCGACUUACUAUGUGAAAAAUAGUUGACCCACUCAAAAACUGGAAUCAAACCCAAAAUGAAAUAUCUCGAUUCAAUGAAAUAGCUCGUUCACCAGGUCAAAAUAGUGAACUAAAUCCAAAAUUGAACACCUCAAUCGAGUAGCAUGUUGUACAGUAUUAUAGUACUCCAUGAACAUGUUGAAAGUCAAAUUAAUAAAAUUGUUUGAUAUACGCAUAUAUCCGUUCAUGUGUGGAUUGCACACAACAUGUUCUCCAAUUUAAACAGGGCUUAUUCCAUCUGUGCCCCCAAUUCCUUAGUUGUGCUCAGUUUUCCCCACGCUUCAAACUUUUGCUCACUUUUCCCCACUCCCGUAGCUGAAACUCUCACAAAUGUUCUGUCGGAGUAAUGGGCCACGGGUAGGCUAACCCGUGUCCCAGGACCUUUCAAGACAUCGGGGCAGGCCGCGCCCCUCAGGCCGAGUCCCAGACGGCGACCCCAAGACAAGCCGAGUCCCAGACGGCGACUCCAAGAUAAGCCGACUCCAAGAUGGCGACCUCAAGAGAGGCCGACUCUGGAGAGUCGGCCCAUGACUCCUCCCUCAUCAUGAAGUACGAUGCGGGGUACGGUCACGGCAUGGCCGUUCCCCCCUGCUUAUGAAGGGCCGGCAUGGCUACAGUGAGCCGUAUCGCUGGAAGAUCUCCGGCGAGGCGCGACACUGUUGCCAUGCCUGCCCGGACCUCAGCCACAGUGCGCUGUACAUUGUGCCCACGACGCCGGCCUGUACGAUCCGAAGGCGGCGGGACCACCUGUCAGUGGGUGGGCCGAAGGCGGCCUGGGCGCCCCGAAGACGGACCUUUGGGAGUCGGCCGACUCCUCCCCAGGGCCCCACGAGCCAUUAACCAGAUAUGAUGGGGAAUGGCGGCAGUGAUCGCCCGAUAGACGGCAGCACUGUUGCCACGACCCGAUGACCGAGCCUGCGUCAUCAGGAGUGCCGCUACAGUAUCAAGCCUGUCCACGGGACCCGGCAGUCGGCGGGCCCUAGAAGCCGGCGGGAAGGACGGUGGCCUGAGAGGCAGACGGCUGGGACCCGCGCCUAGCCGGAUUACUAUUGUACCCCCGGGGGGGUAGGCCUAUAUAAACCCCCCGGGGCACCCAUGCAAAGGGUUUGGACCUGAAUAGAGAUAGACCAGAUAGCACGGGGAGGAGAGAGCUAGCCUUGCCCUCCCCUGCCUCCUGAAAUAGCUCCAGGAGCACCAUUGUAGUCACCUUGCAUUAGUGAUCAUGCGGAGACCCCGCAGAGCAGCUGUAGGGGUGUUAUCUCCUAGGAGAGCCCUGAAGCUGGGUAAGUUCCGCCGGCGUGCAUGUCUUCGCCUCAUCCCGCUUCCAUGCACCGGCGAUGUUCUACUCGCUCCCACCAUGAUAAGCCAUCCUUUGGCAUAUGUCUUAUCCAACCCCCGACAUGUUCAUAACAGACGUUUGCCGUCUUGGCCAUUAACUAACUUGUGGGGCCACGUUGGACUCUGUUGACUGUGGCUGUGGCUUCGCUGGUUGGGUCGUGUUUGUGUUCAUAGGAUGAGCCCGUUAGUUUGUUGGUAACAAAUUAAAAAGGCCCAAUUAAAAAAGCCUGCUAUCGAUGGAUGCAGCCGGCUAUGCAUGCCGGGCUUUGGCAUCGAUGUAGCCUGCUAUGCAUGCGAACACCGACACGCACGCAUCUAGUGACCUAGACCUAAACGCAUGCAUGCACGCCGACAUGCACGCAUCCAUCCGUGUCGCAUGGUUGCCGGUGGAUUCAGUCGCUCCGCAGCAUCGUUUCACGCGUCGCAGGAAUACGUGCCGGUGGCAGAAGGGGCAGGCUACACGCACGCUCGCGCCGCACUGCUGCUGCUCGAUUCAGUUGUGGGAGGCAGUCAGCCGCCAACGCAGAGCACGGAGAAGGGGAAGGCAGGCAGCUGCCAACGCAGAGCACGCAAAGCACAUUGAUGAUCACAUCGGUUCACGCACGCACUGAGUCAUGAUCUACGCCGUUUGCCCGUGUACCCACUUCGUCUCACCCGGCUAUUUAAACUGUCAUUCAUUGCCUCUUCUUCUACAGAUCCAUCUGCGCCUCCCACUUCUCCUCUUCCCCCAAAAGCCAAAGCCGUUCCACUCAGCGAAGCGUUCAAGAUGCAGUACAACGGGCCGACGUUCCAAGAGCCGCCCACCGUGCCGGAACGGCGGUACCCUGCCAACGUCAUUGUCAAGACAUCGCUCCGUGUGUGGGCGUUCUCACGCUGGAGGGGUAGCACUGAGCUUGCACGGGGGUUCCUCCGUGCGGGCUUCCACCACCUCCCGGCGGGCUCGCCGCCCAUGUUCAACCUCAUGGAGCAGCGUCCCCACGCCAACGCUCUAGUGGUAGGGCUCAUCAUCCACUUCACCAACAGGUUCGAUGCCUACUACCUGCUCGGCAAGGUGUAUUGGUGUGGGUGCGAGUUCAUCACAUUCACCACCUAUAACAUCUUCACCGACUUUGAGAGCAUCUUCCCCGCUCGCAACCGCAUGCACAACCUCCAGUACUGAAGCCGGCGGCGAAGAAGACGAUGAAGCCGGCGGUUAAGGUGAAGACGACGGUGAAGACAUGGCGGUGUUUCCCUAGCUACCCUAUGUACUAUGUAUUGUGAGUUUGGUGUGUGUGUUGCGCGACCUAGCUACCCUAUCUUUGCAUGUAAGGUUAAUUAUUAUCUAUGUAAGAACUUAUGUUGCCCUAGCAAUUGGUGUGUCGUGUUACAUGUAAGAACUUAUGUUGCCCUAGCAACCCUAUCUAAGUUAAGUUAUGUGUGUUAUAUUAAUGCUUUGUUAUGUUUGUAUUUUUUGUCCCAAGUUUAGAAACAGCUAAUUGGCGUGGGAAAAAUUAACGAAACUAACUAAAAAUGAUGUGUUUAUAGAUGCCUUCUAAAAAUAAGAACAUAUUGUACCUUUGUACACGGCUUUGGUUUGCUGAGAGCUCUGUAUUUUUUAGGUAUUCCAAGAAUACUUUGCUUUUCAGAAAUAUUGAAGUAUCAAAUACUUUGAGAUGUUUGGCUUUAGUCAAAAGUGUAGUUUUAUAUACUUUAAUCCCUACUUUAAUAUGUAGAAAACUACACUAUGUUUGAAGUAUAUAAAAAAGAGGGUUGACCUCUUUUUCCAAUCAUGAAGUAUUGGUUCGCUAGGCAUAAUAAUACUGUGGUUUGCAAAUACUUUGAUUCUAAAAAAUGAAUGGACCCAUGAAGGAAAGCCAAAAAAAUUCCUCAAUGAGAUAGAAGAGAUUGGGCAAUCAAAUUAAUGAAAAAAGCAAUCAGAAACAAAAAAGAACAAAGCAAUCAUUCCUAAACAAAAAAAAACAUCGCUUGUUUCUGGGCCUCAUUUAUCCUUUGUGGCCCUAUUGCAGCUUGAUUCUCUUUGGGCCCGCGAACUAGGUUUUUUUUCUAGCAGAACUGACGAACUCGAGGAAAAAAGUUUGGCAAGUGCGGGAGAGAAGAGAUGAACUUGACGUAUAUCCCUUGUGCUGCUCAAGUACUGCUUACUGUCAUCUGACGAGCUAGGGUAUGAUCCAACACUCAAGGUUAUUAGCUAACAAGAUAAUCCUAUCACUGAACUGGUAGUUGUCUUCUACCGAAACUGAAAGUGUCGAAACUUAACAGUAAACUGCAUACAUUCAGAGAUCGACAGUUGCACUAAACAGAGUUGCAUUUGAGAUAAACAUACUUGGAUUGCUAAACAGUGGAAACAACAGUAGACAAACAUCUCUAAUGAGAGAUGGCCAUCAAGUAAAAAAUUCCUAGAGCAAGUAUUCCUAAAGCUAUCAGAUUGGAUUGCUUCUUCAACUCAAUCAGCUGCUUGAAGUUCUUGUUCAUAUUCUUCAAUUCCGUCUUCAGUUCGACAUCUACCACCAUCGGGUAUUCCGGACUCGCUGCUGCUACCGGAGCGGCACUGUCAUGGGGCAGAUUGAACUCGCGGAUUGCAUUCCCCCUCGAGUCCAGCAAGCCCAACCCUUGAAGCCUCUGGAUGUAAUCAUCCAUCCACUCGAAAUGGUGGCAUUUCUUCAUGAUCUGAAAACGAAAUCCAAAUCUGAUAGAUUUUUUUGAGAAAUUAGAGAUAAAGGAUGCGAGGAAAACUCAGAUCUAACCUGCCCCUCCGGCUUGCUCUCGCAUUUGAUGAACUCGCGCCCAAAGUUCCCAUUCUUCUCCUCCUUCGAAGUCAAUCGCUUCAGUGGCGUAGUCCGUGGGCAGUCGGUGCAUCGAGUCAUCGGCACUGGACCAUACACCGGCCACGUGGAACGGGGGCCUGACAAGGAGGUCUACAUAUCGCCCGAGAGGAAGAAACAAAUGAAUUAGUCGAGAGGAAGAAGAACGAGAAGAUGGGGAAAGAAAUAGAGGAAUUGCUCGAUAUGCUCGAUGCCUUUGUCUGUCAGAUGGAGAAGAGGAGAAGGGGAAGCCAUAUUGACGAUUUGCCACAUUGUAUUUUGCAGUUUGAAUAUUUGAACCAACUCUUUUCACUGACAUGUGGUGGUCAUGUGCGAAAAAUACAAUUUCAUAUGUAAAGUGGGGCAGAUCGUAAAAACCCAAGAAGGACAGUGCAGUAGCCAAUCAGGAUGCAUCACACGGAUCGCGCAUGCCUGCCCCACAUCUGAUGGGUGGUGUUUGGCGCUUGGUAGGAUCCGACGGCGGACGUUUGACGCUAGGGUUUGGAGCAUUUCUGCGGGGUUAUGAGCGAGUCAAUAGGGUUAUUAGGGUUUGACCAGAUUUCAAAUGGCCAUAACUAAAUUAGAAAAAAUCACAAAAAUAUAAAACAAACAUAGUUCGUCUAUUUAUGAGACCUAGUUACCAUAAAAAAUAUAAAGUUCGUAUAGGGACAUUUUUUAGAAAAAUCAUUUUUUGUCGAAAUCAAGUUCAAAUGUUUUUAAAAAAUUAAAAAAAAUCAAAAUGUUGUAAUUCUUGCGCACAUAGCCGUCAUAUGUGAAAAGGUUAUGAGAAAAAAAUAUAAACUUGGCGUAGGUCAUUUUCAUGAAAGAAGGCUUCACACAAAUGAGCUUCACCUAUGAACAUGUUCAGAGUUCGUAGAAUAGGGAGAGAGGGUUUAGGGUUUGAAAAAAAAUUCAAAAAAACAAUCAGAAAAAUCUCCAUAGCUUCAUUUUGGAGUGAAUAAGAAGGAUCUGAACUUACCUUUUCAUUUUCAUAUCUAAAACGUGUUAUUCGAUAGUUUUGAAUUAAAAGCAUAUUUUUUCAAAAAAAUGUAGUAAUUUGAAUAUUAAUCAAUAAAUAGUGAGACUACGUUUUUACCCUAUAUAUAUGGAACAAGUGUUAAUAAAAAUAUAUGUGUCUCAUUUAGGCAAGGUCAAAAAAAACUUGAUUUCAAAUAGGGUUGUUUACCCUAGCUUUUGAACUCGUUUCUAGCACAUUUCUCAUUCGGACUGUUCACCUAGGAAUAUUGGACUUUAAAUGCUCGAUCAAAUACACCACACAGAGCAAUGAACCUCAAAUGUUCAACUUAAACUUUGGCUCGAAUCCAAAUUUUGGCCCAAAUUCAAAUAUUGAUUUAAAUUCAAAUUUUGAAGGAAAUUUGAAUUCUCACUCAAAUAAGAAACCAAAGUAGAAGCAACAUUAUUACAACUGAUAAGUUUUCACAGUAGCUCAAAUCUACCAAGUUUUAAGAUGCCAACAUCUUAAUACAAAUCUACCAAGUUUUAAGCGAUCGACUCACCCUCAAAUUGACAACACAAACAUUUCCCAACAACUUAAUUCAAAUUUUUGACUUGCUCCUUGUGUUUGCAGCUGGCUUCACCGUCUUGCUCCUGGUUUCCCUAGUUGAGAUGCUCUUUUCUUUCACACUCUGUUCCUUUUGAUCUUGGGCUUUACUUGUGGUUUUAUCUGUGGAGGUGCUGAUGGAGUAGUUCCACUCGCCGAGCACUUGACGACCAUUUGACGGUCAUCUAUGGGUUCAGUAAUCUUUAAAGGCACGAUUGGAAAAAUUACCCCCUCCUCUUCCUCUCUUAUAGCUUCAAAACCAUCAAAGGCCAUGGUUUCAAAAUCUUCUGCUUCUUCAUCUCUUGGCCUUUUCUCCCUAGAGCUGGUAAAUAAAAUUAUAAGCCAUAGGCAAAAAAGAGAACAAAUGCAAACAAAAAGGUUGCUGCAUUCUACAAAGGGUGCAAACACAUACCAAGAUGCUUCAUUUGCUGCUGCAUUCUCCACUUCUUCAUUUGCUGCUACAUUCUCCAAUGCAUCUUCAGUCUCCAUUGCUGCUACAUUCUCCACAGCAUUGGCUGUUGUCCAUCUUUCCUCCUCUCCAAAUGAUGCAUCCACUGCAUUGGUACAAAGCCUAGCAAUAUGCCCCAGAACUCCACAUUUUUUGCAAGCAUGCUUCUUUGGUAGACGACCCUCCUCACCUGCUCUAAUCCUCUGGUUCCUUGGUCUUCCUGGUGGUCUAGUAAUGACAGGAGCGUGGAGUUUGAACCCUGGAUCUACUAUGUUCCAUUGAUCUUUCCCCAAUAGUGCAGGCACAUUGUCAGCAUAAGCAGCCAUAAAUUUGGCAACAGAGAAAUACUCAGAGAAAUAUUGAUCAACUUCACCAUCUGCACCCCCGGUAACGGUCAUCAUAUGUAGGGCAUGUAUGCAUGGCUUCCCACGGAUCUGCCAUUGCCUACAAGUACAUUCUCUAGUACUUAGCUUCACAGGAUACCUCCAUACCCUAUUUUUAGUGUCAGUAUAGGUAACCUCUCCCUCAUAUGUACCAAAUUGAAUACAUUUCAUCUUCAGUCCUCUUGCCUUCAAGUGCAAUGCCUUAAUCAGUGAUGGGAGCAUUUGAUGAUCAACAUAUUGUGUUUCUGCAAUUCUUUUGCGAAGAUCCAUCUUUAUCAUGAUCAUUUGCCUCAUCUUGUCAAAUGCUUGCCACAACAAGAGCCCUUUCACUGACUUGAACUUUGAAUUGAAGCAUUCUGCAAGGUUACUGGUCACAUAAUCUACUUUGCAGAUUUUGUUGAAUUUGCUUCUUGACCACACCUUACCAUGAUGUGCAUCCAUGUACUCCCUCACAAGAGGAUUUUGAGCAUACAACACUCUCAAAUGGUGUUCAUGCUUCCUUUUGCUGCAUGUGUAUGAUGCUGGCCAUAAGUUCUCAUCAUAAACUUUACCUUUGAACUUCUUUUUGAAAUUAUACGCUAGGUGUCGCAUACAUUCCCUAUGCUCUACUCCAGGGAAUACAAUUUCCACUGCACUCUCUAAACCCUUGCAAGCAUCUGUGUGUAUAGCUAAACCUGGGGGUGUGCCUAUAAUGUUGCGCAACUGCUGUAGAAACCAGACCCAACUUUCCUCAGACUCUGCCUCCACCACACCAAAUGCAACUGGGAAUAGCCAGUUGUGUCCAUCAACUGCAGAAGCUGCUACUAGCUGUCCUCUCCAUCUUCCGGUCAAAUGUGUAGCAUCUACAGCCAAAUAGGGCCUGCAACCAUCUAGAAACCCAUGCUAGCAAGCCUUGAAACAAACAAAUCCCUUCUGAAGCACUCCUUCUGAAAUGACUUCCCUUUUAUUUUGAAUUGAACUGUAUGCUUGUCAAUCUCUACAACACUCCCUGGACUUGCCAUCUCCACUUCAGCUUUGAAAGUGUAAAGCAGCUGAAAACUGUCAUUCCAUUGACCAUUAGUUCUUUCAAGAGCCUGUUCCCUAGCAUUGAAAAUUCUCAUGUAAGGAAUUUCUAUCUUGUACUUCUCAAAAAGCUUCCCAUGGAGUGCUGUUGGACCAAGUCCAAGUUCUUCUCUCAGCCAAUCCAAUAUAGCACCUGCCACCCACCUAGUUUUGCAAGCUUAGUUUUGGCCUUCCCCCCUCCCCCUCCAGGUGGACAGGUGUGCUUGGGUGGGUUUUUCUUUAUCUAAAACAAAAUAAAAGGGUAAAAAAACAGUUAAGAAACCUUACUCAACAAUCUGAAACUAAAUUACUAACUGAACUUGGAUUACCUGAAUAUAUAUGCUCUUUCUCAUACGAGAUGCAUGCAACUUCCACCUGCACCUAGGAUAUGGACAAAAAACUGUGAACCUUGCUGGCUCACUCCUUUUAAUCUUAUAGGUGUUUUCAGAUAUAAUGCACCAUGUUGUCACUGCAUUCCGACAGUCCACCAUUGAUUGGAAAAUGGUACCUACACUAAGCUCAAGUUUUUCCCUGUUCCACUCAAUUGUUGGCAUGUCAUCACCAUCGUAUUCAUCCUCGAUUAAGUUGUCCAUGUUCUCCACCUUCUCUUCAUUGUCAGUGUCAUCAAACCUAGCUUGGCUGAUGGGCUCCUCCAUAUAUUCGUCAUCCACUGCUUGCUGACUGGCUACAUCGACCAGUUCAGGAAACAUCAUCUUGUCUUCAUCAUCAUUUGUAGGCACUGCCUCGUCAGGUUCUGCAUCUUCUUCUACACCAACUGCAGAAGGUACACGAGAAGCAGCAGCUGAAUCGGAACCAGAAUUGGCACCAGGCAUGUUGUGGCUCCAUGAACCACUUGCUUUACUUGGUGUCGACCUACAAGGAGUGCCGGGGUGCUGGCUAUUAGCAAAGACAGAUGAUGUCUGAACUCCCUUCCCCUUCACCCGUUCUGCGCGUGGCUGAAGCACAUCGAUUUGGAGUUUACCGAAUCAGCAUCCAGCAAUCCCAGCAAAAAGCAACGGCAUAUGAUCGUCGCAAGUUAGUGGGAGAAAUCUUUGCUCAUCACUGCUGAAGUAAUUCAGUUCAACAGCAUCGGCAUCACUCCAGGGAUAGGUGUUUCUGAGCUCAGCUCGCAAAUCUUUGAAAGAUAUGCUGGUUUCUACCACUUUGGGAUAGAAAAAUGAUGAAAUCAAAUGCGAUUUAGUACCAUGCAGCACACUAGUUUCCAUUCUAAUCACCAGCCGGAAAGCCAGCGCGGGAUUAAUCCUAUUUUGUUGAAGAAAAUAAAGGCUUCAGUUAGCCGGGUAAAAUCGAGCACAAAUUCGAACGAUUCAAGCAAACAGAAGUCAAAUACGGCCUACAAUACGACUUAGAACGUCAACUCGAGAGGAAAGAACGCUUACCCAGGUUUAAUCCAUGAAUUAUCUGCCGCGGAUUCGACCCAAUCCUCUCCACGGUCUACUGCAUUCCAGGCGUCCUCACUCAACAUCGCUUUGUAAUCCUAGAUGGGGAGGUGAGCUAUAUCUAGCGGAGAUGCAGCAUCGCCGAUGAACGGAAUAGGGGCAUAGGGUGGAGGAAACAACUGCGUGGACGCGACACGACGCAAGCGGAGGGGGCGGUGCGGCGCGGUGCAGUGCGGCCUAUCUAUAUCUGUUUCAGAUUCAGACAAGCUGCCCAAUACGUGUCUCCUUGCGGUCCCACCUGUCAGCAAGCAACAAUCAGACGAAGACUCGGCCCCACUCAUCAGCAAUUAACGGUCAAUGGACGGUCAAGACGACAAACGGCCGCUAUGAGCAUUUGUGAGAGUUUUAGCUAAGGAAGAGGGGAAAAGUGAGCAAACGUUUGGAGUGUGGGGAAAAGUGAGCACAACUAAGGAACCAGGGGCACUAAUUUAAAUUUCCCAUUUAAAUAUUUGAAUGCAAGUUUAUCUCGAAACAUGGUUUAUAUCACUCUUUGAUGCAUAAAACACAACAUCCCCCUCUCUCGUACUCCUGCUCUCUCUCUCUCUCUCUCUCUCUCUCUCUCUCUCUUUGUGUCUAUGUGUGUGGGGGGGGUCUUUCUAGUUCGCAUGCAUAUAUACUCCAUCUAUAGGCCUCUUGCACACUAUGUAUGAUUCUCUAGUCCAAGCUAGAUAUCUUGGGUGCACUCAUCGUACGCACACAAAUUCCUUGGCUCAUUGCUCGUAACUCUCUCACGCACCACUCUGUUGUCUCGGAGCUCUUCCCUCUGUCUCUCAAACUCUCAAUCUACCUGGGUCACACAUACACAUGCAUAUCUCACUCGCACUCUAUAGGCCCAUCUAAAACUCUAUCUUGCUCCGUCGUUCUCUCUCCAUCUCACACGCACACACUACACAAUCUCAUUUCUAGCUAGCCAAGUAUGAUGGCCUCUCACUUAAUUGUAGGCACACGCAGUCCCUCUAAAUGUAUACGACUAGCUAAUCUUAGUCUCCAUCACAAACAUGUGCAUGGUCUAUCUUGAUUUCUCUCGGGGCAUCUUUCUAUCGCGCAUGCACCUCCCUCGAUCUCCUACCCAUACAGUCCCCUAACAAUCUUGAGGGGAUCUCUCUAUCACAAACAGACCCUCUCUCCCUCCCCAUGCGUCCAUGUUCUCCAUGUGUCCCUCUCGACCUUUGUUCCUUGUUGGCCAGACCUCUAUUGGACAUGUGCUAUAGGGUUGUCUCUCUCCGUUGCAAACAAUCACACACUAGCUUUGUUCGUGUAUCUCCUCGCCUCGCCUUUCUAUCUUGGAGAUGCAUGCGUGAUAUGUUUGCAUAAGAAAAAAAACACACUCUCUCUAAUUUAUCGUUUGUUGUCAGUUGUCACUUUCUCUUUCACACACAAACUCUUUUUGCACACUUACUCAUUCUCCUUCACACGCACUUGAUCUCUCUCGACUUAGGCACUCUCUUCGGUCCAUAGCAUAUAGAUUUAUUGAAAGUCCAAGAUCACAAAGUUUGACCAUGUACGUGGAAAAAACAAUUACAUCUAGAACGACAAACAUAUACCAUUAGAUUCACCAUGAGAUGUAGUUUCGUAUGAUGUAUCUUUGGUAUUGUAGAUAUAAAUAACAUUUGCGUAAACCUGAUCAAAGUUUCCAAAGUUUGACUUCUAAAAAAUUUACAUGCACUACAUUAUCGAGCGGAUGGAAUAGCUCUUUCCCCCUCUUAGCUAUCUGACGCACCACUAAGCCUUAUCGGGGCUCCUCUAUCUCUCUCAAACUUUAUAUCUCCCUGUUUCACACAUACACAUGUCUCGCUCACGCUAUACAUAUAGACCCAUCCAACACUCUCCACCCUUGUUCUCUCUCUAUGUGACACACACCCCCCUAAGUACUAUAAUCCCUCACUCCAUCUUAGGUGCAAGCACUCCCCACCCUAAGUAUGAUUAUCUCUCACUAGCCAUCAGGAACACACGUAUUGUCUCCUUCCAUCCAUACUUCUAUCUCGAUAUCUCUCGGGGUAUCUUCUAUCAUGCACACACCUUGUCACUCGAUCUCCCACCCAUGUAGUCCCAUCACGAUCUCCAGGGGAUCUCUCUAUGACAAACAUACACUCUCUCAUCCCCAUGUCUCCAUUUUGUCCGUACGUCUCUCAAGACCUCUCUCCCUUGUUUGUCAGACCCCUCUUGGCCACGUGCUAUGGGUCUUUCUCUCUAGAUUGAAAACAACCACACACUAUCUCCUCACCUUGCUUUCGUUGUCGAAGAUGCAUGUGUGAUAUGUUUGCAUAAGACACACACGCUUUUUCUCUACUUUUAUCGUGUGUUGUCCAUGUCUCUUUCACACACGCACACACACUUUUUUCACUCUCUCUAUAUAUAGUUAGGGACUCUCUCACGUCCAUAAGCAUAUGGAUGUUUUGAAAAGACAAACCUCAAAAAAGUUUGACCAUGUAUAUGUGGAGAAAAACAUUUACAUCUGGAACGAUCAUUAGAUUCAUCACAACAUGUACUUACUUCAUACUAUCAUUUAUCUUUGGUAUUGUAUAUAUAAGUAAUUUCUUUAUGAACUUGGUCAAAGUUUCAAAAGUUUGACUUAAAAAAAAGAUUGGAACUACAUUAUCGAACGGAGGGAGUAGCUCUUUCUCUUUCUCUCUCUGCUAUCUCUCACGGGCCUCCCUCUCACUCGAACUCUCUAUACUGACGGAUUAUACGCUCACUAUGUCAGUGUAUAGCUCUGUAUAUUGUUUUGGUGAUUGGUCAACCAGUCCACAUGCUGCCUUGUCAGCUCAUGCUCUGUAUCUUCGUGUGCUAGCCCAUGCGGCAGUGAGUGAAAAUAAGCAAACUAGAGGCCCAUCUGACACGCGAUGAAGUAAACAAAGUUGAAACCACUCGGUGUGGCACCCCGCAUGCUAGUAAAUUGAGGGUGCAUUGAGGACACACUUCUUCCGCAUGAAGGACACACUCGCGCACAAUUCACCACUAUGCGGCGGCAUGCAUAGAAGGACGCGCUCGCGCACACCCAGCACACAACACACACCAGCACACGUGUACACCAGUGUCGCCGCCGGUUGAGAUGGACAACCAGGCAGCCAACAAGCGGAGGCGGCUCUAGCCAAAAACGCAUCUGGCGAGACUGGACUUCAUCAUCAGCCUCCCCGAUGACAUGCUGGUCGUCAUCAUCGGCCUCCUCCCCACCAUAUCUGUCGUGCGGACCGUCUCGCUCUCCAGGCGGUGGCGCCCCCUCUGGCGCUGCGUCCCCCUCAACCUCACCGUCGACAGCUGCCUCUAUGACAUGGAUUGCAAAUGCAUGGCUGCAGUCUGCAAGAUACUUUCAUCGCACUCUAGGCCAGCCAUACUCCUUGACAUCCGCAUGUUCAGUACCAACUGCAAGGUCCAACCCAUGUUCGACGAGUGGUUCUUAUCCCCCACCCUAGAUCAGCUCGAGGAGCUCAGUUUUGAAGCUAGACGAUGUCGCUGUCUGCCGCCGUCCGCGCUCUGCCUCAUGCCAACACUACGCCGCGCCAGCUUCAACUCCUGCUAUCUUCCCUAGAUUAAUGCCGCGCCCACCCUUCUUCUCCCUCAACUCAAGCAGCUCGACCUUUUCGACGUUGUCAUCUCGAAGAAGGCUAUGGAGCACCUACUUCGCAGCUGUACUGUGCUCGAGUACCUUCGUCUUGAGAAGAUCCAUGGGUUCAUUAGCCUCCGCAUCGCCUCCACAAAUCUCCGAUGAUUUUAUGUGUCUUGCUGGCCCCGCAACAAGACAUCAAUUGGGAAGAGAUCGCUCCAGCUGUUCCAUGUUAUGGUUAUUGAGAAUGCGCCUUUCCUUGAGAGAUUGCUUGUAUCGGAUCUAGAAGGUCCAACAAAAAUCCGGGUCAUUAGCGCCCCGAAAUUACAGCGUUGGUGUACUCGUCUUCCAAAUUCUCCGAACUCUUUAUUGGAUCCGUAAGCGUUCAGGUACAACACUCAUCUUCUUCUCCGUCUUCUUGAAAUUCACAUUUUUAAAUUUUUCUUGAUGUAUUUACGACCGUCUUCCAGAAAAUGAUUCCCACAAGCUUGACCCAGUCUAUGCGCACAGUUAAGAUCUUGGCAAUAAAAUCUAUCGGCCUCAAUCUGGAUCAAGUUGUUGGAUACCUUACAUGCUUUCCGUGCACGGAGAAGCUACUCAUCGAGGUGAAACUUCUUUCCUAUUAGUAAAUGGUAAUCACAACUUAGCUCAAUUUUUUUGUAAUUUUCCCAAAUUACGAUGACAAGUGUAGUGUUUAAAAUUGCAUCUAUGCACUGCACCGAAAGAAAUGUUUUUAGUAUUUUUUUCUCACAUGAUUACCUGCAUCGUUUUUUUUGUUGUACUACUAUAGUAGCCUAGGCUAGUCAUAGUGGAAAGUAACUUAGACUACUCCAGUAACUCUAUGGUUACCCUAAGAGCAAGUACUACCUCUGUCCUGGUUUACUCUUCCUAUUUUGUAGUAUCAAAAUUUGACCAUAGAUUUAACUGAGAAAAUGUUAAUGCAUGUCACUAAGAACUAUAUCGUUGGAUUCGUAUUUGAACAUAAUUUCAAAUGGUAUAAUUUUAGUGACAUGCAUUGGCAUUUUCUUAGGUAAAUCUAUGGUCAAAAUUUUAUACUAAAUACGAGGUAGUACAAAAGUGGGAUAUAACGGCCCUCCACUAUGUAGGCCAAAACACGUGCCAAAUUCACUUGUGAUGCAUUCGGCAUCGAUGCCCCUCCAUUGCUCACCUGGUGCCCCAAUCUGGAUCACCUAUACUUUGCUCCGGUGCCAAAUUAACUCACGCAAUGAAAACACACUUGCGUGGGAGAGAGAGAGGACUGAGGCAAGAAAAAAACACUUGUUUGGGAGAGUGAGAGGCUGGUGUAGUUGGUUUGAUUGAUAUUUUUAUACAUGUGGGUCGGUGUGCACAACGGUGACAACUCUCUCACAUCGCGAGAGCGGUGCCAAAAUCUUUUGAUUUGACAUCGAUGCGUAUUAUGAGGCAUACUUUUGCGAAAUAUGGCAUCGGCCACAUAGUGGAAGGCAACAAAUGCCCAUGCUCCUCACGUGCUCCUAGGUAAAUGAGAUGAAAGACAAAGAGAGAGAGAGAGUGAAAAAUAUCACUAGCCAGCCAACCCUGUCGUAUGAGUGAAUGAUAUUGGUACCUCUUGAUGACACGACAAUCUUAUACGGCUAGCUGCUGUAAUAUGUUCUCUUCUUUUGCACAUAAAAAAAGACCCAAAAGUGAAAAAUGUGCUGCACUAUAACAAUAUCAUUGAAUGCCUUGAUCUCCAUCUUACAGAAAUUUAUUUGAUCGACUAUCAAGGCAGCACAUCUGAGAUUCAAUUGGCCAGGUUCUUUUUUCUGGAGGCAAGUGUGCUCAAGGUAAUUAGGUUUGGCGUUCUCUGGCGCAACAAUGAAUGGCGUGCUGAUCACCGCAAGCGUCUAAGCCUAAAUGACACAGUCUCCGCAGAAGCUGAAUUUGUUUUUGAGACAUCAAGUGGCCAGAGACUCGAAAACUUAUUUGCCCAUUAGUGACUUGUCAGGGCGCUGGAUUAUAGUUUGUAAGAUAAUGCUGCAUCCACCUAAAGUAAUGAAAGUUCUUACGUAAACCUCCUAGUAAUUCCCUCUUCGUAGGUGCAACAUUACUCCUAACAUUUGUAAUAUCAGUUUGAAACUUGUAAUAUUGAUGUGUCCUAUUCCUGCGUUUUUAACAUCCUGCGAAUCAAAUAGGUCUUGAGUUGGUGAUGAUGUUGUGCCUGCCAUCUUGCACCGAUAGCCAUCGGAUUUAGAUCUGACACAUACAAACCAAACUUCUCCAGUUUUGAAAAAAGAUGCCCGCACUUGUUCCCUAUUUACAAACAACUCCUUGUCUCUCACAAUCAGCCUUAUCUCCUCCCCACGACAUCUAGAAGGCCAUGGAAAAAUCUGGCGUGAUGGCCACUGCCGGCGCCGUCGACCCCCCAAUCUUGGUGUUCUGUGCAAUGCAUGGGCAUCUACGCACGGGAAAUUAUGUCGAACAUGGCUAGUUGUAAGAAGGCUAGGUAUACAACCAUGAUGAUAGUGACUGCAGAUGGUGAGGCUGACUAUGGUAUGCCGAACACGGCGCCUAUACUCAGGUGUCAUCUCCGGCGCAGGGUCUUGUCACUUCACUGUGAGGAACAGCACAUAAUAAUUUGACCACGGGCAGUACAGUGCUACUACAUUGGUAGUACUACUACUGGUACUAGCACCACCAUCUUGAUUUAGUAGUACUACCACGUCCAUCUGGAUUUGGUAUUUGACUAGCAAUAUCUAGUAAUGCAUGUCACAAAAAAUGUACUACUCCCUCUAUAAAUAAAUACAUGGUGUAUUGUUUUAUUCCUAUCAGCGAGAUAACUUAAUGUCUUUUUGCUACUUAAUAGGAUUACAUGCAAUGAACUAACCACUGCAUGUGAUGUUUGGUAGUCUCAAGUCAUUGAAAGCAUGCAUGGCCCACAUAUCUCAUUGGUUGAUAUGUCAUGAAAUAAGAAACGAGGAGGGAGUUAAUGUACCGUGCCUAAGUGUUUUGGGAUUAUUUGUUUUUCGUAAGGUGACUUACACAACAUUUUUGGUUACAUGCAUUAACAUUUUAUUAGUUAAAUCAAAGGUCAAAACUUGGCGGAAAAUGCAAAGGGGACCAAUAAACCAGUAAACAUCAAAGUUCUCUCGUUUGGCCCCAACUAGAGGUCCGGUGAGAUGACUAUACUGCACCAGCAUGAAGGGGGACGCAACUUCACUGACUUAAUGCACCUGCCUUUGGGUGUAUGACACGUGGGUCCAACGGGUGGCUGGCCCACCUGUCAUAGAGCCAAAGGCAGGUGCAGUAGAGGGGCGAGGAGUAGAUGGCCAACACACACGUGAAUUCAACGCAGUCUGCACUUCUCGUAUAAAGGCUCCCGCCAGUCCAAUCUACGAAAUCCUACGCACCUACGCACCUUAACCAAGGGCAAGAGUGAUCACUUCAAUCGCAAGAUCAGUUGACUACAAGCUAGACCCGUGGAGGCGAUGAGCGCGAGCAUCAGCCGGCAUGUGCCAGAUGGUCCACAACACCGUCCUACGGCCCGGCACCGAGGAACGUCUCCAGGUAGUGCUUGAGGCCGCCAGGUCGAGGGGCCACUUGGAUGACAGCUUCGUCUCCUUGUUCGACGAGGUCCUCGUCGGCUUCCUCGACAAGUUCACCGUCGUCAAGAAGCUCGCGGACGACCUUGACAUACACCUCCAGCCCACGUGCCCAGGCUCUGUGAUGCCUGCCACCCUCAACAGCCUCUAUGGUGACAACCUCUUCGACGCACUGGUGGCCCUGCGACUGCCCGGCCGCCAUCGCGCUGGAGAAUGUCCACCUCGAGGUCGCGCUCACCGCGUAGCGCCUGGCGCAGCAAGACACCAUCGACAUAAUCACCCACGUCUACACGCAAAUCGUCCAUAAGGACUACUACAUGAAAGAGGAGGAUGAGAGGACGCUGGCCUUCUUGGACCGCAGGGUAACCUAGGACGACAUUGUUCAGAAGCACGUUGAGCUUGCCGCCAACGCCGCUGCUCCUCACACGUCGGUUGGCGACCCUGUGCACUAGGGCGUGAGGAUGUCAUUGAUGGAUCCAUAUGUAUCUUUAUCUUUUCGUCAAAUCCAUGUAGUAGUAUAUGGUACUACUAGUAAUUAUCUUACCAUUCACAUAAACUUCAUAAUUUUCAUAUGUACUCCAUGCAUGAACCGCUCCAGAACUAAACUUCUCAUUACUCUAGGGAAAAUCGUUAUUUCUAUCUAUCGGUCGCGCCAUGGAGCAGAACCAAAUUUUACAACUUACAAAAUCAAAAGGAAAAGCCUGCCUUGUUCGCGUUGCAACCCAAAACGGUUGGUCCGGUACUCCAUUGAAGGGGGAAUGCAUGUUGUGUUGCAUUUUCACUUACAAGUGGGACCACAGCUGAGCAAACCGACUAUCGGCAAACCCCCACCCCACCCUCCGCGAUGGCUAAGAAAACAUGAGGGAGAAGAUAUGGUUGUAGCAUGGACCCAAGAAAAUUGGUGUCGGAUGGGACUCGUGUGGGUGGCGUGUGCCGUACUGCUAGACAUGAAUGCUAGUUAAGGCUCAUGCCACCCCACUAUAUCGAGGUGCUAGUUACGUAGAACAAAUUUCCUGGAGUCCGUGCUCAUCCCUCGUCUAUCUCUCUUCUCAGCCAUGCAGCAGACGCGCGGAACCCAUCAUCUGUUUGCUCAUAUGCGGUCCCACAUCUCAGUGAAAACGCAAGAGGACCCACUAAACCUGCACAUAUUUCACCUUGAUGUGCUGGUGAUGAAAAACAAAUCCAAUAAAGAUCUUCAGUGGCCGCUUUUGGAGUUACUCAAGAGUAGUAAUAUUCUAUUUAUAGUUUAACCCAAGAUGCACAUCACGUGGCUUCAACUACCACUCCAUUUUCUUGCAUGACAUGACCGGGAUGCUGGAUGUCCCACGUGUCGACAAAAUGAGGAAGAACUCGACCAAAUCUUCAGUUAUGCUCUCAGUUUAGACUAGUUGUGCUAACUUAAAAUUUUAUUGUGUACAAUGGAUGCAAGUUUUGGUAUUGGGAAGAAGAGUACAUCGAUAUAUUGAUACAACGCAAUUUAGUAGAUGUUCUAGCACUUUUAGCUAGCAUAGAGGCUAGAGACGAGACUAGUGUACCUGUUGAUAGAAUAGAGUCUAGACAUGAGACUAGAUGUGAGGAAGCAAUGUCUACUUCUUUACGCCCGAAGAAGAAAGAAGCACGCAAGAUCGAGCCUCCACAGAUCAACAAUGAAUGCAUCGAGAAGGCACUAAUCCAACUUACAGGAGCAGUUAUGGAAGUUGGAUAUCUUCUAAAAUGUAUUCUUGUGGUUCUUGUUUUCUUUGGUGUUGCUUUUCUAGUCAAAUUUUGGUGAUGUAUUUCCAUGUACCAAAAAUCAAUGAUGAAAAAAAGAUAUGUAUUUGCAAAGAAAUAUGUACGUGGCCGGGAUGCAUCCGCGCGUUCGGUGCACGGCCACCGCAUCCGAGAAAUGGCCCUGACACGACCCCAUUGCCCUACCUAAACGGACAGAAUCCGGGCAAAACGGAGGUCCAUUUGGGGUCAUGCGUUGGAGUUGGCCUUACAAGUGGGACCGCAGUUGAGGAAACCGACUAUCGGCAAACCCCCACCUCGCCCCACGCGCGAUGGCUGAGUUAGAGAAACGACGAGGUUGUAGAGAUUGUUGUAGCACGGACUCCAAGUAAUAUGGUGUCAGAUGGAAGUCGCACUGGUGGUGUGUGUCGUGCUCCUGGACGUGAAUGCUUGUUCUGGCCCAUACCACCCUACUACUCCUACUAUAUAGUAGUAGUAUCGAGGAUUCGAGGUGCUGGUUACGUACAGCGAACACAUUAACAUAUGGCCCACCUCACACUGUGGCCAAAUUUCCUGGAGUCUGUGCUAGGUUAAAAAGUAUUCUUUGUGAGGGUGGGUGGCUGGUCUCAAGUUUAAAACUUGUUGUAUUACGUAUACGUAGACGUAGAGAUAGUGCAGCAGUUCUGAAAGUUUGAACCCAAACAUAAGAAUGCAAUUUCUACUGGACUCAUCCGAGGACCUAGGAUGAUGGGAUUCGCAGCUACAGCAAAAACACCCGCCCGACGCGUGAAGCAUGUGAAGCUAGUACAAAUAGUGUACUACUAUUGUUGAUUGGCCUCAUCUAAUAACCUAUUGCAAUGCACGUACAAUUAUGUAUUCGAAAAAUAUUUUUUUGCCUCAUCGCAGCACCCACUCAGAGAAGCGACUCGAAAGCCAUUCAUAAAUUUAGUAAGUUUAUCACAGGCAUAUCAUUUUAUUACAUACAACAGGUCAUCAACCCACAACGACAAUGAGGAUACAUUAUAAAUACUAAAGUUUUCAUCACACAACAAAUAACAAGCAAUGAAAUGAACUUCAACUCAACCAAUCCUCGGCGUUGGAAAAGUCUUGCAUUGAACCACAAGUGAUUCUCUGGGAAGGGACAUCUAUUGUCAAUCUCGAGACCAACGCAGGACUGAUCAUAUAGGCUGAAGCGGCCUACUAUACGGAGUACGAGAUGGUAGCCAUGGACAUGGUCGGCCCUAUUUGAAGAGAAUACUAAUAAAUAACUUUGAUGUGUCCCCUCAACUCGCAAAACGACGAGAAACUUGCUUACCUUCUCCCUCGCCAACGCGUGUGCGGUGGCUCGUAGCACGAGGAGAAACUUUUGCUUACAAGCGGUGGACGUGCAACAGUUCAUUUGGUGUCAUAUUGCCGGAAGUACUACUAUAGUACCAUCAUUAUUGUUCGACGUUCAGAAGAGGAGAAGAGCCAAGCCCAAGGUCACCUACUAACCUAGUACAGUACUACUAUAGCCAAAGCUGGUCCACCUUUUUAGCACAUGGUUAAUUAAUAUAGGUGGCUAUUGUAGUGGCACAUCAUUGAGAGCAAGUACUCUCUUCGUAGGAUCAAAGGAAGUGAAACAAAAGUUGGAGUGGAUGCUAGAUUGCCAAAUAAAACAUCAUUACAUAGGAAAAAAACUAUAGCAUUCUAUCCUAUGAAUCAAAUGACCAAUGUAGGAAAAUUAUGAGGGGGGUCUCUCCAACAGUGUUCCUCGGCUCACAUCUAGCAUCACGGUGGUCGAGCUUGGAGUCAUUCAUCUGGUACUCGUGGCAUCUCAGAUCUGGACAGAAGGUGAUGCGACCUCUCACUUCGUCCGCCAUUUGAAGUGGCACGCCGGUGGAGGACUAGCAUACUCCAAUAUUAGGUUGGCUCUAUGUGAUGUGGCAACUUCAUAUACUAACCAGAUGCUAGCUAUACUACUACGGUACUCACACUCCAAGAAGUGACUCGAAAACCAUUCAUAAAUUGACUCUAUGACAUGCAUUUGCAAAUGUACCAUUCAUUACAUACAACAAGUCAUCAGCACACAACAACAACGAGGAUACAUGUUGGAUUAUAGAUUAUUUCCAACAAAACAUUCUAGUAAAUACAUAAGUUUUCGUCACACAACAAAUAACAAGCAAUGAAAUGAACUUCAACUCAACCAAUCCUCAGCGUUGGAAACGCUUGCUUUGAACCAUAAGUGCUCUGGGAAGGGCCAGCUAUUUUCAAUAUCGAGAGCAAUGCAGGACUGAUCAUCCAGGCUGAAGCGGCAUAUAUCAGGAGCAGGGUAGGGAACUACCACAAAGUCCAAGGUAUAGAUACAAUUGCUUCUCAUAAAUGGUACUAGUAACGUUGUGUCAAUAUGAUACGUCCAUUUUGCAUCAUGCUUUGAUAUUGAUAUUUAUUUCAUAUGGGUUGUUAUUACACAUUACGUCACAAUACUUAUGCCUUUUCUCUCUUAUUUUACAAGGUUUACAUGAAGAGGAAGAAUGCCGGAAGCUGGAAUUCUGGGCUGGAAAAGGAGCAAAUAUUACAGACCUAUUCUGCACAACUCAAAAUUCAUGAAACUUCACGAAGGCAUGUUUCGGAAUUAAUAAAAAAUAUUGGUGAAAGAAUCAACCAGAGGGGACCCACACCCUGGCCACGAGGGUGGGGGCGCGCCCUACCUCUUGGGGGCGCCCCCUAUCUCGUGGGCCCCCUGGCAGGCCACCGGUGCCCAUCUUUUGCUAUAUGAAGUCUUUUUCCCUGGAAAAAAUCAUAAGGAAGCUUUCGGAACGAAGCGCUGCCGUCUCGAGGUGGAACCUUUGCGGAACCAAUCUAGGCCUCCGGCGGAGCUGUUUUGCCGGGGAAAUAUCCCUCCGGGAGGGGGAAAUCUUCACCAUCAUCAUCACCAUCGAUCCUCUCAUCGGGAGGGGGUCAAUCUCCAUCGACAUCUUCACCAGCACCAUCUCCUCUCAAACCCUAGUUCAUCUCUUGUAUCCGAUCUUUAUCUCAAAACCUCAGAUUGGUACCCGUGGGUUGCUAGUAGUGUUGAUUACUCCUUGUAGUUGAUGCUAGUUGGUUUAUUCGGUGGAUGAUUAUAUAUUCUGAUCCUUAAUGCAGUGGUGAAAGCAUCACUCCAAAACCGAAACGGAACAGAUGCAUGGGCCAAAAGAGUAAGACCAGCUUCAACAAUAUGACGAUGCUUACAUUCGACUGAACCAUUCUGCUGAUGUGUAUGUGGACAUGCUAAACGAUGAGCUAUCCCAAGCGACUGAAAGAAAGAGUUGAGGUUGCGAUACUCGCCCCCCCAGUCUGACUGGACAUGAACAAUUUUGUGCUUGAGAAGACGUUCAACAUGUUUUUGAAACUGAACAAAAAUAUCAAACACAUCAGAUUUGCGUUUAAUAAGGUAAAGCCAGGUAAAGCGACUAUAAGCAUCAACGAAACUGAUAUAGUAAUUAUGACCACUGACAGAAGUCUGAGCAGGACCCCAUACAUCUGAAAACACAAGUUCUAAAGGAUGUUUCACCUCACGACUGGACUCCGAAAAAGGAAGUUGAUGACUCUUCCCCUGCUGACAAGCAUCACACACUGCUACAUCUUUAUUACUAGACAAACUAGGAAGCUCAUGACGACGCAAAAUAUGACGAACAAUAGGUGUGGCCGGGUGACCAAGACGAGCAUGCCACUGUGACAGAGAGACCCGAACUCCACUGAAAACACGAGCGACACCAGGAUGCUCCAGACGGUAGAGGCCCUGGCACAACCGCCCACUAAGAAGAAUGUCCCUCGUGCCCCGAUCCUUAAUAAAAAGAUCAAAAGGGUGAAAUUCACAAAGCACAUUAUUAUCACGUGUGAGUUUAGGAACUGAAAGAAGAUUACGGGUCACAGAUGGAACUCGAAGAACAUUGCAAAGCUGAAGACUCCUAUUGGCAUGUCUAGUGAGAAGAGAUGCUUGACCAAUAUGAGAGAUGUGCAUACCUGCUCCAUUGGCGGUGUGGAUCUUGUCGGAGCCAUGAUAGGGUUCACGAGUGUGAAGCUUCCCCAUCUCGCUGGUUAGAUGCUCUGUCGCCCCAGAGUCCAUGUACCAGUGUGGAUCGAUGGAGUAGGACUGAGUGUGUCCCUGUUGCUUCUGCGGCGCGGGACGAUCAGCCAUGGCGACCUGACGGGCAUUGUUGCGUGUAUCUUUGCCGUCAUUGCCAAGACCAAGGAAGCUUCGCUGGAAGCGCUUAUGACACUUGGAGGCCCAGUGCCCAUCGCGGCCACAAAGCUGACACACACGUGGACCGCCAGCCCCAAGGGAGACCGGGGUGAUGAAGAAGAGCGGCCACCCUUGGUGGCGGCGUUGGCCGAGAGGGAGCCAGUGCCCCUCGUGCGGCGAGUCUCGACCCGUUGCUCAGUGAGAAGGAGCCGAGAGAAAACCUCGUGUGCCAGCAUGGGUGUCGAGUUGCCCCGCUCGUUGAUGAUCUCGACUAAGGCAUCAUACUCCUCAUCAAGACCAUUGACAAUAAAUGAGUUGAACUCAGAGUCGGUGAGGGGCUGUCCAAUGGAGGCCAAUGUGUCGGCGAGGCCCUUGACCUUGUUGUAGAACUCAGUGGCAGUGGAGUCAAGCUUCUGACACUCUCCAAGCUGACGACGGAGUGCAGAGACACGAGCCUGGGACUGCGCUGCAAAGGUGCGCUCAAGGAUGGUCCAGGCCUCAUGAGACGUCUUCGCGAAGACAACAAGGCCGGCAACUGCCGGCGAGAGCGACCCCUGGAUGGAGGAGAGGUUCGCCUGGUCCUGCCCCGUCCAGACGCGAUGGGCCGGAUUGUAGACCGGACCGUGCACGCUGUCUACCAGCGCGGGUGGGCAGGGAAGCGAUCCGUCGACGUAGCCUAGCAGGUAGUGACUCCCCAAGAGCGGGAGAACCUGCGCACGCCAGAAGAUGUAGUUGUCGGCGGAGAGCUUGAUGGUGAUGAGAUGACCGAAGUGAAACGGUGGCGGCGAAGACGAUCCCAUCGAGGAGGCUGCCUGGGGUGCAAACACCAUGGAGGCAGCCGGAGGCACCGAAGCCGAUGCGGGAGGAGGCGGGACCGCAGCCAGGGCGGGCGCCGCAAAGCUCGCGGCCGGUGCGGACGCCGCAAGGCCCGCGGCUGGGGCGGACGCCGCCAACCCCGCCAGCGGGGCAGUGUGAUCCGCUUGCGGCAGGAGCGGCGGGACGACGCCUGCGGAGUCCACAGCGGACGGCGGCGCCGCGGUGUGGACCACGAGGUCACGCCCAAGCGAGGGCGCCGGCGGCGUGGAGAAGACGGAGCCGAUGCUCCUUGUCCCGAUCGGAGCCGGAACAGAGACGACAUCGAGCGGGAGGUUGAGCAGAGCCGCAAGAGAGGCCGGGAGGAAGCCCGCAGCAGUGGAACCGGUGGUGGCGGCGCUCGACAUGGCGGCGGCGCGAUCGGUGGCGCGGCGGCGGCGGUGAAGGCGGCGGCGGCUGCGGCGGCGGUGCGGGUAUUAGGGUUUAGAAGCGGAAGCGAUCGUAACCUAGCGUGAUACCAUGUAAGACAAUAAGUUUUGGGGAACCAGCACAACCCUCUAGGUACAUCGGUACAGAAGCUAUACAUAGUCUAACAGUAGACAUUGACGUGCGUUGCGAAACCAAGCCACCGGCCAGAAAGUUUCGAAGGUGUGGUCAUUCGGUUGGCCGUUGAAUUACCCUCGGUCCCGGCAAGAGCUGGACGCAGCGGCGCGCGUCGGAACUCAGGAUUGGUCUGCGAGGCAGUAAUUCCGUCCUGGUCAGCUCCUACUGUGCUAGCUUGCUACACGCGCCGAAAGAGAUGUGACGUCGCGUACGUGUAUCACUUUGCAUGUCCGGCAACCAGUGAGCGCCAUGCACGUAGCCACGUACCCUACCCUAGCGAGCACCAUAUUUUCUUCGGUCGUAUUGUAUCGUACAAUAAUCCAUGACCUCUCGUUCCCUUGUAGUACGUGGAAACGUGGAGUCGGUAACUCGGUAUGGCACGCACGUCAGUCCAUGGAUCGGAAUGCGACGAUAGAUCGAGCGGCUAGCUGCAUGUGCUAGCAUAAUCCGUGGCGUCUCUCCAAGGAUACAGUACGUCCAUCUGUCAGGGGAUUCGAUGCAUGCAGCAUGCAUGCGUACUUUUGUUGGGUGGUGCAAAGACUUUGACACUAAUGUCCGGCUGCAAUUUUUUGCUUACUGAGAUUUUUUUAGUAACUUUAAUUGGCCGGCAAUUGAUCGCGGGCAACCCAUGCUGCCGUAGAUAUGGACCUCAUAAUUCACCAGUUCAUUCUUAUUUACAGCCAUAACAUUCACCUUGGUUGGUCUCUUUGGGAAGAAAUAUUUUAGGAGACGGUCGAGUACUUUCGACGACGACCGGGCUGUCAAAGCUGGCCGAGGCGUAACGGGCACCUACUUUAUUUACUGUACGCCCGUAAGAUGCCGGCCACUGCCAGCCAUGGAUUGUUGAAAGAAGUCUGUACUUUCUACGAGUGCACGUACGCUGACGGAAUCUACCACAUGUCGAUCGGUUUGAGCCUAAUCCCGACCACACGUACGUUCCCGCUAAUUAACCACGCCCGUGCAGUAUAAUACUCCUAUAUACUAGACGAAUGCAUGUACGACGACGAGCUAAACAAUGGUUUUCGAACAAUUGUAUAGUUUCUCCAUGUUGAACAACGAAAACGACAGGAUUAAAAUCAAAUGAUCGCCAGCUAGCUCUGUCUUUCGGUUAUAUAGUCGUACUUUAGUUCAAAACCGUGAUACUUAUUUUAGAUCGGAGAGAGUAGUGAAUUUUUAAUCAGACCCAACGACACAGAUCUACGGCGUAACAACGACACAGAUCUACGGCGUAACAGACCCAACGACACGGCACGGCGUACCUCCCUGCGUCUCGCCGGGAUUUGGAUCUCGAACCAAGGAGAAUAUCUCAGAGAGAGAGGACUUGGAGAAGGGGAAAAGAGCAGGGAGGAAAGCUUGAAUAAGAAACAAUAGUUGUGAUUACAAUUCGAUGCCUCCCACACACGCCAGCCACACGCUUAUAAGCCUAAUCCACCCACGCCACACGGGCUGAGCCACACAGGCCCAAUAACACACGGGCGGGCCUGGCCCAGGUCGUUGCACUCCCCUCCUCUUAACGAACAGCUCGUCCUCGACUGUUCAUCAACCGGCCGUUGUCGUUGCAGUCACAGCUGAAGACCAUUCCCAAGUCGCCAUUGUAAUUGGGAGUCCACGCCAUGCAAUUUUCCAUUGCGUGCGUGUGUGUCCACCCACACGAACCAACCUUGUUUGAAGAAUUUGAGCCGGUUUGGACAGUUUAUCCCCCAGCAGAAAUAGAGAAUCCAUAGUGUCUGAAGUAGGGGUUGGCGGGUCUGCCGGUUUGAGCAGCGAAACGUGCACCACAGGGUGAAUCUUGCUAGUCUCUGGCAGGGCCAAACGAUAUGCAACCUCGCCGACACGUUCAGUGAUCUGAUACGGACCAAAAUACUUGAAACCCAACUUGUGGUUGGAACGUCUGACAACAGUUUGUUGCACAUAAGGCUGCAGCUUCAGAAAUGCCCAGUCGCCAACUUGAAACUGUCGAUCCGAUCGAUUAGUGUCUUCCUGAUGUUUCAUCCUGUGUUGAGCUCGCAACAGGUGUUCUCGGAUCAAUCCUUGCAUCAGGUUCCUUUCAGCCAACCAUCCAGACAGAUCAGAGGACAGAGUACUCUGAAGAUUGGCAAUGCCCAAGUGUCGAGGUUGAUACCCAUACAGUACCUGAAAUGGGGUUGUUCCAAGUGCAGAGUGGUAGUUUGUAUUGUACCAGUACUCAGCCUGAGAUAACCAAUAAGCCCACUUUUUGGGAGUUGAAUGUACCAAGCAUCUGAGAAAAGUUUCUAAGCAUUGAUUCAGUUUCUCCGUUUGACCAUCAGUCUGGGGAUGAUUAGCAGAACUCAUAUUCAUCUUGGUGUCAGUGAGUUUGCACAAUUCUUGCCAGAUAUUGCUGGUAAAUAUAGGAUCUCUGUCAGUAACCAGGACCUGGGGAAGACCAUGAAGCUUAUAGAUGUUAUCCACAUAUAUCUGUGCGACUUGUAGAGCAGUAAAGGGAUGACAUAAGGGAAUGAAGUGCCCAUAUUUGCUGAACUUGUCGAUAACCACCAGGAUUAUGUCAAAGUUUUUGCUCUUGGGGAGACCUCCAAUAAAAUUCAUGCUGACCAUAUUCCAGGCUUCUUUAGGAAUGGGCAAUGGACUUAAUAGUCCUGGUUUCUUAAUAUGCUCAGACUUUGCUUGUUUACACACCACACAAGCUUGUACAUAGGCUUGGAUAUCCUGUUUCAAUGCUGGCCAAGCAAACAAUCCCUUGAUGCGUUGGUAAGUGUCCUGGAAUCCAGAAUGACCUCCAACUCCACUGUCAUGCAAAGAAAGCAUAAUAGCUUGGUGAGCUUCUUUAUUGCGGCCCAACCAAAUCCUGUCUUUGUACCUUUAUCACUCCUUGAUGUAGAGUAUAACCUUUGUCAUUGGAACCAGUCAGGGCCAGUUCUUGCAGUAAUUCCCUAUCUACCUCGUACUGCUGGUAUCCUUCUGUCACAACAGCUAACCAUUUGGGUGUGCAAAAGGAGAUAGCAGACAACUCCAUUGGGGCAGGAGAUCUGGAUAAGGCAUCUGCAGCUGCAUUAUCCAUGCAUUUCCUGUAGAUGAUGUUGUAUUGCAGACCUAGCAAUUUAAGAAAUGCUUUCUGUUGCAUGGUACCACUGAGUUUUUGCUCUUGAAGAUGUGUCAAGCUUUGAUGAUCUGUGGAAAUAGUGAAAGGAGCAUGCUGCAGAUAAGAUUUCCAUUUUUCCACAGCAAGGAGCACAGCCAAGCACUCUUUUUCAUAUGUGGACAGGGCUUGGGCGUUGAGUCCCAGGGCUUUGCUAAGGUAAGCAAGUGGAUGACCUUCUUGCACCAGUACACCCCAAUGCCUUGAUUACUGGCAUCAGUUUCAAUUGUGAAAUGCUUCUUGAAAUCUGGGAGUGCCAAAACUGGUGCUUGAGCUAAUGUUGUCUUAAGAUGUUGAAAAGCAGCUUCAUUGGUUGGUGUCCACGAAAACACAAUAUCUUUCUUCAGUAAAUCAGAUAAACUCCUACUAAUAAUUCCAUAUUUUUUGAUGAAUUUUCUGUAGUACCCUGUGAGACCCAGAAAUCCUCUGAUAUCUCUAACACAGGUAGGCCUGGGCCACUGCUGCACAGCUCUGAUCUUAGUAGGAUCAGUUUGCACUCCUUUGCCACUGAUAAUAUGUCCCAAGUAUUCCAGCUCUGUUUGAGCAAAAGAACAUUUGCUAAAUUUCACAAAGAGCUGAUUUUCUUGAAGUAUAGUGAAAACCUGAUUGAGGUGCUCAAGAUGUGUUUUCAAGUCUGGGCUGUAGAUUAAGAUGUCAUCCAUGAAGAUAAGCACACAAUGUCUCAACAAAUGGGCAAACAGGGCAUUCAUAGCCGCUUGGAAAGUUGCAGGGGCAUUGAUUAAACCAAAGGGCAUGACCUUAAACUCAUAUAGGCCAUGAUGAGUUUUAAAAGAUGUUUUAUGUUCCUCUCAUUCAACCACUCGUAUUUGAUGAUAUCCUGAUCGAAGAUCCAGCUUAGUGAAAAAUGUAGCACCAGCCAACUCAUCAAGUAACUCAUCCACUACUGGCAUUGGAUAUUUAUGGGGCACUGUGACAGAGUUUAACAUUCUGUAGUCCACACAAAAACGCCAAGUUCCAUCUUUCUUCCUGACCAACAACACUGGAGAAGCAAAAGGACUAGUGCUCUCCUGGAUGACUCCUUGCUGUAACAUCUGAGUUACUUGUUGUUCAAUUUCAGUCUUCUGCAUUGGAUUGUAUCUGUAUGGUUUCACAUUGAUAGGUUUAGCUCCAGGUAGAAGAGGGAUUUGGUGAUCAAAGGACCUGUGGGGAGGGAGCUUGUCAGGUUCUGUGAAGACUUGUUUGUGCUUGGCCAAAAUUUCUUGCACUGCAGGAGGGAUGAAUUGAUCAGUAUCAGGGGCUUCCACAAUAUGAUUUAGUUGAAUCACUUGCUCCACUGCACCAGUGUUAAGUAACCCUUGCAAAUGCUUGCUAGUUAUGCCUGUGCAGGAAAUGACGUUCUCUCUUAUUCCUCUUAGAGUGAUCCUAACUCCUUGAUAUUUGAAUCUCAUGACCUUCUUUCUCCAGUCCACCCACAUAGGGCUCAUAGUUUCUAGCCACUGCAUGCCCAAGAUGAUGUCAUAAGUGCCCAGGGGUAGCACUUUUAGAGAUGUAUUGAAGGUGUUUCCUUGACAAAACCAUUGCAAGUUAGGAACCUGUUUAUUGCAAUGUAACAAUCCUCCAUCAGCCACAGUAACUUUAGCCGCUGGUAUUUCUUCCACUGGGCACUGUAGGUGUUUCACUAGCUCUGCACAGAUGAAAUUUGUGGAACUACCUGAGUCAACUAAGAUCAACACUUGUCUCUUACCAACCACGCCCUGUAAUUGGAUACUAUCCUUUGAAGCAGUGCCCUGGGCUGCAUGGACUGACAGUUUCAUGAAUGCUUCUUCUGCUGUUGCUUUAUCGACCACGGGCUGUUCGGCUGGCUGUUAAGUUUCAGAUUCACUUUCAAAAAUUUCAGACAUCUGUAGAGCCUCGAUCAGUUCUUCCAGUACGUGAAGUUGGACUGUUGUGGGGCACUUGUGUCCUGGACCAUAUUUCUCCCCGCACUUGAAACAUUCUCCACGCGCUCGGCGUUGUGCCCUGAGGUUAUCCACUCGAUCUGGAGCUCUUUGAUGUGUUUCCGGGGGUUUAUCUUGUGCUGGUGUUGUUCCCAUAAUGCCCUGAUGCACAUAAUUUUUGGCAUUGGCUCUGUUUUCCCAUCUUUUGCUGUAUUUGGAGGUAUCUUCAGCCAACAAUGCUUCUUGUGUCUGUGCCAAGGAGUAAGCUAGAUCCACUGAAUUAGGUUGUUGCAGCUUGAUCGGCGCCCGGAUAGCAGGUUUCAGGCCCUCAAUGAACCUGUUGAUGAAAAAGGUUUCAUCGUAGGAGUGGUUAUACACAAGCAUCUUGUGCAUGUGCUCUUCAAACGCAUGAGCAUAAUCAUCGACAGACUCAGUUUGCUUGAGAGAGAAGAACACAUCAAUUGCUCGAGAAUACUUGUUCCUGUUGAAUUUAGCGAACACGGCCACACACAGAGCGGCCCAGCUAUCAAUAGUGUGCAUUACUUCAUAUGUCCGCAACCAGAGGGCUGCAUUUCCUGCCAAGUGCAUAGUAGCGAAAUCGACCCAUAAUUCUGAUUGAACAUUGUACAUCCGGAAGUAUUUUUCACACUGUUUUUUCCACCACUUGGGGUUAUCUCCCUCAAAUCUGGGGAAAUCAGAGCGAGGAAUGCGUGCGGAGAAUUUCCCAGGGGCAGAGUGAAACUGCGACUGCGGUGAUCUCUCAUAAUCGUCAUUGUCAUCAGAUAACUCGUCAGGGAAACGAGCGUGGGAUCUAGAUUGCUCACCUCGAUUCCUCUGCUGGAAUGACACGCGCAGACCUCGAGUGUCCUAUCCUGAAUGGUGCUGAUCAGAGCUCUGUCGCUCUGUUUGUGGCGGCUCUGUCCGCCGGCCUUGAGCUGUUGUCGUGCCUGUCGGCUGCUCCAAAUUGUCGACGCGGUGUACGAUCCCGUCUAGGAACUUUCGCAUCUCGGCCAUAGCCGCAUCGAGGGAGUUGUGCGCGACGAGCACCCGCCCCAGCGUCGACUCGGUGCGGGCCAGCGAGCUCGUGGUCGUCGUGGCCAGCGCAUCGAAGGCCUUGGCCGAGGAGGAAGCGUACUUGUCGAGGGACUCCUGCAGCCCAUCCAGACGUUCCGCCGUCUUUGCGCCCGCCUCCGACACCGCCUUGCUCUGCACAAUCGUUGCCUGGACGAGCUGCUGCAGCUCGGCGAUGGUGAGCUCCGCGGCAUCCAUACGCGACGAGAGAUUGGGCUUGGUCGAACGCGCCGUUGGGAAGGUCCUGGAUCUACUCAACCCAGCGCAGGUACACCGGAGGUGUUUUGCGCGAGAUCACCCGAGGGGAUCUGCACCUUUUGCUAGGAAUUACAAGCCGAUCGAAGGAUUGAUUGUGAGCUCUGGAUGAAAAAUUUCAGAUCAGAGGAAGCGGAUCGAUACACGGCUCUGAGUACCAAAUGCUACGAUUCCGUAGCACCUCCCUGCGUCUUGCCGGGAUUUGGAUCUCGAACCAAGGAGAAUAUCUCAGAGAGAGAGAGGACUUGGAGAAGGGGAAAAGAGCAGGGAGGAAAGCUUGAAUAAGAAACAAUAGUUGUGAUUACAAUUCGAUGCCUCCCACACACGCCAGCCACACGCUUAUAAGCCUAAUCCACCCACGCCACACGGGCUGAGCCACACAGGCCCAAUAACACACGGGCGGGCCUGGCCCAGGUCGUUGCAAAAAUUAAGCAUCCAUCAUGGUUCUUGUCACGAGGAUUACGGCCGAGCGUGUGUGGAUUAGCAGGCAAAUUGUUUGGCGACGGACAGAAUUGAGCGAGCUAGCGACAGGUCAGAUCAAAUUUCCACAUGCAUCCGUCAGCUAGGGAGGUCCGCCUCCCCCUUCGCGGAUAUCAGAUUUUAUUUUUACAUUUUUUUGAAAAGAAACGUGUUUCCCCCGUCCCAACGUUUAUUGAAAAGCAAAGGCGAAACCAACACAUCCAAGACAUUGCACAGCGCUCGGCAACAACCAAAGUUGCUGUUACAGAAGAAGGGUUUUAAGCUACCCUAUUACAGCACAGGAAAAGCCCAGCCAAGAGGCUGACUAACAAAAUAUAGGCAAAUUCAAGCUAGUUCAGGAUGCAUCCCAGGCUAUUCUAAGCAAUUCCCCUCUUCGUCGAUCCAAAAGCCUUAAACACCGGAGAAGUAACGUAUCCGGGGAGUCCGAGCACAAAAUUUUUCAUUGCCUUAGUAGUCCUCCCACCAGGUCCAUGAUGCAGUGAAUAUUUCGCCAUUUUCACCCUUGGAAAAGAAAUUCAUUGCCCAAAAUCCAUAAGCCCCACAAGGUAGCAGAUGUGACAAGAUUAACAUCCUCUUUUUUCUUUCUUUGUUUUCAUAAAACAAACAAGGAUAUGAAAGAUAUAGGUAAGGUGAUACACAUCCCUUCAGAAAUUAUUUUCCAGAUUUGGACAGCUACCACCAAUUCAAAAAAUAGGUGUUUAAUCGAUUCUUUCUCACUGCAAAACACACAAGUAGGGUCUUCCACAAGUCUCCUCUUAGCUAGAUUAUCUCUAGUCAGGCAUUUAUUAUAGUAAGCUAGCCAGAGGAAGACAUGAAUAUUGGAUGGAACUUUGGUUUUCCAAAUAGUAGUUAAUCAUUUUAUAAAAAGAUUUCACUGUGUAAAUCCCAGAUGGUUCAAGAUACCAUCUAGGAAUUUCUAGGGUAGCACAGGGUGUAAAUUUUCUGACUACAUCACACAGAUCCAACCACUUGUACAUGGUGACACCAUCCACACAUCUUCUAAAAGUUAGUUGUAGAGUAUUGCCAUCCCACACCUGGGCAAUGGUGGCAUCUUGUUGUUGACAGAUGUCAAAAAGCUCCCAAAAUCUGGUUUUUAGGGAACAUUCCCCAAUCCAAGUAUCAUGCCAGAAGGCAAUGCUCUCACCAUUCCCAGGCACCCAGCUAACAAAGGUUCUAGCAGCUUCUAGAGACCAGGUUAAGCUUUUCCAAAAAGGAGAGCCCAGCCCAGACUUGCCCCAAUAGAUAUUGGGCUUAUCAGUGGCAUACUUGAGAAAUAAUGAUUUUUUUUCAAGUCACUAUCUCUCCCAUCAUGAAACCUUCUCCCCCAUGAGGCCAGAAGGGUCAUGUUGUAUUCUCUGAGAUUGGGUACCACCAUUCCCCCAAAUUCCUUUCUCUUAGUAAUUAAGCCGCUAUUGGCAAGGUGAUAUUUAUGAGUAUCUCCCAUGUUACCCCCAAAAAAGUGAGACAUCUGUGAAGUAAUGGCAUCAAUGGCCCAUUUAGGAAACAUCAUAAUGGACAUCAAAUAAGCAGGAAUGCUAGCAAUGCAUGUGGUCACCAGGAUCAGCUUGCCUCUAUAGGAUAAAUGUUUUCCCAAUCAUCCAGCUAUAUUUUUGAUGAUCAUGUCUAUAAUAUGUUGGAUGUCCUCCCUCCUCAACUUUUUAAAGUGAAGAGGUACUUCAAGGUAUUUGAAAGGAAAAUCCCCAAACUGGUAGCAAAAAAUCUUUGCAAGCUCAUUGUACAUAUGUAGAGGAAUGUUUAUAGUAGUAGAUCACUUUUACUAAAGUUAAUUUUAAGACCAUAGAGGUUUUCAAAACAUGUCAACACCCACUUCAAAUUUCUGGCAUAAACCAUAGAGUUUUGUAGGAAUAAGAUGGUGUCAUCAACAUACUGUAGGCUGAUGACACCACCAGGGAUCACUUGUGGAAGAAGACCAACAAUUAAACCACCUCUAGCAGCUUUGAAAGCAUCUUAGAAAACUCAUCAGCAACUUAGUUAAAAAGCAAAGAAUAAUGAGGAUCACCCUGCUUCCAUCCUUUGCCAGCCACAAAAUAUGAGCCAUUAGUUUCAUUAAUCUUGACCCGAAAGGUUCCUUGAUGUAGAGUACUAAACACCAAAUUAACCCAUUUAAUACCAAAACCCCUAGAAAGGAGCAUUCCUUUUAAUACCAAAGCCUUCUCAUAAUCCACCUUAACGACCAAACCAUCACCUCCUGAUCUAUGAACUUCCUGAAUGACUUCAUGAGCCACCACAACACUCUCCAGUAUGAACCUCCCGUUGAUGAAGGCAGUUUGAUUGGAAGAAAUUAGUUUAUCACACAAGGGUGAAACUCUAGUAGUCAUAGCCUUAGAAAAGAUCUUGACAACACAGUUACUAAGGCUAAUAGGUCUAAAAUUCUUCAUCUCCCUGGCUAGACGAAUUUUUGGGAUGAGUGUAAUAAGGGCAAAAUUAAGCCUAUGCAUGUCGAGUCUACCAUCUUCAAAAUCUUUGACCAUCCACAUAAAGUCUUUUUUGAUGAGAUCCCAAAAGGAUUGGUAAAAUAGAAAAGAUAAUCCAUCAGGACCAGGGGCCCCAUUGGCAUACUUACUCAGGAUAGCUUGCUUGAUCUCCUCCUCAGAAAAGGAUUUUUCUAGAUUAAUCCUGUCAGCUUAAGAGACUACCUCCUCCCCUUCCCAAAAGUUAGGUUCAAGAUGAAUAUCAGGUUUAGGAUCAAAGGAAAAAAGAUUUUUAUAAAAAUCAGUGACCACUUUCAGCAUGUCAGUUGUGGAUGUCACUAUCCCACUAGGGCCUUCCAAUUCAGAAAGGUGGUUUUUUCUAUGUCUAUGAUUAGCCAAGGCCUGAAAAUAGGCAUUAUUUCUGUCACCUUCAAGGAUCUUUCUAUCUCUAGAUAUCUGCCACAAAGCAGUUUCCUCUUUUUUCAGAUCUCAUCCAACUCUUUUUUGAUGUCUCCCAUCCUAGCAAAAUCACCAGGGGAUAAAUUGUGAGUCUCAGAAGAGACAUCUAGCAUAUCAAGGUCCAUAAGAAGGGCUUUCUUCUUUUUCUUAAUGGCAACUUCUAAAUUAAUACGCCAACCUUUAUUUUUUCCUAAGAACUCUAAUUUCAGCAUCCAAUUCUCAACAGAGGAGGUCCCAGAGGACACAAAGUUCCAGGCAUCCACUACAACCUGUCUAAAACCAGGUUGAGAGAGCCACCAUUUCUCAAACCUACCUAAACAUCUUAGGACCAACAUGUCUCCUGGCCCCUGUGUCCAGCACCAAGGGGGCAUGAUCACUACCAACCCUGGGGAGGGCAACAAGGGAGGACAUGGGAAAAUGAGCAUCCCAAUCCAAAGAAGUGAAAAUCCGAUCCAAGACAGCAAAACCUGGAUUCUCUUGAUUAUUGGACCAGGUAUAUUUUCUGUUGGAAACAAAAAUUUCCAUAAGAUUCCAACUAUUUAUCCUAUCAUUGAACAACAAAGCACUUUGUUGAUCAACAAGGCCAGUACUCUUCUCAUUGUUCCCUCUAAUCAAAUUGAAAUCACCACAAAUUAGAACAGGAUAGGAGUUGGAAACAAAACCAUCAUGUAACUUAGAAAUGCAAUCUAGUUUGAACUCAGGGUAAGAAGACCCAUAUACAAUCACCAAAUGCCAUAAAAAUCCAUAACUUUUGUUCUUAACAGUAGCUUUAAUUGAGAAUCUAUUAUUAGUAAACCCAAUCACAUCAAACUUAUCUUUUUUGAGACCAACGAAAAUACCACCAGCAGAACCCACGGCAGGAAAUAUUUCCAACUAAAAAUAUUCUUAGGAUCCAAGGAUCUAAGGAAACCGUCAGAGAUGAUUUCCUUCUUUGUUUCUUGGAAACCAAUAAAAUUAUGUUAGUGUAAGUGCAUCUAGUGCCACCGCUAGUUUAUUUUAGAGUAUUGACAUCAACUUGGUUGAGGAACUAAUGUGUUUGUGAGAAUUGCAGGAUAACACGGGUAGUAGUCCCAUAUUAACUCGGUUUACCUAGCAGAGAUGACUCCUAAAAAUGUGUGAAGACAUUGAAGACAAUGGUGGUCUGUGGAGAUAUUCACAUUGAAGACUAUGGCAUGAGAAGACAUCACAUGAAGACUAUGGAGUGCGAAGACAUGGUUGUUUCGUAGUUUCCUUUUCUUCCUUGUUGAGUCAUAGGAACCACCGUACUGUUAAGUGGGGUCCAAGUGAACAAAGUCAGAGUGACUGAGGUGAUGCUCAACCAAAUCCUAUGUCUUCAAGCGAAGACAAUGAGAGCAAAUCUUAUCUAGAGCUGGAUGAGUCAGCUUUACUUGUAGCCCAAAUUAAGCUGCCGCGUGUGUUCGAAACCUGACCGUUGGACACGUGUCCGUUCCUUAGUGACCCAGGGGCAUUUUGGAAAAAUCAGGCCGGGUUGCCUCCUGGCUAUAAAUAGCCCACCCCCUACACCAUAAAUUGGUGGCUGCUUAGAGUUAGUGCACGGCUUUUGUCAUUUGAGAGCAACCCACCUCCGAAGCCUUUGAGAGAGUAAUCCAAGCGAGGACAAAGCCUAAAACACCCAGAGCCAAAGAGUGUUAACGCAUCACUGAAGUCUUUCUGUCCGCGUGAUCUGAAGACUUAUUACACUUGAGGACUGUGAAUCCUCCAGCCGGUUAGGCGUCGCGUUCUGAGCAUCCAAGAGUCAUUGUGGAUUGCCAGUGAACGAAGUCUAUGAAGGUUUGUAAGUCUCUCUUGAAGACAUACCAGAGUGAUUGGACGAGGACUAAGUGUUCUUAGAUCAAGGGGAAUAAUGUGAAGAUGCGGUCUUCUGAGUUGAAUCUCAGCCUCCCUAACCAGAUGUGUAGUUGUCACAGCAACUGGAACUGGUCCAACAAAUCCCUGUCUUCUCCGAGCAACUGGUUCCAUCGUUUACCUCUCUUUACUUACAGUUUGUCUUCGUGAACUCAUUGCCCAUUUGUCUAAUCUGAUUGACUUCACUGAGUGAAGACUGUUUACUAUUUGGCUUCAUACUAUCUUCCAUCCUGAUCCUUACUACCUAACUGCUAAUAGUCUUCGUGCUUUCACUUCAUUGCUUACUUGACUAUGGCUUGUCUAGUGUAGUCUACCUUCCGCUGCAUAUCAAUAGGUGCAUUUCUAUUGUUUGUCUUCAAAGCAUUCAUGUUUUGAAGACUUUCAAAAAAAUCGCCUAUUCACCCCCUCUAGUCGAAUACUAGAACUUUCAAUUGGUAUCAGAGCAAGGUUCUCCCUUGUUCUGAGUGAUUCGGUUUAACCACCUUGAGUUUAGCUAUGUCGAUUGCAGGGAUAAUCAAAGUCUCUGUUGCGUGUCCUGUCUUUGAUGGUCAAGAUUAUCCCAAAUGGAAAGUAAUGAUGAAGAAGCGCCUCCUUGCCAUGAACAGUGAACUGUGGACCGUCACAGAGAUUGGUCUCACCGAUUUAUGCAAGAUGGCGAAUGUUGACGACAUUCUAAAGUACACUCGUCUAGGUAUCACGGCUAAGGAUAUCAUAUGCUCAUGUAUAUCCAAUGACGAAUUCAGGUGCAUCAUGCAUCUUUGCAAUAUGAAGAUUAUCUGGGACCGGAUUUAUGAUGUCUAUGAGGGUCAUCGAACCCAUCAAGACCCAUGGUUCUGCGAGUUCAUAGAAUCUCUUAAAACGAUGUCUUUCGAACCCGAGCCAUCUGAUCAAAACUACUGCCUCAUGGCACGUAGUGUCAAGGUAACCUCUGGUGAUUCCAAACCUAGCUAUAAGACACUUGCUAAAAUUGCAACUGAACAACAGAAUGCUAUGGAACAUAUUCAAAAGUUGUUAGACAAAAGCGAUGACCUGUUGGACGCAGAAAUGACCAGAACUCAGUCCUUAAUUGAAGACAUUAAAAUAAAGGAAAUAUGCCCUAGAGGCAAUAAUAAAGUUACUAUUUAUUUCCUUAAUUCAUGAUAAAUGUUUAUUAUUCAUUCUAGAAUUGUAUUAACCGGUAACUUAGUAUAUAUGUGAAUACAUAGACAAAACAUAUAGUCCCUAGUAUGCCUCUACUUGACUAUCUCGUUAAAAAAAGAUGGUUAUGUUUCCUAACCAUAGACAUGUGUUGUCAUUUGAUGAAUGAGAUCACAUCAUUAGGAGAAUGAUGUGAUGGACAUGACCCAUCCGUUAGCUUAGCAUUAUGAUCGUGUUAGUUUCAUUGCUACUGCUUUCUUCAUAACUUAUAGAAGUUCCUCAGACUAUGAGAUUAUGCAACUCCCGAAUACCGGAGGGACACUUUGUUUGUUACCAAACGUCACAACGUAAAAGGGUGAUUAUAAAGGUGCUCUACAGGUGUCUCCGAAGGUGUUUGUUGGGUUGGCAUAGAUCGAGAUUAGGAUUUGUCACUCCGUGUUUCGGAGAGGUAUCUCUGGGCCCUCUCGGUAAUACUCAUCACUAUAAGCCUUGCAAGCAUUGUGACUAAUGAGUUAGUUGUGGGAUGAAGUAUUCAGGAACGAGUAAAGAGACUUGCCGGUAACGAGAUUGAACUAGGUAUUGAGAUACCGACGAUCGAAUCUCGGGCAAGUAAAAUACCGAUGACAAAAGGAACACCGUAUGUUGUUAUGCAGUUUGACCGAUAAAGAUCUUCGUAGAAUAUGUAGGAACCAAUAUGAGCAUCCAGGUUCCGCUAUUGGUUAUUGACCGGAGACGUAUCUCGGUCAUGUAUACAUAGUUCUCGAACCGUAGGGUCCGCAUGCUUAAAGUUCGAUGACGAUUGGUAUUAUGAGUUUAUGUGAUAUGUUGUACCGAAGAUUUUUCGGAGUCCCGGAUGUGAUCACGGACAUGACGAGGAGUCUCGAAAUGGCCGAGACAUAAAUAUUGAUAUAUUGCACUACUAUAUUCGAACAUCAGAAGUGUUCUGGAGAAGUUUCAGAUAAAACCAGAGUGCCGGAGGGUUACGGGACCCCCCCGGGGGGGAACUAAUGGGCCUCGAUGGGCCCUAGUGGAGAGAGAGAGGGGCCGGCCAGGGCAGGCCGCGCCCCCCUGAGUCCGAAUAGGACAAGGAAGGGGGAGGGCGCCCCCUUGCCUUCCCUCUCUCCCUCUCCUUCCUCCCCCCUCCCUUCCCCAAGUUGGAAACCUACUAGGAAUAGGAUUCCUAGUAGGAAUCCUACUUGGGGCGCACCCUACAGGGGCUGGCCGGCCUCCCCCUUGCUCCUUUAUAUACAGGGGCAGAGGGGCACCCUAGGACUCACAAGUUGACAAUUGUUUUAGCCGUGUGCAGUGUCCCCCUCCACAGUUACGCACCUCGGUCAUAUCGUCAUAGUGCUUAGGCAAAGCCCUGCGCUGGUAACUUCAUCAUCACCGUCACCAUGCUGUCGUGCUGCCGAAACUCUCCCUCGGCCUCAAUUGGAUCAAGAGUACGAGGGACGUCUCCGAGUUGUACGUGUGCUGAACGCGGAGGUGUCGUACGUUCGGUGCUUGGAUCGGUUGGAUCGCGAAGACGUUCGACUACAUCCACUACAAAAAAAUACACUGCCGUGAUGAUACGUGUUUGUCAUAGUAGGUCGCGUUUUCUGUCAUGCAUGUACAUCCAUGACGAUUUUAUGACAGAAUCAAGAUAGUCAUACCUGUGCUGUCGUAGAAAUCUUCCAUGACAUUACCAAAAUUAUCAUCACGGAAGUGUCCACUUCCAUGACAAUAAAUCGUGCAUCAUAGAAGUGCUUUCGUCAAGGGUGACCGACACAUGGCAUCCACCGUAAUGGAACACCGUUAAGAUAUCGGGUCCAGUUUUGGAUCCGAUAACCCGUUAACUGCCCUAACCAAUGGGGAUUUUCCACAUGUAAAAUCAUCAUUGGCCGGAGGAAACACGUGUUGCCUCACCGUUGGGACAGAUGUCAUCCACUCAUUAGACAGGAGGCGCCUAUGAUAGGUCGACACAUGGCAUGGCCCAACAGUGGCCCAUUCCGGUGAAAAAGGCCGGCCUGGUAAAAAUUAGCAGGCCAGCCCAUAUAAGGCCUACUUGUGCCAGGUCCAUUUAAGCCCACGUCCCAUACGAGAUGUGCCAAUUCGGCCCAUCAAUGACCCGUUAAAGAUUUGACACCAUUGCAGCCCAUCGUCAGUUCAAGCCUGUUAACAACCCGCUAUAUAUUUGGGCUCAAUAUUGGCCCGAUGAGAUUUCGGCCUGUUAACGGCCCAUUUAAUGGAUGGGCCAAUUUUCAGGAUGUACAUCUUUCGGCCUUUUAGCGACCCAUUUAAAUGUUGGGCUAAUUUCUGGCCCGGUGUGUCUUUCAGCCUGUUGACGGCCCAUAAUCAGUUGGGCCAUUUGUAGUCCGACCUCAGUUUUGGCCUUUUAGCGACCCAUUUAAGUGUUGGGCCAAUUUUCGGCCCGGUGUGUCUUUCAACCUAUUGACGGCCCAUAAAUCAGUUGGGCCAUUUGUAGUCGGACAUGAGUUUUGGCCUUUUAGCGACCCAUUAAAGUGUUUGGCCAAUCCCCGGCUCUGUGUGCCUUUCAGCCUGUUAACGGGCCAUAAAUGAGUUGGGCCAUUUGUAGUCGGACCUGAGUUCUGGCCUUUUAACGGCCCAUGCCCUUCAUGGUCCAAUACCAACCUGGCUUCUCUUUCGGCCUUCUAAAGGCCCACAACAUAGUUGGGCCAUUUACAAUACGACCCGACUUUCAGCCUCUUAGCGGACCAUGCUCUUCAUGCUCCAGUACAAGCCCGCUGUCUCUUUCAGCCUGCUAAAGGCCCACAGUAUGGUUGGGCCAUAUGUAGCCCGAACUUAGUAACGGCCUGUUAAUGGCCCGUGAAAUCAAAUGGGCCCACCUGUUGCCCACUUCGAUGUCGUCCUGUUAAUGACUUGGGAGGUAAGAGGGCCGACCAUUAACUUUUGGCCUGGUAAUGACCCAUUAACUUAAUGGGCCCACUAAAGUUCAUACAUGUCUUUAGGCCAAAUUAGAUAAUUUAAGCACAUUACAACGAGCAAUUAUGCACAGGACCAAAACCGAUCAAGCAAAGGUACGACAUACAGCGAAAAACGUUGCACAACUAGCAUAUAUUACAGGAACUUACAUCCACUGGGCAACCAAAGAUUGAUGCCAGUGCAAAUAAAUGAACAAAACCUAACGAUCUACAACGUCACAAUCUGCAACCUCAGCACGGAUGAUGCCCAUAAGCAUGUGGGCAAGUUCUUGCUGCUUUGCUAUACUGUCUCUGAAAACAUUGAUCAGUUGUUGUUACGCACGAAUCUGCACCUCUGAUUCCUCCACCAUUUCCAUCAUUGCUUCUGCCAUUAAUUGGUUCACAAACAUACAUUUUUCCGUUGCAUUCGAGACAGAGGAUACUGAACAGAUUCAGAUGGCGAUUUUGGCAUGCUUGUAUUAUUGAUAGUGGAGAGUGCCUCGACUACUGCAUCAUAACAUAAAUUAGGAGGGGAACCAAACAGAUUAAUCAUGAGUUAUUGCCAUAUUACCUGGCCUAGAUUUAUUGGAAAUAAACAAUGGGGUUGCCUUGCUAUUUUUAGAGUUUUUCUUCUUAUCUUCAGCAUCCUGCACCAAAUUAACACACUACCAUUGGUAUCAUUGGCCAUGUCAGAUAAUAGGAAAGCAACAAUGGCGCCUUUAACAUUUUGCUACAACUAAUUUUAGAUCAGAUAAAGGUUGGAUUCACGCUGAUUAACAAAAUACAUGCUGAUGUAUACAACAGGUACUUACAUCAGCAUUGCAGCACAGAGAAUUCCGCAAGAUAAUUUCCUCGAAUAUAAUCGCAAUGAAGUCUUCUAUCAUUUAACCUUAUUUUCUAAAAGAGAGAUGGGUAAGAAGCAUGUAGAAAAUAUGAUCAGAAUGCUAUAAAAUUUCAUGAUGCAAGGAUACGCACACGCUUCUUAGAAUGAAGUUGACAUUCUUUUGCUGGACUGGAGCAGACUAUAGUUCUUUGGCCACUGGAAUCUCCUUAUUAUCAGUGGGAGUUGGGUUUCACUGUGCUGGAGCAGUAUCUAUGAAAAAUGGAGUUGGUUUAUUAUCACCUGGCAUUUGGAUCUUUUGCAAAGACCUGGUUUGUAACCCUUCAGAUUCUAACAUAGCCGUCUUCCCCUUGCAUGCCUUAUAUAGAAGAAUGGUGCUUCAAUUAUAAAACAUGCUACAGCAGUGAUGGAAUAGGUGCUAAAGAAUAAAAAGACAUGACAUAUUGACAUGUAUUCCAUCCAUCCGGAAAUAAAUGGAUGGGUCUACGCAUAUUUCAGUUCUAGAUACAUCCAGUUUUAUCCAUUUCUGCGACAUGUAAUCCGUACGGAGGGAGUAUGAUGUAAUAUCUAGGGAUACGACUGGACAACACAGUAAAAAAAUACUGAAAACCCACUACAGAACCAUAGUAUUCAAACACACUGAUAUGAGAUAGUACACUCAUGUAGCCCAGGAUGCAAAAAUACCAGGCAGUUUCCUUACAAAUAUCAACAUUGUGGCCUUUAAUCAUACAUUUUGCUACAAGUAAAUUUAGAUCAGAUACAGGUUGGAUUCACACCGAUUAACAAAAUAUAUGUUGAUGUAAAAAUAUAGUGAUAUACAACAGGUACUUACAUCUGCAUUGGAGCACAGAGAAUUCCUAGAAGAAUCUUUCCUCACAGACGAUACCAGUGUAGAAAUUCAUCUAUCUACUAAGCUUAUUUUCUAAAAGAGAGAUGGAUAAGAAACAUGUAGAAAAUAUGAUCAACAUGCUAUAAAAUUUCAUGAUGAAAGGAUAUGCACACGCAUCUUACAAUGGAGUUGACAUAUUUUUGCUGGACUGGAGCAGACUAGUUCUUUGGCCACUGGAAUUUGGUUAUUAUGAGUAGGAGUUGGGUUUCUCUGUGCUGGAGCAAUAUCUAUAAAAACUGGAGUUGGUUUAUUAUCUCCUGGCGUUUGGAUCUUUUGCAAAGGUCUUGUUUGUAACCCUUCAGAUUCUAACAUAGCCGUCUUCCCCUUGCAUGCCUUGUAUAGAAGAAUGGUGCUUCAAUUAUAAAACAUGCAACAGCAGAGAGAUGGAAUAGGUACUGAAGAAUAAAAAGGCAUGACAUAUUUACAUGUAUUCCCUCCAUCCAGAAAAAAUGGAUGGGUCUAGGCAUAUUUCAGUUCUAGAUACAUCCUUUUUAUCCAUUUCGGCAACAUGUAAUCCGGACAGAGGGAGUAUGGUGUAAGAGCUAGGGAUACGACAGGACAACACAGUAAAAAACACUAGUUGAAUGUAAAACUGUAUGCUAGCGGAAUACAUAUAGAAAAACUAAGGCAACAUACACAUGUAUGAUUGGGAAACUAAGAUGGCAUUGCAAUAGAGCACUAGAACAUCACUUGAAUGUAAAAAAACAUGGUAUGGUAGACAGAUGAAGUACAUACUGAUGAAUAACAAUGCAUAAGAUAUUCAGAAGCAUGACGUCCAAAUUAAGCAGAUGGCAUUGCGAUAGAGUAGAAUGACAGUACUUGAAUUUGAAAACAUGUUAUCAUGAAUGGAAUAGGUACUGAAAAACAGGAAGGCAUGACAUAUUUACAUGCAUCAUCAACAUGCUAAGCACAUGGCAUUGCAACAGAGUAGAUACACUCCAGGACAUUAUAUGCAUGUUGUACCCAUAUCACGGGCCAAGUUAGAGCAAGGACCUUGUGGGGUGAAGAGGAUUCAUCAUCUUUCUGCAAGUCUUCUGAAGAAUUGCCUUUACAUGUUCCAUCAUAUUGGGUAUCAUUGACAUCAAGUUUAUUGGCCUUUACAUUGCUCUGUGAGGUUCUUGUGGAGAUAUCAGUGUGUGCAAUUAUAUCUGACAUGCAUGGAAGACAACUAGUAUUUAGAUUUAUGUAAUGUGUGCCUAUAGGAGACGACAUAAAUAGUAGGACUGGGGUUAACUAGCAGCAACAGGUCUCAAAAACUAAAGGGAGAACACAGAUGAAAGCUGCAGAAUAUGUAUCGUUUGUACUCGAGAUUAACUAGAUGGCACAAAAAAGUAUUAAAGAACAACAUAGGUAAUACUAGAAGUGGUAUAAUACUAUAAUCACCAGCCUGUGGGAUAUCAUUGGCUGAUGGAUGAUAACUAUGGAAUAGCGUUACCUAAAGAACAAGUAUCUUAGCUGAACUAUGGAACAACGUUAACUCCUGAACAAGACCCGUAAGAGAUUAGCAUGAAUAUACAGUGAAAUGUGAUAAUCUAUUUUCCAUGAUUAGAUGAAUAACAAAGCCAUAAAUUUUGCGCACAAUAAGAUGACGGUACAACCUAUCUGGCCGCCAUCCAUAGGAGUGAGCAUCAUGUGCUGACUUGUCGAUGGCCGUGCAGUUAUUGUGGUUGUCCAUGUCGGGCACGCGCAUUCGAUGCAGGGAACUGUUGAGUGGGGACUAUAGCUCCCUUCUGGUGUAUGCUUCCCUUGUUGGAGCAGCUACGGUGAGUCGGAAGACGGUGUGGUUGAAGAUGGAGAUAACGCAUAAUGUUAAGAACGACACAUCUCUUUGAUCUGAAGAAAUACACUAAGAGAUCAACAGCAAGGUACGAGAGUGGUCACACGUCUGUUAGACUAUAGACUAAAUUGGGGUCACAUGAUUUAAGUUUAUUUUAUUUUGGUACUGUCCGAUCUACGCCAGAUGGCUUGAUGGCCGUCUUGUGGCUCUCGGCUAACACUGUUCGGAAUCUUCCUCGAAGAGCCAGCGACCAAUGGUAGAGCAGCCUGCCUCCACCGUCCAUGGCCCCAGCCAAAACCCUGCUUCCCGCCCCACCGCACUGCCGUGGUUGCCCCGCCUCCGAGCUAAUCCACAAAGACUCCCCGUCAUCGAGAUCUAACAGCGGCAGUACCUUCAACCCACGCAACCCUAAGAUAGCCAUCUAAGCGCUACUUCCGCGGCGAACUUGCGGCCCCACACCCUUACAUUAGACGCCAGCCAACCAGCAGCCUAGGACCUCCGCCGCAUCGAGGGGUGCUGCUUCCCAUUGGGAAUCGAUUGGCCCAGAAUAAAAAUUCAGACAACUGACGCCUAAAUAAAGUGAUUUGAGAUGAGGGUGCGACCUAUCUGGCGGCAUGGUGAAGUAGGUAGCUCCAGCUGCCGAGUCAGUGAGGCCGGCGCUGUUGCGGUGGCCACCGGCGGAAGGGAAGCAGCGAUGUCAUGAUGGUCGACGGCUAUGGGGAAGCAGCACUGGGACUCUGGACGGAUCCAAAGUUGGAGCCGCUCCGGUGCCGUGAACAAUGGCGCGGGUGAAUCGGCUCCGGUAUGGUUCAUGCGGCCGUCGUCGAGGCAGCUCCAGCAGCACGGAGUAAGAGGCACAUGGCCCAGUGCACGACGGCAAAUGGACAGCAUCUUCGGCAUUAGGGAGGAGGGCUGCUGUGAAAUUGAUGCGGUGGGGGUGCCAUGAAGGAGGGGCUGAGGUUUCGCGGCUCAGGAGAAGGGAGCUUCCGGGGAGAAGGUGAUUUGGCGCCCAUGAGGUAUGAAUGGGGGUGGUGAAUCGGGAGGGGAGUGGAACCAUGUCUUACGGACGCAUUUGUCUGAAAUAUGGGGGCGAGUUACAGUUCUACCCUUUCCUUUAGGCUUCUCGGCUUGGGUCUGUGUACUGAGGGUCGGGGAUAGUAGAGUAACUUUUUUUCUCCGCAAAUAGUGGGCGGGAGCGAUUUCGGGUGAGGAGGGCGUGUUUUGAAAUAUAGUGGGCGAGAGCGAUUUCGGGUGAGGAGAGCCUGUUUUGAAAUAGUGGGCGCGAGCUAUUUCUGGCAAGGAGAGCGUGUUUUGCCGACCAUGGUUUAUGAGUUAUUCGGCACAUGUCAUUUCGGCCAAGGAGAAGGCGCGCCUGGAUGAAGUUACAAACCUACCCUCGAUGUACAAUGGGCCAAUUGAUGCGUGUCCCACAUAGGACGGUAAUUUCGCAUCUCCCAAUUAUUUGCUCGGGCGAAUUCCACCGAGUAGAGGAUGUUUAACGGUUCGUUCAAAUUUUGGGAGAACGAGUAUCCACGUCUACCUUACCAAGUCGGUUCGAAUCAAAUUUUGAAAUAUUAGCUUGCCACUUCUUUUUGAGAUGGAGAGAUGAUGCUCGGGAGUAAUGUGUACAUGCUUGUUGCUAGCGACUUACUAUGUGAAAAAUAGUUGACCCACUCAAAAACUGGAAUCAAACCCAAAAUGAAAUAUCUCGAUUCAAUGAAAUAGCUCGUUCACUAGGUCAAAAUAGUGAACUAAAUCCAAAAUUGAACACCUCAAUCGAGUAGCAUGUUGUACAGUAUUAUAAUACUCCAUGAACAUGUUGAAAGUCAAAUUAAUAAAAUUGUUUGAUAUACGCAUAUAUCCGUGCAUGUGUGGAUUGCACACAACAUGUUCUCCAAUUUAAAUAGGGCUUAUUCCAUCUGUGCCCCCAAUUCCUUAGUUGUGCUCAGUUUUCCCCACGCUUCAAACUUUUGCUCACUUUUCCCCACUCCCGUAGCUGAAACUCUCACAAAUGUUCUGUCGGAGUAAUGGGCCACGGGUAGGCUAACCCGUGUCCCAGGACCUUUCAAGACAUCGGGGCAGGCCGCGCCCCUCAGGCCGAGUCCCAGACGGCGACCCCAAGACAAGCCGAGUCCCAGACGGCGACUCCAAGAUAAGCCGACUCCAAGCUGGCGACCUCAAGAGAGGCCGACUCUGGAGAGUCGGCCCAUGAAUCCUCCCUCAUCAUGAAGUACGAUGCGGGGUACGGUCACGGCAUGGCCGUUCCCCCCUGCUUACGAAGGGCCGGCAUGGCUACAGUGAGCCGUAUCGCUGGAAGAUCUCCGGCGAGGCGCGACACUGUUGCCAUGCCUGCCCGGACCUCAGCCACAGUGCGCCGUACAUUGUGCCCACGACGCCGGCCUGUACGAUCCGAAGGCGGCGGGACCACCUGUCAGUGGGUGGGCCGAAGGCGGCCUGGGCGCCCCGAAGACGGACCUUUGGGAGUCGGCCGACUCCUCCCCAGGGCCCCACGAGCCAUUAACCAGCGCCCCGAAGACGGACCUUUGGGAAUGGCGGCAGUGAUCGCCCGAUAGACGGCAGCACUGUUGCCACGACCCGAUGAUCGAGCCUGCAUCAUCAGGAGUGCCGCUACAGUAUCAAGCCUGUCCACGGGACCCGGCAGUCGGCGGGCCCUAGAAGCCGGCAGGAAGGACGGUGGCCUGAGAGGCAGACGGUUGGGACCCGCGCCUAGCCGGAUUACUAUUGUACCCCCGGGGGGGUAGGCCUAUAUAAACCCCCCGGGGCACCCAUGCAAAGGGUUUGGACCUGAAUAGAGAUAGACCAGAUAGCACGGGGAGGAGAGAGCUAGCCUUGCCCUCCCCUGCCUCCUGAAAUAGCUCCAGGAGCACCAUUGUAGUCACCUUGCAUUAGUGAUCAUGCGGAGACCCCGCAGAGCAGCUGUAGGGGUGUUAUCUCCUAGGAGAGCCCUGAAGCUGGGUAAGUUCCGCCGGCGUGCAUGUCUUCGCCUCAUCCUGCUUCCAUGCACCGGCGAUGUUCUACUCGCUCCCACCAUGAUAAGCCAUCCUUUGGCAUAUGUCUUAUCCAACCCCCGACAUGUUCAUAACAGACGUUUGCCGUCUUGGCCAUUAACUAACUUGUGGGGCCACGUUGGACUCUGUUGACUGUGGCUGUGGCUUCGCUGGUUGGGUCGUGUUUGUGUUCAUAGGAUGAGCCCGUUAGUUUGUUGGUAACAAAUUAAAAAGGCCCAAUUAAAAAAGCCUGCUAUCGAUGGAUGCAGCCGGCUAUGCAUGCCGGGCUUUGGCAUUGAUGUAGCCUGCUAUGCAUGCGAACACCGACACGCACGCAUCUAGUGACCUAGACCUAAACGCAUGCAUGCACGCCGACAUGCACGCAUCCAUCCGUGUCGCAUGGUUGCCGGUGGAUUCAGUCGCUCCGCAGCAUCGUUUCACGCGUCGCAGGAAUACGUGCCGGUGGCAGAAGGGGCAGGCUACACGCACGCUCGCGCCGCACUGCUGCUGCUCGAUUCAGUUGUGGGAGGCAGUCAGCCGCCAACGCAGAGCACGGAGAAGGGGAAGGCAGGCAGCUGCCAACGCAGAGCACACAAAGCACAUUGAUGAUCACAUCGGUUCACGCACGCACUGAGUCAUGAUCUACGCCGUUUGCCCGUGUACCCACUUCGUCUCACCCGGCUAUUUAAACUGUCAUUCAUUGCCUCUUCUUCUACAGAUCCAUCUGCGCCUCCCACUUCUCCUCUUCCCCCAAAAGCCAAAGCCGUUCCACUCAGCGAAGCGUUCAAGAUGCAGUACAACGGGCCGACGUUCCAAGAGCCGCCCACCGUGCCGGAACGGCGGUACCCUGCCAACGUCAUUGUCAAGGCAUCGCUCCGUGUGUGGGCGUUCUCACGCUGGAGGGGUAGCACUGAGCUUGCACGGGGGUUCCUCCGUGCGGGCUUCCACCACCUCCCGGCGGGCUCGCCGCCCAUGUUCAACCUCAUGGAGCAGCGUCCCCACGCCAACGCUCUAGUGGUAGGGCUCAUCAUCCACUUCACCAACAGGUUCGAUGCCUACUACCUGCUCGGCAAGGUGUAUUGGUGUGGGUGCGAGUUCAUCACAUUCACCACCUAUAACAUCUUCACCGACUUUGAGAGCAUCUUCCCCGCUCGCAACCGCAUGCACAACCUCCAGUACUGAAGCCGGCGGCGAAGAAGACGAUGAAGCCGGCGGUUAAGGUGAAGACGACGGUGAAGACAUGGCGGUGUUUCCCUAGCUACCCUAUGUACUAUGUAUUGUGAGUUUGGUGUGUGUGUUGCGCGACCUAGCUACCCUAUCUUUGCAUGUAAGGUUAAUUAUUAUCUAUGUAAGAACUUAUGUUGCCCUAGCAAUUGGUGUGUCGUGUUACAUGUAAGAACUUAUGUUUCCCUAGCAACCCUAUCUAAGUUAAGUUAUGUGUGUUAUAUUAAUGCUUUGUUAUGUUUGUAUUUUUUGUCCCAAGUUUAGAAACAGCUAAUUGGCGUGGGAAAAAUUAACGAAACUAACUAAAAAUGAUGUGUUUAUAGAUGCCUUCUAAAAAUAAGAACAUAUUGUACCUUUGUACACGACUUUGGUUUGCUGAGAGCUCUGUAUUUUUUAGGUAUUCCAAGAAUACUUUGCUUUUCAGAAAUAUUGAAGUAUCAAAUACUUUGAGAUGUUUGGCUUUAGUCAAAAGUGUAGUUUUAUAUACUUUAAUCCCUACUUUAAUAUGUAGAAAACUACACUAUAUUUGAAGUAUAUAAAAAAGAGGGUUGACCUCUUUUUCCAAUCAUGAGGUAUUGGUUCGCUAGGCAUAAUAAUACUGUGGUUUGCAAAUACUUUGAUCCUAAAAAAUGAAUGGACCCAUGAAGGAAAGCCAAAAAAAUUCCUCAAUGAGAUAGAAGAGAUUGGGCAAUCAAAUUAAUGAAAAAAGCAAUCAGAAACAAAAAAGAACAAAGCAAUCAUUCCUAAACAAAAAAAAACAUCGCUUGUUUCUGGGCCUCAUUUAUCCUUUGUGGCCCUAUUGUAGCUUGAUUCUCUUUGGGCCCGCGAACUAGGUUUUUUUUCUAGCAGAACUGACGAACUCGAGGAAAAAAGUUUGGCAAGUGCGGGAGAGAAGAGAUGAACUUGACGUAUAUCCCUUGUGCUGCUCAAGUACUGCUUAUUGUCAUCUGACGAGCUAGGGUAUGAUCCAACACUCAAGGUUAUUAGCUAACAAAAUAAUCCUAUCACUGAACUGGUAGUUGUCUUCUACCGAAAUUGAAAGUGUCGAAACUUAACAGUAAACUGCAUACAUUCGGAGAUCGAUAGUUGCACUAAACAGAGUUGCAUUUGAGAUAAACAUACUUGGAUUGCUAAACAGUGGAAACAACAGUAGACAAACAUCUCUAAUGAGAGAUGGCCAUCAAGUAAAAAAUUCCUAGAGCAAGUAUUCCUAAAGCUAUCAGAUUGGAUUGCUUCUUCAACUCAAUCAGCUGCUUGAAGUUCUUGUUCAUAUUCUUCAAUUCCGUCUUCAGUUCGACAUCUACCACCAUCGGGUAUUCCGGACUCGCUGCUGCUACCGGAGCGGCACUGUCAUGGGGCAGAUUGAACUCGCGGAUUGCAUUCCCCCUCGAGUCCAGCAAGCCCAACCCUUGAAGCCUCUGGAUGUAAUCAUCCAUCCACUCGAAAUGGUGGCAUUUCUUCAUGAUCUGAAAACGAAAUCCAAAUCUGAUAGAUUUUUUUGAGAAAUUAGAGAUAAAGGAUGCGAGGAAAACUCAGAUCUAACCUGCCCCUCCGGCUUGCUCUCGCAUUUGAUGAACUCGCGCCCAAAGUUCCCAUUCUUCUCCUCCUUCGAAGUCAAUCGCUUCAGUGGCGUAGUCCGUGGGCAGUCGGUGCAUCGAGUCAUCGGCACUGGACCAUACACCGGCCACGUGGAACGGGGGCCUGACAAGGAGGUCGACAUAUCGCCCGAGAGGAAGAAACAAAUGAAUUAGUCGAGAGGAAGAAGAACGAGAAGAUGGGGAAAGAAACAGAGGAAUUGCUCGAUAUGCUCGAUGCCUUUGUCUGUCAGAUGGAGAAGAGGAGAAGGGGAAGCCAUAUUGACGAUUUGCCACAUUGUAUUUUGCAGUUUGAAUAUUUGAACCAACUCUUUUCACUGACAUGUGGUGGUCAUGUGCGAAAAAUACAAUUUCAUAUGUAAAGUGGGGCAGAUCGUAAAAACCCAAGAAGGACAGUGCAGUAGCCAAUCAGGAUGCAUCACACGGAUCGCGCAUGCCUGCCCCACAUCUGAUGGGUGGUGUUUGGCGCUUGGUAGGAUCCGACGGCGGACGUUUGACGCUAGGGUUUGGAGCAUUUCUGCGGGGUUAUGAGCGAGUCAAUAGGGUUAUUAGGGUUUGACCAGAUUUCAAAUGGCCAUAACUAAAUUAGAAAAAAUCACAAAAAUAUAAAACAAACAUAGUUCGUCUAUUUAUGAGACCUAGUUACCAUAAAAAAUAUAAAGUUCGUAUAGGGGCAUUUUUUAGAAAAAUCAUUUUUUGUCGAAAUCAAGUUCAAAUGUUUUUAAAAAAUUAAAAAAAAAUCAAAAUGUUGUAAUUCUUGCGCACAUAGCCGUCAUAUGUGAAAAGGUUAUGAGAAAAAAAUAUAAACUUGGCGUAGGUCAUUUUCAUGAAAGAAGGCUUCACACAAAUGAGCUUCACCUAUGAACAUGUUCAGAGUUCGUAGAAUAGGGAGAGAGGGUUUAGGGUUUGAAAAAAAAUUCAAAAAAACAAUCAGAAAAAUCUCCAUAGCUUCAUUUUGGAGUGAAUAAGAAGGAUCUGAACUUACCUUUUCAUUUUCAUAUCUAAAACGUGUCAUUCGACAGUUUUGAAUUAAAAGCAUAUUUUUUCAAAAAAAUGUAGUAAUUUGAAUAUUAAUCAAUAAAUAGUGAGACUACGUUUUUACCCUAUAUAUAUGGAACAAGUGUUAAUAAAAAUAUAUGUGUCUCAUUUAGGCAAGGUCAAAAAAAACUUGAUUUCAAAUAGGGUUGUUUACCCUAGCUUUUGAACUCGUUUCUAGCACAUUUCUCAUUCGGACUGUUCACCUAGGAAUAUUGGACUUUAAAUGCUCGAUCAAAUACACCACACAGAGCAAUGAACCUCAAAUGUUCAACUUAAACUUUGGCUCGAAUCCAAAUUUUGGCCCAAAUUCAAAUAUUGAUUUAAAUUCAAAUUUUGAAGGAAAUUUGAAUUCUCACUCAAAUAAGAAACCAAAGUAGAAGCAACAUUAUUACAACUAAUAAGUUUUCACAGUAGCUCAAAUCUACCAAGUUUUAAGAUGCCAACAUCUUAAUACAAAUCUACCAAGUUUUAAGCGAUCGACUCACCCUCAAAUUGACAACACAAACAUUUCCCAACAACUUAAUUCAAAUUUUUGACUUGCUCCUUGUGUUUGCAGCUGGCUUCACCGUCUUGCUCCUGGUUUCCCUAGUUGAGAUGCUCUUUUCUUUCACACUCUUGUUCCUUUUGAUCUUGGGCUUUACUUGGGGUUUUAUCUGUGGAGGUGCUGAUGGAGUAGUUCCACUCGCCGAGCACUUGACGACCAUUUGACGGUCAUCUAUGGGUUCAGUAAUCUUUAAAGGCACGAUUGGAAAAAUUACCCCCUCCUCUUCCUCUCUUAUAGCUUCAAAACCAUCAAAGGCCAUGGUUUCAAAAUCUUCUGCUUCUUCAUCUCUUGGCCUUUUCUCCCUAGAGCUGGUAAAUAAAAUUAUAAGCCAUAGGCAAAAAAGAGAACAAAUGCAAACAAAAAGGUUGCUGCAUUCUACAAAGGGUGCAAACACAUACCAAGAUGCUUCAUUUGCUGCUGCAUUCUCCACUUCUUCAUUUGCUGCUACAUUCUCCAAUGCAUCUUCAGUCUCCAUUACUGCUACAUUCUCCUCAGCAUUGGCUGUUGUCCAUCUUUCCUCCUCUCCAAAUGAUGCAUCCACUGCAUUGGUACAAAGCCUAGCAAUAUGCCCCAGAACUCCACAUUUUUUGCAAGCAUGCUUCUUUGGUAGACGACCCUCCUCACCUGCUCUAAUCCUCUGGUUCCUUGGUCUUCCUGGUGGUCUAGUAAUGACAGGAGCGUGGAGUUUGAACCCUGGAUCUACUAUGUUCCAUUGAUCUUUCCCCAAUAGUGCAGGCAAAUUGUCAGCAUAAGCAGCCAUAAAUUUGGCAACAGAGAAAUACUCAGAGAAAUAUUGAUCAACUUCACCAUCUGCACCCCCGGUAACGGUCAUCAUAUGUAGGGCAUGUAUGCAUGGCUUCCCACGGAUCUGCCAUUGCCUACAAGUACAUUCUCUAGUACUUAGCUUCACAGGAUACCUCCAUACCCUAUUUUUAGUGUCAAUAUAGGUAACCUCUCCCUCAUAUGUACCAAAUUUAAUACAUUUCAUCUUCAGUCCUCUUGCCUUCAAGUGCAAUGCCUUAAUCAGUGAUGGGAGCAUUUGAUGAUCAACAUAUUGUGUUUCUGCAAUUCUUUUGCGAAGAUCCAUCUUUAUCAUGAUCAUUUGCCUCAUCUUGUCAAAUGCUUGCCACAACAAGAGCCCUUUCACUGACUUGAACUUUGAAUUGAAGCAUUCUGCAAGGUUACUGGUCACAUAAUCUACUUUGCAGAUUUUGUUGAAUUUGCUUCUUGACCACACCUUACCAUGAUGUGCAUCCAUGUACUCCCUCACAAGAGGAUUUUGAGCAUACAACACUCUCAAAUGGUGUUCAUGCUUCCUUUUGCUGCAUGUGUAUGAUGCUGGCCAUAAGUUCUCAUCAUAAACUUUACCUUUGAACUUCUUUUUGAAAUUAUACGCUAGGUGUCGCAUACAUUCCCUAUGCUCCACUCCAGGGAAUACAAUUUCCACUGCACUCUCUAAACCCUUGCAAGCAUCUGUGUGUAUAGCUAAACCUGGGGGUGUGCCUAUAAUGUUGCGCAACUGCUGUAGAAACCAGACCCAACUUUCCUCAGACUCUGCCUCCACCACACCAAAUGCAACUGGGAAUAGCCAGUUGUGUCCAUCAACUGCAGAAGCUGCUACUAGCUGUCCUCUCCAUCUUCCGGUCAAAUGUGUAGCAUCUACAGCCAAAUAGGGCCUGCAACCAUCUAGAAACCCAUGCUAGCAAGCCUUGAAACAAACAAAUCCCUUCUGAAGCACUCCUUCUGAAAUGACUUCCCUUUUAUUUUGAAUUGAACUGUAUGCUUGUCAAUCUCUACAACACUCCCUGGACUUGCCAUCUCCACUUCAGCUUUGAAAGUGUAAAGCAGCUGAAAACUGUCAUUCCAUUGACCAUUAGUUCUUUCAAGAGCCUGUUCCCUAGCAUUGAAAAUUCUCAUGUAAGGAAUUUCUAUCUUGUACUUCUCAAAAAGCUUCCCAUGGAGUGCUGUUGGACCAAGUCCAAGUUCUUCUCUCAGCCAAUCCAAUAUAGCACCUGCCACCCACCUAGUUUUGCAAGCUUAGUUUUGGCCUUCCUCCCUCCCCCUCCAGGUGGACAGGUGUGCUUGGGUGGGUUUUUCUUUAUCUAAAACAAAAUAAAAGGGUAAAAAAACAGUUAAGAAACCUUACUCAACAAUCUGAAACUAAAUUACUAACUGAACUUGGAUUACCUGAAUAUAUAUGCUCUUUCUCAUACGAGAUGCAUGCAACUUCCACCUGCACCUAGGAUAUGGACAAAAAACUGUGAACCUUGCUGGCUCACUCCUUUUAAUCUUAUAGGUGUUUUCAGAUAUAAUGCACCAUGUUGUCACUGCAUUCCGACAGUCCACCAUUGAUUGGAAAAUGGUACCUACACUAAGCUCAAGUUUUUCCCUGUUCCACUCAAUUGUUGGCAUGUCAUCACCAUCGUAUUCAUCCUCGAUUAAGCUGUCCAUGUUCUCCACCUUCUCUUCAUUGUCAGUGUCAUCAAACCUAGCUUGGCUGAUGGGCUCCUCCAUAUAUUCGUCAUCCACUGCUUGCUGACUGGCUACAUCGACCAGUUCAGGAAACAUCAUCUUGUCUUCAUCAUCAUUUGUAGGCACUGCCUCGUCAGGUUCUGCAUCUUCUUCUACACCAACUGCAGAAGGUACACGAGAAGCAGCAGCUGAAUCGGAACCAGAAUUGGCACCAGGCAUGUUGUGGCUCCAUGAACCACUUGCUUUACUUGGUGUCGACCUACAAGGAGUGCCGGGGUGCUGGCUAUUAGCAGAGACAGAUGAUGUCUGAACUCCCUUCCCCUUCACCCGUUCUGCGCGUGGCUGAAGCACAUCGAUUUGGAGUUUACCGAAUCAGCAUCCAGCAAUCCCAGCAAAAAGCAACGGCAUAUGAUCGUCGCAAGUUAGUGGGAGAAAUCUUUGCUCAUCACUGCUGAAGUAAUUCAGUUCAACAGCAUCGGCAUCACUCCAGGGAUAGGUGUUUCUGAGCUCAGCUCGCAAAUCUUUGAAAGAUAUGCUGGUUUCUACCACUUUGGGAUAGAAAAAUGAUGAAAUCAAAUGCGAUUUAGUACCAUGCAGCACACUAGUUUCCAUUCUAAUCACCAGCCGGAAAGCCAGCGCGGGAUUAAUCCUAUUUUGUUGAAGAAAAUAAAGGCUUCAGUUAGCCGGGUAAAAUCGAGCACAAAUUCGAACGAUUCAAGCAAACAGAAGUCAAAUACGGCCUACAAUACGACUUAGAACGUCAACUCGAGAGGAAAGAACGCUUACCCAGGUUUAAUCCAUGAAUUAUCUGCCGCGGAUUCGACCCAAUCCUCUCCACGGUCUACUGCAUUCCAGGCGUCCUCACUCAACAUUGCUUUGUAAUCCUAGAUGGGGAGGUGAGCUAUAUCUAGCGGAGAUGCAGCAUCGCCGAUGAACGGAAUAGGGGCAUAGGGUGGAGGAAACAACUGCGUGGACGCGACACGACGCCAGCGGAGGGGGCGGUGCGGCGCGGUGCAGUGCGGCCUAUCUAUAUCUGUUUCAGAUUCAGACAAGCUGCCCAAUACGUGUCUCCUUGCGGUCCCACCUGUCAGCAAGCAACAAUCAGACGAAGACUCGGCCCCACUCGUCAGCAAUUAACGGUCAAUGGACGGUCAAGACGACAAACGGCCGCUAUGAGCAUUUGUGAGAGUUUUAGCUAAGGAAGAGGGGAAAAGUGAGCAAACGUUUGGAGUGUGGGGAAAAGUGAGCACAACUAAGGAACCAGGGGCACUAAUUUAAAUUUCCCAUUUAAAUAUUUGAAUGCAAGUUUAUCUCGAAACAUGGUUUAUAUCACUCUUUGAUGCAUAAAACACAACAUCCCCCUCUCUCGUACUCCUGCUCUCUCUCUCUCUCUCUCUCUCUCUCUCUUUGUGUCUAUGUGUGUGUGGGGGGGUCUUUCUAGUUCGCAUGCAUAUAUACUCCAUCUAUAGGCCUCUUGCACACUAUGUAUGAUUCUCUAGUCCAAGCUAGAUAUCUUGGGUGCACUCAUCGUACGCACACAAAUUCCUUGGCUCAUUGCUCGUAACUCUCUCACGCACCACUCUGUUGUCUCGGAGCUCUUCCCUCUGUCUCUCAAACUCUCAAUCUACCUGGGUCACACAUACACAUGCAUGUCUCACUCGCACUCUAUAGGCCCAUCUAAAACUCUAUCUUGCUCCGUCGUUCUCUCUCCAUCUCACACGCACACACUACACAAUCUCAUUUCUAGCUAGCCAAGUAUGAUGGCCUCUCACUUAAUUGUAGGCACACGCAGUCCCUCUAAAUGUAUACGACUAGCUAAUCUUAGUCUCCAUCACAAACAUGUGCAUGGUCUAUCUUGAUUUCUCUCGGGGCAUCUUUCUAUCGCGCAUGCACCUCCCUCGAUCUCCUACCCAUACAGUGCCCUAACAAUCUUGAGGGGAUCUCUCUAUCACAAACAGACCCUCUCUCCCUCCCCAUGCGUUCAUGUUCUCCAUGUGUCCCUCUCGACCUUUGUUCCUUGUUGGCCAGACCUCUAUUGGACAUGUGCUAUAGGGGUGUCUCUCUCCGUUGCAAACAAUCACACACUAGCUUUGUUCGUGUAUCUCCUCGCCUCGCCUUUCUAUCUUGGAGAUGCAUGCGUGAUAUGUUUGCAUAAGAAAAAAAACACACUCUCUCUAAUUUAUCGUUUGUUGUCAGUUGUCACUUUCUCUUUCACACACAAACUCUUUUUGCACACUUACUCAUUCUCCUUCACACGCACUUGAUCUCUCUCGACUUAGGCACUCUCUUCGGUCCAUAGCAUAUAGAUUUAUUGAAAGUCCAAGAUCACAAAGUUUGACCAUGUACGUGGAAAAAACAAUUACAUCUAGAACGACAAACAUAUACCAUUAGAUUCACCAUGAGAUGUAGUUUCGUAUGAUGUAUCUUUGGUAUUGUAGAUAUAAAUAACAUUUGCGUAAACCUGAUCAAAGUUUCCAAAGUUUGACUUCUAAAAAAUUUACAUGCACUGCAUUAUCGAGCGGAUGGAAUAGCUCUUUCCCCCUCUUAGCUAUCUGACGCACCACUAAGCCUUAUCGGGGCUCCUCUAUCUCUCUCAAACUUUAUAUCUCCCUGUUUCACACAUAAACAUGUCUCGCUCACGCUAUACAUAUAGACCCAUCCAACACUCUCCACCCUUGUUCUCUCUCUAUGUGACACACACCCCCCUAAGUACUAUAAUCCCUCACUCCAUCUUAGGUGCAAGCACUCCCCACCCUAAGUAUGAUUAUCUCUCACUAGCCAUCAGGAACACACGUAUUGUCUCAUUCCAUCCAUACUUCUAUCUCGAUAUCUCUCGGGGUAUCUUCUAUCAUGCACACACCUUGUCACUCGAUCUCCCACCCAUGUAGUCCCAUCACGAUCUCCAGGGGAUCUCUCUAUGACAAACAUACACUCUCUCAUCCCCAUGUCUCCAUUUUGUCCGUACGUCUCUCAAGACCUCUCUCCCUUGUUUGUCAGACCCCUCUUGGCCACGUGCUAUGGGUCUUUCUCUCUAGAUUGAAAACAACCACACACUAUCUCCUCACCUUGCUUUCGUUGUCGAAGAUGCAUGUGUGAUAUGUUUGCAUAAGACACACACGCUUUUUCUCUACUUUUAUCGUGUGUUGUCCAUGUCUCUUUCACACACGCACACACACUUUUUUCACUCACUCUUUAUAUUUCACUCUCUCUAUAUAUAGUUAGGGACUCUCUCACGUCCAUAAGCAUAUGGAUGUUUUGAAAAGACAAACCUCAAAAAAGUUUGACCAUGUAUAUGUGGAGAAAAACAUUUACAUCUGGAACGAUCAUUAGAUUCAUCACAACAUGUACUUACUUCAUACUAUCAUUUAUCUUUGGUAUUGUAUAUAUAAGUAAUUUCUUUAUGAACUUGGUCAAAGUUUCAAAAGUUUGACUUAAAAAAAAGAUUGGAACUACAUUAUCGAACGGAGGGAGUAGCUCUUUCUCUUUCUCUCUCUGCUAUCUCUCACGGGCCUCCCUCUCACUCGAACUCUCUAUACUGAUGGAUUAUACGCUCACUAUGUCAGUGUAUAGCUCUGUAUAUUGUUUUGGUGAUUGGUCAACCAGUCCACAUGCUGCCUUGUCAGCUCAUGCUCUGUAUCUUCGUGUGCUAGCCCAUGCGGCAGUGAGUGAAAAUAAGCAAACUAGAGGCCCAUCUGACACGCGAUGAAGUAAACAAAGUUGAAACCACUCGGUGUGGCACCCCGCAUGCUAGUAAAUUGAGGGCGCAUUGAGGACACACUUCUUCCGCAUGAAGGACACACUCGCGCACAAUUCACCACUAUGCGGCGGCAUGCAUAGAAGGACGCGCUCGCGCACACCCAGCACACAACACACACCAGCACACGUGUACACCAGUGUCGCCGCCGGUUGAGAUGGACAACCAGGCAGCCAACAAGCGGAGGCGGCUCUAGCCAAAAACGCAUCUGGCGAGACUGGACUUCAUCAUCAGCCUCCCCGAUGACAUGCUGGUCGUCAUCAUCGGCCUCCUCCCCACCAUAUCUGUCGUGCGGACCGUCCCGCUCUCCAGGCGGUGGCGCCCCCUCUGGCGCUGCGUCCCCCUCAACCUCACCGUCGACAGCUGCCUCUACGACAUGGAUUGCAAACGCAUGGCUGCAGUCUGCAAGAUACUUUCAUCGCACUCUAGGCCAGCCAGACUCCUUGACAUCCGCAUGUUCAGUACCAACUGCAAGGUCCAACCCAUGUUCGAUGAGUGGUUCUUAUCCCCCACCCUAGAUCAGCUCGAGGAGCUCAGUUUUGAAGCUAGACGAUGUCGCUGUCUGCCGCCGUCCGCGCUCUGCCUCAUGCCAACACUGCGCCGCGCCAGCUUCAACUCCUGCUAUCUUCCCUAGAUUAAUGCCGCGCCCACCCUUCUUCUCCCUCAACUCAAGCAGCUCGACCUUUUCGACGUUGUCAUCUCGAAGAAGGCUAUGGAGCACCUACUUCGCAGUUGUACUGUGCUCGAGUACCUUCGUCUUGAGAAGAUCCAUGGGUUCAUUAGCCUCCGCAUCGCCUCCACAAAUCUCCGAUGAUUUUAUGUGUCUUGCUGGCCCAGCAACAAGACAUCAAUUGGGAAGAGAUCGCUCCAGCUGUUCCAUGUUAUGGUUAUUGAGAAUGCGCCUUUCCUUGAGAGAUUGCUUGUAUCGGAUCUAGAAGGUCCAACAAAAAUCCGGGUCAUUAGCGCCCCGAAAUUACAGCGUUGGUGUACUCGUCUUCCAAAUUCUCCGAACUCUUUAUUGGAUCCGUAAGCGUUCAGGUACAACACUCACCUUCUUCUCCGUCUUCUUGAAAUUCACAUUUUUAAAUUUUUCUUGAUGUAUUUACGACCGUCUUCCAGAAAAUGAUUCCCACAAGCUUGACCCAGUCUAUGCGCACAGUUAAGAUCUUGGCAAUAAAAUCUAUCGGCCUCAAUCUGGAUCAAGUUGUUGGAUACCUUACAUGCUUUCCGUGCACGGAGAAGCUACUCAUCGAGGUGAAACUUCUUUCCUAUUAGUAAAUGGUAAUCACAACUUAGCUCAAUUUUUUUGUAAUUUUCCCAAAUUACGAUGACAAGUGUAGUGUUUAAAACUGCAUCUAUGCACUGCACCGAAAGAAAUGUUUUUAGUAUUUUUUCUCACAUGAUUACCUGCAUCGUUUUUUUUGUUGUACUACUAUAGUAGCCUAGGCUAGUCAUAGUGGAAAGUAACUUAGACUACUCCAGUAACUCUAUGGUUACCCUAAGAGCAAGUACUACCUCUGUCCUGGUUUACUCUUCCUAUUUUGUAGUAUCAAAAUUUGACCAUAGAUUUAACUGAGAAAAUGUUAAUGCAUGUCACUAAGAACUAUAUCGUUGGAUUUGUAUUUGAACAUAAUUUCAAAUGGUAUAAUUUUAGUGACAUGCAUUGGCAUUUUCUUAGGUAAAUCUAUGGUCAAAAUUUUAUACUAAAUACGAGGUAGUACAAAAGUGGGAUAUAACGGCCCUCCACUAUGUAGGCCAAAACACGUGCCACAUUCACUUGUGAUGCAUUUGGCAUCGAUGCCCCUCCAUUGCUCACCUGGUGCCCCAAUCUGGAUCACCUAUACUUUGCUCCGGUGCCAAAUUAACUCACGCAAUGAAAACACACUUGCGUGGGAGAGAGAGAGGACUGAGGCAAGAAAAAAACACUUGUUUGGGAGAGUGAGAGGCUGGUGUAGUUGGUUUGAUUGAUAUUUUUAUACAUGUGGGUCGGUGUGCACAACGGUGACAACUCUCUCACAUCGCGAGAGCGGUGCCAAAAUCUUUUGAUUUGACAUCGAUGCGUAUUAUGAGGCAUACUUUUGCGAAAUAUGGCAUCGGCCACAUAGUGGAAGGCAACAAAUGCCCAUGCUCUUCACGUGCUCCUAGGUAAAUGAGAUGAAAGACAAAGAGAGAGAGAGAGUGAGUGAAAAAUAUCACUAGCCAGCCAACCCUGUCGUAUGAGUGAAUGAUAUUGGUACCUCUUGAUGACACGACAAUCUUAUACAGCUAGCUGCUGUAAUAUGUUCUCUUCUUUUGCACAUAAAAAAAGACCCAAAAGUGAAAAAUGUGCUGCACUAUAACAAUAUCAUUGAAUGCCUUGAUCUCCAUCUUACAGAAAUUUAUUUGAUCGACUAUCGAGGCAGCACAUCUGAGAUUCAAUUGGCCAGGUUCUUUUUUCUGGAGGCAAGUGUGCUCAAGGUAAUUAGGUUUGGCGUUCUCUGGCGCAACAAUGAAUGGCGUGCUGAUCACCGCAAGCGUCUAAGCCUAAAUGACACAGUCUCCGCAGAAGCUGAAUUUGUUUUUGAGACAUCAAGUGGCCAGAGACUCGAAAACUUAUUUGCCCAUUAGUGACUUGUCAGGGCGGUGGAUUAUAGUUUGUAAGAUAAUGCUGCAUCCACCUAAAGUAAUGAAAGUUCUUACGUAAACCUCCUAGUAAUUCCCUCUUCGUAGGUGCAACAUUACUCCUAACAUUUGUAAUAUCAGUUUGAAACUUGUAAUAUUGAUGUGUCCUAUUCCUGCGUUUUCAACAUCCUGCGAAUCAAAUAGGUCUUGAGUUGGUGAUGAUGUUGUGCCUGCCAUCUUGCACCGAUAGCCAUCGGAUUUAGAUCUGACACAUACAAACCAAACUUCUCCAGUUUUGAAAAAAGAUGCCUGCACUUGUUCCCUAUUUACAAACAACUCCUUGUCUCUCACAAUCAGCCUUAUCUCCUCCCCACGACAUCUAGAAGGCCAUGGAAAAAUCUGGCGUGAUGGCCACUGCCGGCGCCGUCGACCCCCCAAUCUUGGUGUUCUGUGCAAUGCAUGGGCAUCUACGCACGGGAAAUUAUGUCGAACAUGGCUAGUUGUAAGAAGGCUAGGUAUACAACCAUGAUGAUAGUGACUGCAGAUGGUGAGGCUGACCAUGGUAUGCCGAACACGGCGCCUAUACUCAGGUGUCAUCUCCGGCGCAGGGUCUUGUCACUUCACUGUGAGGAACAACACAUAAUAAUUUGACCACGGGCAGUACAGUGCUACUACAUUGGUAGUACUACUACUGGUACUAGCACCACCGUCUUGAUUUAGUAGUACUACCACGUCCAUCUGGAUUUGGUAUUUGACUAGCAAUAUCUAGUAAUGCAUGUCACAAAAAAUGUACUACUCCCUCUAUAAAUAAAUACAUGGUGUAUUGUUUUAUUCCUAUCAGCGAGAUAACUUAAUGUCUUUUUGCUACUUAAUAGGAUUACAUGCAAUGAACUAACCACUGCAUGUGAUGUUUGGUAGUCUCAAGUCAUUGAAAGCAUGCAUGGCCCACAUAUCUCAUUGGUUGAUAUGUCAUGAAAUAAGAAACGAGGAGGGAGUUAAUGUACCGUGCCUAAGUGUUUUGGGAUUAUUUGUUUUUAGUAAGGUGACUUACACAACAUUUUUGGUUACAUGCAUUAACAUUUUAUUAGUUAAAUCAAAGGUCAAAACUUGGCGGAAAAUGCAAAGGGGACCAAUAAACCAGUAAACAUCAAAGUUCUCUCGUUUGGCCCCAACUAGAGGUCCGGUGAGAUGACUAUACUGCACCAGCAUGAAGGGGGACGCAACUUCACUGACUUAAUGCACCUGCCUUUGGGUGUAUGACACGUGGGUCCAACGGGUGGCUGGCCCACCUGUCAUAGAGCCAAAGGCAGGUGCAGUAGAGGGGCGAGGAGUAGAUGGCCAACACACACGUGAAUUCAACGCAGUCUGCACUUCUCGUAUAAAGGCUCCUGCCAGUCCAAUCUACGAAAUCCUACGCACCUACGCACCUUAACCAAGGGCAAGAGUGAUCACUUCAAUCGCAAGAUCAGUUGACUACAAGCUAGACCCAUGGAGGCGAUGAGCGCGAGCAUCAGCCGGCAUGUGCCAGAUGGUCCACAACACCGUCCUACGGCCCGGCACCGAGGAACGUCUCCAGGUAGUGCUUGAGGCCGCCAGGUCGAGGGGCCACUUGGAUGACAGCUUCGUCUCCUUGUUCGACGAGGUCCUCGUCGGCUUCCUCGACAAGUUCACCGUCGUCAAGAAGCUCGCGGACGACCUUGACAUACACCUCCAGCCCACGUGCCCAGGCUCUGUGAUGCCUGCCACCCUCAACAGCCUCUAUGGUGACAACCUCUUCGACGCACUGGUGGCCCUGCGACUGCCCGGCCGCCAUCGCGCUGGAGAAUGUCCACCUCGAGGUCGCGCUCACCGCGCAGCGCCUGGCGCAGCAAGACACCAUCGACAUAAUCACCCACGUCUACACGCAAAUCGUCCAUAAGGACUACUACAUGAAAGAGGAGGAUGAGAGGACGCUGGCCUUCUUGGACCGCAGGGCAACCUAGGACGACAUUGUUCAGAAGCACGUUGAGCUUGCCGCCAACGCCGCUGCUCCUCACACGUCGGUUGGCGACCCUGUGCACUAGGGCGUGAGGAUGUCAUUGAUGGAUCCAUAUGUAUCUUUAUCUUUUCGUCAAAUCCAUGUAGUAGUAUAUGGUACUACUAGUAAUUAUCUUACCAUUCGCAUAAACUUCAUAAUUUUCAUAUGUACUCCAUGCAUGAACCGCUCCAGAACUAAACUUCUCAUUACUCUAGGGAAAAUCGUUAUUUCUAUCUAUCGGUCGCGCCAUGGAGCAGAACCAAAUUUUACAAGUUACAAGAUCAAAAGGAAAAGCCUGCCUUGUUCGCGUUGCAACCCAAAACGGUUGGUCCGGUACUCCAUUGAAGGGGGAAUGCAUGUUGUGUUGCAUUUUCACUUACAAGUGGGACCACAGCUGAGCAAACCGACUAUCGGCAAACCCCCACCCCACCCUCCGCGAUGGCUAAGAAAACAUGAGGGAGAAGAUAUGGUUGUAGCAUGGACCCAAGAAAAUUGGUGUCGGAUGGGACUCGUGUGGGUGGCGUGUGCCGUACUGCUAGACAUGAAUGCUAGUUAAGGCUCAUGCCACCCCACUAUAUCGAGGUGCUAGUUACGUAGAACAAAUUUCCUGGAGUCCGUGCUCAUCCCUCGUCUAUCUCUCUUCUCAGCCAUGCAGCAGACGCGCGGAACCCAUCAUCUGUUUGCUCAUAUGCGGUCCCACAUCUCAGUGAAAACGCAAGAGGACCCACUAAACCUGCACAUAUUUCACCUUGAUGUGCUGGUGAUGAAAAACAAAUCCAAUAAAGAUCUUCAGUGGCCGCUUUUGGAGUUACUCAAGAGUAGUAAUAUUCUAUUUAUAGUUUAACCCAAGAUGCACAUCACGUGGCUUCAACUACCACUCCAUUUUCUUGCAUGACAUGACCGGGAUGCUGGAUGUCCCACGUGUCGACAAAAUGAGGAAGAACUCGACCAAAUCUUCAGUUAUGCUCUCAGUUUAGACUAGUUGUGCUAACUUAAAAUUUUAUUGUGUACAAUGGAUGCAAGUUUUGGUAUUGGGAAGGAGAGUACAUCGAUAUAUUGAUACAACGCAAUUUAGUAGAUGUUCUAGCACUUUUAGCUAGCAUAGAGGCUAGAGACGAGACUAGUGUACCUGUUGAUAGAAUAGAGUCUAGACAUGAGACUAGAUGUGAGGAAGCAAUGUCUACUUCUUUACGCCCGAAGAAGAAAGAAGCACGCAAGAUCGAGCCUCCACAGAUCAACAAUGAAUGCAUCGAGAAGGCACUAAUCCAACUUACAGGAGCAGUUAUGGAAGUUGGAUAUCUUCUAAAAUGUAUUCUUGUGGUUCUUGUUUUCUUUGGUGUUGCUUUUCUAGUCAAAUUUUGGUGAUGUAUUUCCAUGUACCAAAAAUCAAUGAUGAAAAAAAGAUAUGUAUUUGCAAAGAAAUAUGUACGUGGCCGGGAUGCAUCCGCGCGUUCGGUGCACGGCCACCGCAUCCGAGAAAUGGCCCUGACACGACCCCAUUGCCCUACCUAAACGGACAGAAUCCGGGCAAAACGGAGGUCCAUUUGGGGUCGUGCGUUGGAGUUGGCCUUACAAGUGGGACCGCAGUUGAGGAAACCGACUAUCGGCAAACCCCCACCUCGCCCCACGCGCGAUGGCUGAGUUAGAGAAACGACGAGGUUGUAGAGAUUGUUGUAGCACGGACUCCAAGUAAUAUGGUGUCAGAUGGAAGUCGCACUGGUGGUGUGUGUCGUACUCCUGGACGUGAAUGCUUGUUCUGGCCCAUACCACCCUACUACUCCUACUAUAUAGUAGUAGUAUCGAGGAUUCGAGGUGCUGGUUACGUACAGCGAACACAUUAACAUAUGGCCCACCUCACACUGUGGCCAAAUUUCCUGGAGUCUGUGCUAGGUUAAAAAGUAUUCUUUGUGAGGGUGGGUGGCUGGUCUCAAGUUUAAAACUUGUUGUAUUACGUAUAUGUAGACGUAGAGAUAGUGCAGCAGUUCUGAAAGUUUGAACCCAAACAUAAGAAUGCAAUUUCUACUGGACUCAUCCGAGGACCUAGGAUGAUGGGAUUCGCAGCUACAGCAAAAACACCCGCCCGACGCGUGAAGCAUGUGAAGCUAGUACAAAUAGUGUACUACUAUUGUUGAUUGGCCUCAUCUAAUAACCUAUUGCAAUGCACGUACAAUUAUGUAUUCGAAAAAUAUUUUUUUGCCUCAUCGCAGCACCCACUCAGAGAAGCGACUCGAAAGCCAUUCAUAAAUUUAGUAAGUUUAUCACAGGCAUAUCAUUUUAUUACAUACAACAGGUCAUCAACCCACAACGACAAUGAGGAUACAUUAUAAAUACUAAAGUUUUCAUCACACAACAAAUAACAAGCAAUGAAAUGAACUUCAACUCAACCAAUCCUCGGCGUUGGAAAAGUCUUGCAUUGAACCACAAGUGAUUCUCUGGGAAGGGACAUCUAUUGUCAAUCUCGAGACCAACACAGGACUGAUCAUAUAGGCUGAAGCGGCCUACUAUACGGAGUACGAGAUGGUAGCCAUGGACAUGGUCGGCCCUAUUUGAAGAGAAUACUAAUAAAUAACUUUGAUGUGUCCCCUCAACUCGCAAAACGACGAGAAACUUGCUUACCUUCUCCCUCGCCAACGCGUGUGCGGUGGCUCGUAGCACGAGGAGAAACUUUUGCUUACAUGCGGUGGACGUGCAACAGUUCAUUUGGUGUCAUAUUGCCGGAAGUACUACUAUAGUACCAUCAUUAUUGUUCGACUUUCAGAAGAGGAGAAGAGCCAAGCCCAAGGUCACCUACUAACCUAGUACAGUACUACUAUAGCCAAAGCUGGUCCACCUUUUUAGCACAUGGUUAAUUAAUAUAGGCGGCUAUUGUAGUGGCACAUCAUUGAGAGCAAGUACUCUCUUCGUAGGAUCAAAGGAAGUGAAACAAAAGUUGGAGUGGAUGCUAGAUUGCCAAAUAAAACAUCAUUACAUAGGAAAAAAACUAUAGCAUUCUAUCCUAUGAAUCAAAUGACCAAUGUAGGAAAAUUAUGAGGGGGGUCUCUCCAACAGUGUUCCUCGGCUCACAUCUAGCAUCACGGUGGUCGAGCUUGGAGUCAUUCAUCUGGUACUCGUGGCAUCUCAGAUCUGGACAGAAGGUGAUGCGACCUCUCACUUCGUCCGCCAUUUGAAGUGGCACGCCGGUGGAGGACUAGCAUACUCCAAUAUUAGGUUGGCUCUAUGUGAUGUGGCAACUUCAUAUACUAACUAGAUGCUAGCUAUACUACUAUGGUACUCACACUCCAAGAAGUGACUCGAAAACCAUUCAUAAAUUGACUCUAUGACAUGCAUUUGCAAAUGUACCAUUAAUUACAUACAACAAGUCAUCAGCACACAACAACAACGAGGAUACAUGUUGGAUUAUAGAUUAUUUCCAACAAAACAUUCUAGUAAAUACAUAAGUUUUCGUCACACAACAAAUAACAAGCAAUGAAAUGAACUUCAACUCAACCAAUCCUCAGCGUUGGAAACGCUUGCUUUGAACCAUAAGUGCUCUGGGAAGGGCCAGCUAUUUUCAAUAUCGAGAGCAAUGCAGGACUGAUCAUCCAGGCUGAAGCGGCAUAUAUCAGGAGCAGGGUAGGGAACUACCACAAAGUCCAAGGUAUAGAUACAAUUGCUUCUCAUAAAUGGUACUAGUAACGUUGUGUCAAUAUGAUACGUCCAUUUUGCAUCAUGCUUUGAUAUUGAUAUUUAUUUCAUAUGGGUUGUUAUUACACAUUACGUCACAAUACUUAUGCCUUUUCUCUCUUAUUUUACAAGGUUUACAUGAAGAGGAAGAAUGCCGGAAGCUGGAAUUCUGGGCUGGAAAAGGAGCAAAUAUUACAGACCUAUUCUGCACAACUCAAAAUUCAUGAAACUUCACGAAGGCAUGUUUCGGAAUUAAUAAAAAAUAUUGGUGAAAGAAUCAACCAGAGGGGACCCACACCCUGGCCACGAGGGUGGGGGCGCGCCCUACCUCUUGGGGGCGCCCCCUAUCUCGUGGGCCCCCUGGCAGGCCACCGGUGCCCAUCUUUUGCUAUAUGAAGUCUUUUUCCCUGGAAAAAAUCAUAAGGAAGCUUUCGGAACGAAGCGCUGCCGUCUCGAGGUGGAACCUUUGCGGAACCAAUCUAGGCCUCCGGCGGAGCUGUUUUGCCGGGGAAAUAUCCCUCCGGGAGGGGGAAAUCUUCACCAUCAUCAUCACCAUCGAUCCUCUCAUCGGGAGGGGGUCAAUCUCCAUCGACAUCUUCACCAGCACCAUCUCCUCUCAAACCCUAGUUCAUCUCUUGUAUCCGAUCUUUAUCUCAAAACCUCAGAUUGGUACCCGUGGGUUGCUAGUAGUGUUGAUUACUCCUUGUAGUGGAUGCUAGUUGGUUUAUUUGGUGGAUGAUUAUAUAUUCUGAUCCUUAAUGCAUAUUAAUACCCCUCUGAUUAUGAACAUGAAUAUGAUUUGUGAGUAGUUAUGUUGUUCCUGAGGACAUGGGAGAAGUGUUGCUAUAAGUAGUCAUGUGAAUUUGGUAUUCGUUCGAUAUUUUGAUGAGAUGUAUGUUGUCUCUCCUCUAGUGGUGUUAUGUGAACGUAAACUACAUGACACUUCACAUUGUUUGGGCCUAGAGGAAGGCAUUGGGAAGUAAUAAGUAGAUGAUGGGUUGCUAGAGUGACAGAAGCUUAAACCCUAGUUUAUGUUUUGCUUCGUAAGGGGCGGAUUUGGAUCCAUAUGUUUCAUGCUAUGGUGAGGUUUACCUUAAUUCUUCUUUCGUAGUUGCGGAUGAUUGUGAGAGGUGUUAAUCAUAAGUGGGAUGCUUGUCCAAGUAAGGGCAGUACCCAAGCACCGGUCCACCCACAUAUCAAAUUAUCAAAGUAACGAACGUGAAUCAUAUGAGCGUCAUGAAAACUAGUUUGACGAUAAUUCCCAUGUGUCCUCGGGAGCGUUUUCCUUUAUAUAAGAGUUUGUCCAGGCUUGUCUUUUGCUACAAAAAGGAUUGGGCCACCUUGCUUCACCUUGUUUACUUUCUUUACUUGUCACCCGUUAUGAAUUACCUUAUCACAAAACUAUCUGUUACCGAUAAUUUCAGUGCUUGCAGAGAAUACCUUACUGAAAACCGCUUCUCAUUUCCUUCUACUCCUCGUUGGGAUCGACACUCUUACUUAUAGAAAGGACUGGGAUAGAUCCCCUAUACUUGUGGGUCAUAAAAACUCUUUUUUGGCACCGUUGACGGGAGUGAAGCGCCUUUGGUAAGUGGAAAUUAGUAACAAAAAAUUUAUACAAUGUGAUGAAAUUGACUAUCACUUGUUACUAUGGAAAGUAAUCCUUUGAGGGGCUUGUUCGGGGUAUCUUCACACUGACCAGUAGAGCAAAGAGGUACUCCUCAACCUACUGAAUCUACUGAAAAUGUUUACUUUGAAAUUCCUUCGGGUAUGAUAGAGAAACUGCUAGCUAAUCGCUUUACAGGAGAUGCAACAUUGCAUCCCGAUUUGCAUCUAAUCUAUGUGGAUGAAGUUUGUGGAUUAUUUAAGCUUGAAGGUUUGCCCAAGGAUGUUAUCGAGAAGAAGGUCUUCACUUUAUCUUUGAAGGGAGAGGCAUUGACAUGGUUCAGGCUAUGAGAUGAUAUGGGAUCAUGGAACUACAACCGAUUGAAAUUGGAAUUUCAUUAGAAGUUUUAUCCUAUGCAUCAGGUUCAUCGUGAUCGUAAUUAUAUAUAUAUAAUUUUUGGCCUCACGAAGGAGAAAGCAUCGCUCAAGCUUGGGGGAGGCUUAAGUCAAUGUUAUAUUCAUGCCCAAUCAUGAGCUCUCAAGAGAAAUUAUUAUUGAAAAAAUUUAUGCUCGGCUUUCUCUCAACAAUCACUCCAUGCUCAAUACUUCUUGUACUGGUUCUUUUAUGAUGAAGACUAUUGAAUUGAGAUGGGAUUUAUUGGAAAGAACUAAACGCAACUCUGAAGAUUGUGAGCUCGACGAAGGUAAGGAGUCAGGUAUGAAACCUAAGUUUGAUUGUGUUAAAUCUGUUAUGGAUACCUGUGUUUUCCGUGAAUUUAGCACUAAAUAUGGACUUGACUUUGAGAUAGUAGCUUCUUUCUGUGAAUCAUUUGCUACUCAUGUCGAUCUCCCUAAGGAGAAGUGGUUUUAAUAUCAUCCACCCAUUGAAGUAAAAGUAGUUGAACCUAUUAAAGUUGAAGAAAAGACUAUCACUUAUAAUGUUGAUCCUAUUGUUCCUACCGCUUAUAUUUAGAAAUCACCUUUCCCUGUUAGAAUAAACGAUCAUGCUAAAAGCUUCAACUGUGGUUCGUAAGAGUAAUACUAGAACACCUGCACCCCCUGAUAAAAUUAAAGUUGAACCUAGUAUUGCUAUGGUUAAAGAUAUCUUGGCUGAUAAUAUUGAUGGGCAUGUUAUUUACUUCUGUGAUGAAGCUGCUAGAAUGGCUAGAUCUGAUACUAAAAAUAAACAUAGACCUGUUGUAGGCAUGCAUGUUAUUUCCAUUAAAAUAGGAGAUCAUUGCUAUCAUGGCUUAUGUGAUAUGGGUGCUAGUGCAAGUGUAAUACCUUAUUCCUUAUAGGAAGAAAUUAUGCAUGAUAUUGCACCUACUGAGUUAGAAGGCAUUGGUAUUACAAUUAAGCUUGACAAUAGAGAUAUUAUUUCACCAGCUGGGAUUGUUAGAGAGGUUGAAGUCCUGUGUGGGGAAGUUAAAUAUCCUGCUGAUUUUCUUGUUCUUGGUUCCCCACAUGAUGACUUUUGUCCCAUUAUAUUUGGCAGACCCUUCUUGAAUACUGUUAAUGCUAGGAUAGAUUGUGAAAAGGAUAUUGUUACGAUUGGGUUAGGGGAUAUGUCUCAUGAAUUUAACUUUGCUAAAUUUCAUAGACAACCCCAUGAUAAAGAAUUGCCUAGUAAGGAUGAAAUUAUUGGACUUGCUUAUAUUGUCGUGCCUCCUAAUGAUCCUUUAGAACAAUAUUUGCUAGACCAUGAAAAUGAUAUGUUUAUGAAUGAAAGAAGGGAAAUAGAUGAAAUAUUCUAUAAACAGGGACCCAUUUUGAAACACAACUUGCCUGUUGAAAUCCUAGGGGAUCCUCAACCACCCAAGGGUGAUCCCGUGUUUGAGCUUAAACCAUUACCUGAUACUCUUAAAUAUGCUUAUAUUGUGGAAAAGAAGAUAUAUCAUGUUAUUAUUAGUGCUAACCUUUCAUAGCAACAAGAGGAGAAAUUAUUGGAAACUCUGAAGAAGCAAUGUGCUUCUAUUGGAUAUACUCUUGAUGACCUUAAGGGCAUUAGUCCCACUCUAUGCCAACACAUGAUAAAAUUGUUGAAAGACGCUAAACCGGUUGUUGAUCACCAACGACGGUUAAAUCCUAAGAUGAAAGAAGUGGUAAGAAAAGUAAUACUAAAGCUUCUGGAGGCAGGUAUAAUUUAUCUCGUUGCUGAUAGUCAGUGGGUAAGUCAUGUCCAUUGUGUCCCUAAGAAGGGAGGUAUUACUGUUGUUCCUAAUGAUAAAGAUGAAUUGAUCCCACAAAGAAUUGUUACAGGUUAUAGGAUGGUAAUUGAUUUCCACAAAUUAAAUAAAGCUACUAGAAAAGAUCAUUACCCUUUACCUUUUAUUGACCAAAUGCUAGAAAGAUUAUCUAAAAACACUCAUUUUUGCUUUCUAGAUGGUUAUUCUGGUUUCUCUCAAAUACUGUAUCAAAAGAGGAUCAGGAUAAGACCACUUUUACUUGCGCUUUCGGUACCUUUGCUUAUAGAUGUAUGCCUUUUGGUUUAUGUAAUGCACCUACUACCUUUCAAAGAUGGAUGAUGGCUAUAUUCUCUGAUUUUUUUGAAAAGAUUGUUGAGGUUUUCAUGGUUGAUUUCUCCGUAUAUGGAACUUCUUUUGAUGAUUGCUUGAGCAACCUUGAUCGAGUUUUGCAGAGAUGCGAGAAACUAAUCUUGUCUUGAAUUGGGAGAAGUGUGACUUUAUGGUUAAUGAAGGUAUUGUCUUGGGGCAUAAAAUUUCUGAACAAGGUAUUGAGGUUGAUAUAGCUAAAGUUGAUGCUAUUGAAAAGAUGACAUGUCCCAAGGACAUUAAAGGUAUAAGAAGUUUACUUGGUCAUGCCUGCUUUUAUAGGAGGUUCAUUAAAGACUUUUCUAAAAUUUCUAGGCCUCUGACUAACCUCUUACAAAAAGAUAUUCCUUUUGUCUUUGAUGAUGAUUGUGUAGAAGCAUUUGAAAUACUUAAGAAAGCUUUAAUUUCUGCACCGAUUGUUCAGCCACCUGAUUGGAAUUUACUGUUUGAAAUUAUGUGUGAUGCUAGUGAUUAUGCUGUAGGUGUUGUUCUAGGACAAAGAGUUGAUAAGAAACAAAAUGUUAUCCAAUAUGCAAGUAAAACUCUAGACAUUGCCCAGAGAAAUUAUGCUACUACUGAAAAAGAAUUUUUAGGAGUUGUAUUUGCUUGUGAUAAGUUUAGACCUUACAUUGUUAACUCAAAAGUAACCGUUCACACUAAUCAUGCUGCUUUUAAAUAUCUUAUGGAAAAUAAAGAUGCUAAACCUAGACUUAUUAGAUGGGUUCUCUUACUACAAGAAUUUGAUUUGCAUAUUAUUGAUAGAAAGGGAGCUGAGAACCCCAUUGCAGACAACUUAUCUAGGUUAGAAAAUGUUCUUGAUGACCCACUACCUAUUGAUGAUAGCUUUCCUGAUGAACAAUUACUUGUCAUAAAUGCUUCUCAUACUCCUCCAUGGUAUGCUGAUUAUGCUAAUUACAUUGUUGCCAAAUUUAUACCACGUAGUUUCACAUACCAGCAAAAGAAAAAGGUUUUCUAUGAUUUAAGACAUUACUUCUGGGAUGACCCACACCUUUAUAAAGAAGGAGUAGAUGGUGUUAUUAGAUGUUGUGUACCUGAGCAUGAACAUGAACAGAUCCUACACAAGUGUCACUCCGAGGCUUAUGGAGGACACCACGCUGGAGAUAGAACUGCACAUAAGGUAUUGCAAUCCGGUUUUUGUUGGCCUACUCUCUUCAAAGAUGCCCGUAAGUUUGUCUUGUCUUGUGAUGGAUGUCAAAGAAUCGGUAACAUUAGUAGAAGUCAAGAAACGCCUAUGAAUUAUUCACUUGUGAUUGAACCAUUUGAUGUUUGGGGCUUUGAUUAUAUGGGACCGUUUCUUUCCUCUAAUGGGUAUACACAUAUUUUAGUUGUUGUUGAUUAUGUUACUAAGUGGGUAGAAUCUAUUCCAACUAGUAGUGUUGAUCAUAACACCUCUAUUAAGAUGCUCAAAGAAGUUAUUUUUCCAAGGUUUGGAGUCCCUAGAUACUCAAUGACUGAUGGUGGUUCACAUUUUAUUCAUGGUGCUUUUUGUAAAAUGCUUGCUAAAUAUGAUGUUAAUCAUAGAAUUGCAUCUCCAUAUCACCCACAGUCUAAUGGCCAAGUAGAGCUGAGUAAUACAGAGCUGAAAUUAAUUUUGCAAAAGGCUGUUAAUAGAUCUAGAAAGAAUUGGUCCAAGAAACUUGAUGGUGCAUUAUGGGCCUAUAGAACUGCAUAUAAAAAUCCUAUGGGUAUGUCUCCUUAUAAAAUGGUUUAUGGAAAAUCUUGUCACUUACCUCUCGAACUAGAACAUAAGGCGUAUUGGGCCAUUAAAGAGAUCAAUUAUGAUUUAAAACUUCACGGUGAGAAGAGGAUAUUUGACAUUAGCUCACUUGAUGAAUGGAGAACUCAAGCCUAUGAGAUUGCCAAACUGUUUAAAAAAAGUUAAAAGAUGGCAUGACAAAAGGAUACAAAAGUGUGAGUUUAAUGUAGGUGAUUAUGUUUUGCUAUACAACUCUCGUUUAAGGUUUUUUGCAGAAAAACUUCUCUCUAAAUGGGAAGGCCCUUAUGUUAUCGAGGAGGUCUAUGGUGCCGGUGCCAUAAAAAUCAACAACUUCGAAGGCACAAAUCCGAAGGUGGUGAACGGUCAAAGGAUCAAACAUUAUAUCUCAGGUAAUCCCAUAAAUGUUGAAACCAAUGUUAUUGAAACAGUAAUCCCGAAGGAAUACAUAAGGGACACUUUAUAGAAUGUUUCAGACUCCAAAAAGGAAUAGGCAUGUGGUAUGGUAAGUAAACCGACUCCAAAACAGUUCUAAUAGCAAAUUUUCUCCGUUUUGGAAUACUUAAGAAAAGAGGAAAAUAAGAAGUNNNNNNNNNNNNNNNNNNNNNNNNNNNNNNNNNNNNNNNNNNNNNNNNNNNNNNNNNNNNNNNNNNNNNNNNNNNNNNNNNNNNNNNNNNNNNNNNNNNNNNNNNNNNNNNNNNNNNNNNNNNNNNNNNNNNNNNNNNNNNNNNNNNNNNNNNNNNNNNNNNNNNNNNNNNNNNNNNNNNNNNNNNNNNNNNNNNNNNNNNNNNNNNNNNNNNNNNNNNNNNNNNNNNNNNNNNNNNNNNNNNNNNNNNNNNNNNNNNNNNNNNNNNNNNNNNNNNNNNNNNNNNNNNNNNNNNNNNNNNNNNNNNNNNNNNNNNNNNNNNNNNNNNNNNNNNNNNNNNNNNNNNNNNNNNNNNNNNNNNNNNNNNCUCGUGGGCACCUCGUGUGCUCUCCGGACUCCGUUUUCUUGUAGGAUACUUCUUUUGGUCAGUAAAAAUUCAUUAUAUAAUCUCCCGAAGGUUUUGACCACCGUACCAUGCAAAUAUCCUCUGCAUUUGUUUUGAGUUGUUUCUAUAGCAGAUUUGGAGCAAGGUGUCAUCUCAAGAUUCCGACGGAGAGAACUAUUUCUCACAUAUCAUUGUUGAACGGAAGACCUAUGGGGAUCUAUCUCCUUGUGGUCAAACUGCGGAUGAUGAGGAGGAUGCUCAUUUUAUGAGGAUAAAUGAUUCAAGUCAGGAGGAGAAGGAUGUCCCUCUACCUCAACCUAUGGAUAUGCACGUGAAGUUCAAGAAAUCUAGUCUCCCUAAGAGGGCUAAACUGUCUAACAACCGAUCUAUUCCUUCUUGUUUUCGGCAGAAAAGCAAAAGAGAUUUAUGUGACAAGAUCUUGAAGCUGGAAUCGGAGGUCGAUGAUUUAAAGGAGGAAAUUGCUCUCCUCAAUUAUAAUAUGAAGAUGCUGAGGGCACAAUUGUCAUUGUCAUCACCAUCACCACCUCCGAAGAAAGAGACAUAAACACAUGGGUAUGGGCACUCCCCUUGGCAACUACUAAGCUUGGGGGAGGUGCCCCGGUAUCGUAUCACCAUCACACUCCUGUAUUUAUCGUUUUUCUCAGUUCGAUCCUUUUGGUAAUCUCUUGAUCUGUUAGAAUAAUGUUUUAGUAUGAUUUAGUUUUGAGUUUUGCUUUAUGAUCCUUCUAUGUAAUCGAGUCUGUGAGCUAUGUAUAUAAUAAAGAUUAGUGUUGAGUCAAGGGCUUGAUUAUCCUGUUAUGAUCUUGAGGGAAUUAAAGAAAAAAGAGAGAAUAAAAAUAAAUGACGAGAUCAUAUUGAUCUUAUGGAGAGGAAUUACUUUACAUAUAAAGAGUAUGGUGAAUAAAAGUUGUUGAGAGUUGACAAACACAGUUUUGGUCAUCGUUGCAAUUAAUAGGAAGUAAUAAAGAAAGAGAGGUUCUGACAUAUAAAUAUACUAUCUCGGACAUAUUUGAUUAUUGUGGGCACUCAUUAAAAUAUGACAUGCUAAAAGGUUGACGUUGGACAAGGAAGACAACAUAAUGGGUUAUGUUUUCUUAUGUCCGAAAUAAAGUAUAUUGUCAGAGAUCAUCGAACAUGUUGAGCUUGCCUUUCCCCCUCAUGCUAGCCAAAUUCUUUGCACCAAGUAGAGAAACUACUUGUGCUUCCAAAUAUCCUUAAACCCAGUUUGCCAUGAGAGUCCACCAUAUCUACCUAUGGAUUGAGUAAGAUCCUUCAAGUAAGUUGUCAUUGUUACAAGAAAUAAAAAUUGCUCUUUAAAUAUGUAUGAUUUGUUAGUGUGGAGAAAAUAAACUUUAUACGAUCUUGUGAUAUGGAAGUAAUAAAAGCAACGGACUGCAUAAUAAAGGUCCAUAUCAUUAGUGGCAAUAUAAAGUGCCAGUUUUAUAGUAAUCACACUUUCGAUAUCUAUGCAAACAGGGAUGCUCGAUUUUAGUGGAACUGCACAAAAAGUCCAACUGGUUCAACAUUAGGAGCAUGUUUUCUUCCAAACCUUUAUAUCCAAUUGGUGGCACUAUGAGUUGUUCAUUAUGAAGGUACAUGGUUUGCUACUACUCUUUUUGUACUGUCAUUGGAUAGUAAUACUAGUGGUUUGCAUGUGAACUUUUUGGUAGUGUGGACCUACAUUGGAGGUGCAGGACAGGAUUCAAUGAUUGGAUGCUCAAUUUCGGUUGUAUCAAUUUCACCUCUUCCAUCACUGCGAACAUGGAUAUCCUUGGUUUGAUGAAGAAUAGGCGCUAUAUUUCUGCUCUGAACCAUCAAAUCAAUUCAAUAUGAAAUUGUCCAGGGCAAAACAUGACUGUAUCAAAUUGUCCAGUGCAAAACAUGACAUAUGCUAUGCGGAAGAGACAUGUUUAAACCAAAAAUACAAGGUGGGGUAUAUGUUUAUUAGCUACUUGAUAUUUGUGCACAUAGAGAUGUCUGCCCGUUGCUAUUUGGCAAACAAACAAACAAAGUGACUGCAAUUUUGGUUGAACUGCACAAGUGAAUAGUAUAGUCACUGCAUGCAGUGCCAUUUGAAAAUAGACACAGCAAGAUUGGAUAGUCACUUCAUGGAAUGCGGAAAAGUAGUAUUGUACUAUUUAUUAGGCAACACUAGGUGCUUCAUUGCUUUGGUUUGAUUAUACAAUGGGCAUCAUUUUGCCUAAGUUAAAGUUUGUAUUCCGAAAAUAGUCUCGCCGUGUGAUCGAGAGAAGACCAAAUCAUAUUGCAGUGGAUGUUCCCCCAUCAUGUGUGGUUCAUUCUCAUGGUUCCAGCUGUUGGUGAAACCACUUACAUUUGCAAGAGGAAUUGUAGACUUCACAAACAAACUUCUCUUCCAGUCUGUACUGAAUGUUGGCCAACAGAAGCAUCCAUGUUAGUAGGAAGAACAGAUGUUUUUUCUAGAUCUUUGCUUUUGGAGUUACAUAUUUGUAUAUGAUCUGUGAAUCAUUGAGAUGCGUUAACAUGUUGAUCUUAUCUAUGGGAAUCCUACUAGUUGGUUUUAGUUGCAACGCAAGAUCCGAAGUGUCUGAUCUUUGCUUUUGGAGCUACAUAUUUGUAUAUGAUCUGUGAAUCAUUGAGAUGCGUUAACAGUUCCUUAUUUCUCUUUGCUCAAUGUUUACAAGUUACUGAUUGAUCACUAGCUAGCCUACUAAUGCGCUCCUGGCAGUUAGUUGCGACGCAAGAUCCGAAAUGGCAGUUUUAUGAAUAAAAAUACCUACCUCUGAAGAAACUGACAAGCUGCUCUAAAGAAAAUGCCAUGCGAAUCUGAAGAUACUGCCAGCAAAAAUGUUCACAAAUGCCUUAUCUCCCAGCUAACGUUCAUCAGCUAAUGUGAUCGUACAUGUACACCAUCCGACCUACUCGAUCCUACAUGUACACUAUCCGACCUACUCGAUCCUACACGGAUAAAUAGCGCAUCAUGCAUGUACUACAUUCAUUCCGGUUUGCAGGGCUCAAUUCAAGAAAUGACCUACUCGAUCCUACAUGAAUAAUAGUGAAUCACGCACGUACUAGUACCUCCUUUCUGGUUUGCAGGCCUUAAUUCAAAAAUCUAACCAACCAAGGUACUCCCUCUGUCCGGGUAUAUUAGUCCCAUGAGCAAAGCAGCAAGACCAAGGCAUGGCAAUAAUUAACUCCAUGCACAAGUUUAAGCCUAGUUAGUUCCAGCGAUUUAAGUGGCUGCAUGCAUGCCCUCGGCUGCGACUCGUUGCAUGCUGCUCCGCAUACUGGAUGCGAGCGAUUCUGAGUGCCUACAUGCAGCCGACCGUAAUUAAGGUAGCUAACUGAUGCGAAAAAAGAUGCGCUUUAAUUGUUGUGGGCCUUUUAAAUCCGUGGAAUCAUUAUUGACAAGAAAGGAGUACCUCAUCUGGAUGAUUCGAGUGCCCUCGUUUGACUUUCAUGCCGGUGUGCGGCCCAGCAUUGACGGGACGGGACGACACAGUCAUAAUUUCAGUUUCUCUAGUUUUCCACGGCAAGAUGGCACGCUAAGCCAUGCCUUAAUUGAAUUCCGAUGACCGUCGCGCUACCUUCCGCCUAUAAGUACUGUUUUGCGGCCUACUCCGGUGGCACCGUGACCCAACUUGCCCUAUCCUCAUAAGCCCCCACCGGCCCGAGGUCGCUCACCACUUAUCGUCGCUCUCGCCACGUCCGCCAUGCCCCUGCCCAUCCGCGGUAGGCGAGGACGGAGGCGGUCACCGCCGAAACUAGUGUUUAGUUUUUCACCGGAAGGCAGACGGAGGGAGGAGGCAUUCUAUCGGACUUUAGAUGGCAAUGCGGAGAUCAAGGACUUGUUGGAGCACGACCGCCUGGCGGAGGAUUAGGAGUUGUUGGAGCGCGACCGCCUGGCGGAGGAGCAGCAUAUCGCUGAUUUGCGCCGCCCGCAGGACAUGGGGCAGCAGCGUACCGACACUCUGAGUCGCUAGCAGAGCGCCCGCAAUUGGACCGACUACGUGGAGGCUGGCGCCCGGCAAAUAGCCCUGGAGGCUGUCGGGCACGCAUGCGUUCGCGACGCCAAUUUUGACUACCACCGCAUCAAGUGGGUUUCCCGCUUAGAAGCCGAAGCUUCGGUGGACCAUGCCGUUAUGGAAAGGGCCAACGCGUGCGAGCAAUGCACGCUAUCGCACCCUUGGAAAGUCUGAGGUGAGGCGGAGGACGCCGGUGCCGGCAUUUAGCGUGUACCGCAGAUGGGGGCCGGCAUCGUCUAGUUAGCUAAGAGUAAGUUAGUACUUGUACGCUACUAGAGUAUUAGUGGGAGUAGAUAGUUAACUUGGCUAUGAUGGUUAUCAACGUAGAAAUUCAGUACUCUAUAUGUGGAUCAGACCUGUUACUUUGCUCUGAAUGUUGAACUUUCCGUUUGAACGUAUGGAAUGGGUUGUUAUUUUUUAAAUGGGUUGUAUUUGUCCUCCACGGGUUUAGAGGCCAACUUCUAGGCCUACCAAGUUGACGCAUACACAAUCAUGAGAUGAUUGUACGUGGAGAGGAUGACAGCAGGGACCCGCCAAGGUCAUGGCAGUACGCAAGCAAGUGCCUCCUUAUUUCAAGCCAAUAAAAAAUGGCUCCUCCUAAUGGAUUUCUGACAUCUGGGUCUCAUGCCAUUGUCAACGUAGUCAAUAAAUGAGAUAAUUGCACAAUGAGCGGCUGACACUAGGGACCCAGUAGCUCGCCCAAUUUUUUUGUUUUGGGUUAAUUUGAUAAAUGCCACUCCAAAUCUGGUGUUUUCGAGAAAUGCCACUACAAUUUCAAAACUUUGAAAAAUGCAAUUUCAUGCCAUUUCCAGUGGCAUUUUGAAGUCUAGAGUGGCGUUUUUCAAAGUUUGCAAAUUGCAGUGGCGUUUUUCAAAGUUUGCAAAAAUUGCAGUGGCAUUUUUCAAAGUUUGGAAAUUACAGUGGCAUUUUUAUGAAUCGCCAUAAUUGGAGUGGCAGUUAUAUAAUUUGUUUUUGAGACGGAAGCAGGGUGUCAACUGGGCUGUGCGGGGCACCCUGGCCUGUCUAGACAGCCUUUUCUUUUAUGUUUACCAGAGACCAGCCUAGUAGUUUUUUUUUCUGAAAAUGGUUAGCCCAGUUUUUUUGUGAUUUGUCAAGUAAGUCGCUUUGUCAGGCCUGUUGGGCUGCAAAUCUUUCAAGACGAGGAGAGCUUCAUUCGGCUGGCCGAGAAAAUGGCCUAUAAGUAAUGAGAAAUGGGUUGUACAUUUUUAAAACACAUCAAACCAGCAAUUAGUUUCAAAUUUCCAUUUUUCAUUUCGAGAUAUUAAAUUGCAUUGAUUUUUAUGCGUGAACAAUUUGUUGAAUUUUAUAUUGAUAUACAUUUAUUUUUAAAAUCAGUUUGAAUGUGACUAGAAAUUUCGGGAUUAAAAACAGUUUGGACUGCACCGAAAUAUGCAAAAUUUCGUAUAAUUUUUUAACAAUGGCCACGAUAUGGGCUGUAAUGCUAACAAAAAGAAUAUGGGCUCAAAAAAACCUUAAGAAUUAGCAAAUGGGCUGUAAAUUAUUAGAAAUAAUGACAGAUGGGUUGUACGCUGUUUUUCACAGAUUUGAGACUUUUCUAAAAAAAGGUUGACGCACAAGUAGUGACUGUUGGAUGUCCAUCCAACGGCUGUCGUGCUUCUUCAAUCUCUGCUCUUCCUACUCCAGUCGCUCAAACAAGCGCCGGUGGGACUGCCUGCUCUCUCCUCCCCGCGGUCGGCUGUGCUGCCGCACAUGCUUCACCGCCCACCGUACUCCCAUCGCUGGCCUAGCCAUCCCUCUACUCACCCACACCUGUUGUUAUUCUUCGGCGACGACAGACAAACUAGUAAACCCUCGUACAGUCGUACACCCUUCAACGUGGGAAACAACUGUCGGGUCUUCCCUGGCUCCGUGUCGUUCCCUUCCUAGGCCUCGCCGUCGUCCACUGCCCUGGUGCUCUCGGCGCGGCGUGGUCAACGUGGCCAACGACCGACAUGCAUCUCAAGUGGACUAUACGUGGAGAGGCUGACAGUUGGAUCCACAGCCGCACGUAAGGAAAUGCCUCCUUAUUACAUGCAAAAUAAUGAUUCCUCCACCUGACAUCUGGGACCUACCGAAAGGGCCUCUAUAUUUUGUGAAAAAAUGUUACCGCCGCUGAUAGCUUGGACCCACCAGCUAUAUCUUCACACGCAAGGGAAAAUGAAUACUCAUCCUGCUAGCUGGGACCCAGUAUAGUGGGAGGCUAACUUGUGGGCCUACUAAGUUGACGGGGAUGGAGGGCUUUGUCACCUUAGUCAAUAUGCACGAUUCUAGCUCUAGUGACCGUACGAUGUCCAUCCAACGGCCGUAGUGCUUCUUCAACCUCUGGUUUUCUUGCUCCAGCCACCCAAAGCAGCGCCGGUCGUGCCGCCUACUCCUGCCUCCUGUGGCCGGCUAUGCUGCCAUGGAGGCCUUACCGCCCCCUACUACUCCCACCGCUGACCAGGCCAUCCCUCCACUCAACCACACCCCCUGUUAUUCUGCGGCGACGGCAGCCUCAUAGCGCAGCCAAACCAGUGAACCCUCGUACUCCUCUCCGCGUGGGCAUCCACUACCGUGUCUUCCCCGGCUCCGCGUCGUCCCCUUCCUAGGCCUCACCGUCAUCCACCACCGUGGUGCUCUCGGCAUGGUGUGGUCAAUGUGGUCAAUGACCGACUUUCAUCAAAAGAGUACUGUACAUGGAGAGGCUGACAGUUGGGUCCACGGCAGCCGCAAGGAAGUGCCUCCUUAUGACGCGCAAAAAAAUUAUUCCUCCACCUAACAGCAGGGACCCACCGGAUGGGCUACUGUAUUUCACGAAAAAAAUGUUUCCCUCCUGACUGCUGGGACCCACUAGCUACAUCUUCGCAUGCAAGGAAGUGCGCCCGGGCAAAAAAAUGAUUUGCCCCCUUGACGCUAGGACCCACCUGCUACAUCUUCGCACGCAAGGAAGUGCCUAACAGUCAGGACCCACCUGGUCGAAGCGUACGUAGCAUUGUCAUUCUGGUCGCGAACGUGUACGUACAUACUGGUCGAUGUAGAGGCGCGCACGAGUCAUAGUUGAGGCGCGCACGUAGCAUGUACACGUACGUACAUCGGCCAGUGUGCAAGAAAGAAAAUACGGCCACAUACGUACAUACGGGCGGGGUCUCGAACGCCUACUCGUGCAUACGUACGGCCAGGGCUCGUGUACAUGGUUGGGUCGGAACGGAGAAACUGCAUCGUCGUCGUGUUCAUGUGGCGGCAACAGAAUGCGUCGUGUUCAUCGGGAGGCAACAGAACGCGUGGGAGCCAACCGUCUUGGACAGAACAGCCGAUGGAAACGAGGCCUGGCAUACCGCAGAUCGGAGGAAACGACCUUGUGUUCGACCGGCCAUUUCCGAAACAGGAUCCUGUUCAUCGGGAGGGGUCUGGCGUACCGCAAAACAGAGAAAACGGGCUUCUGUUGGACCUCAAAAUGGGGUCUUGUUGAUCGGGAGGGGUGUGGUGUACCACAAAACAGAGGAAACAGACUUGUGUUGGAGCGCUACGGUCGAAACGGGGUUCCGGUUCAUCGUGACGGGUGUGGCAUACCGCAAAACGGGACUCCACGGGAUACUGUUCAUCUCCACCGUCGACCUCCUCUAGCCUCCACGGGCUAUUGUUCAUCCACCAUCGACCUCCUCCAACCUCCACUUGCGACUGUUCAUCCACGGGCUCCUGUUCAUCCAGCCUGCACCGUGCUAUACUACACCGGCUACUGUUCAACCAGCCCUCUCCACGGGCUCCUGUUCAACCAUCCCUCCACUGGCUACUAUUCAUCCAGCCCUUCACGGGGUCCUGUUCAUCCAGCCCCAACCGGCUCGAUCGAUCGGGGUCCUGUUCAUCCAGAGGAAACCACGGGGUCAUGUUCAUCCACCCCCACAGGGAACUGUUCAUCCAAACCCCCCAAGAAUGNNNNNNNNNNNNNNNNNNNNNNNNNNNNNNNNNNNNNNNNNNNNNNNNNNNNNNNNNNNNNNNNNNNNNNNNNNNNNNNNNNNNNNNNNNNNNNNNNNNNNNNNNNNNNNNNNNNNNNNNNNNNNNNNNNNNNNNNNNNNNNNNNNNNNNNNNNNNNNNNNNNNNNNNNNNNNNNNNNNNNNNNNNNNNNNNNNNNNNNNNNNNNNNNNNNNNNNNNNNNNNNNNNNNNNNNNNNNNNNNNNNNNNNNNNNNNNNNNNNNNNNNNNNNNNNNNNNNNNNNNNNNNNNNNNNNNNNNNNNNNNNNNNNNNNNNNNNNNNNNNNNNNNNNNNNNNNNNNNNNNNNNNNNNNNNNNNNNNNNNNNNNNNNNNNNNNNNNNNNNNNNNNNAUGCCAACUGUUCAUCCAGAGGCAGCAUCGAUUAGCUUCAGUUAGCAGCAAUAGCGAAGGAAUCACUCGGGUUCACUAAUGUAGCUAGUGCAAUCGCCCGGGUUCAGUUAGAGCCCAAUGCCUUGAUCGGGUUCAGUUAGAUCCCAACGCCUCACACACACGCGCGUACAUGUAGGAAAAUUGCCACUAUCGUAACCGAGAAAAUACUAUCUUGUGAACUCAGGCUCUACGUUUAUGCCUUAAGGUCUUUCUCCUUACCGUGGGGAGCGUACCACUUGCGUGAUUCUAGAGAAGAAGGCGGUGUCCUAACCACAAGGCGGUUAAAUUCCACUGGUGCUUGCUAGCCAGUCAAGAAUGACUCGAAGACCAUGGGAAGGAUUGCUCGGCCCCCGACCACCCACCGUAACCGAGAACUCCCCGAAAUUUUCCUCACCCUCGCUUCUACCACGGUUUUUUCCGUCAUGGACGGCCCAAAGAAUGUCAUGCAGCUACGUCUCCGGCCCGCCCAGGAUGAAAAUCCCAUUUUCUGUCAUGAUUUUUUGUCAUAGAAGUAGGAGCCCACCACAUCCAUGAUGAUACCGGGUUUUUUCACAAUUAUCGUCAUAGAAAUGUCAUAAGUAUGACAAAAAAAUUCGUUUGGCCCAAAAUGUCACGGAUGUAUCUUUUUUUUGUAGUGAUCAACCGUGUUAACUAAACACUUCCGCUUUCGGUCUACGAGGGUACGUGGACACUCUAUCCCCUCUCAUUGCUAUGCAUCACAUAGAUAGAUCUUGCGUGAUCGUAGGAAUUUUUUUUAAAUUACCGUGUUCCCCAACAUAAAAAUCUUCUUGUUAAGUACGAGGAACUUGAAAAUCGUCAUGAAAUGCUCUCAACUUCUCAUGAAAAGCUCUCCUAUGAUUAUCUUCAAAGGAAGCAAGAGCUUGAUAAAUUGAAAUCGGCUCAUGAAGAUCUUCAAAAGGAGAACGAGUCACUCCGUGUUCAAUAGAUCAGUUCCGCUCAGGAAGUAUUUGAACCACCAUGUCUAAAAUUUCUUGAGCGUGAUAAUGAUGUCUCUGUUGCUGAAUGUUCAACUGCUGCUACUGUUGCAAUAUCUUCAACUGUUAAUGUGGUAACUAACCCCUCUGCUAAGGAUACCACUACUAUUGCUGAUGAGAAUCCCAGUUAGAAGACAUUGCUUGAGACAGGAAUGUACAAAAGUCUCAAAGGGCAUCAGACACUAUGUGAUGUCGUCAAAAAACAGAUUCUAAACUGAAACCUUAGGAAAGAGGGUGUUGGGUUUGAGAGGAAAAUGAAUGUUGAUGGUUCUUACUGGAUGCCUAAGCAGUACCCCAAAACCACAUGGGUUGCUGCAAACGGACCUUCAGUGGAUCCAUCAACUUAUCUGGCUUCUCUUGUGCUAACCCAAUUAUCAUUGAUGAAUCCUUUGAUGCAACCUAUAAACUUUUCAGGAAUCAGAAUGAUGAAGUGUCUGCCAAGUAUAUUGGUACUAACUGCAGGAAUGGACCACCUCUUAAGAAGAUCUGGGUACCCAAAAGUUUUCUUGAAACUCUUCCCAUGAAUGUCAUCAUGACACCUCCGGGGAAGAAGAUAAAUCCCAGACCAAAGGCUUCAUAUGGUCGAAAGGCUUCAUACAGACAAAGGACUCACCAGAGUCACCCUAACGCCAAUGUUUUGCAGGGAAACCAUACUCAGACUCUUGAAUAUGAGCGUGUUUCGUCAAACCGCUAUGUUCAUAAGACCAAAAACUUUUCUGCUUAUUCUUAUGAGUAUUAUUCACCUCCUGCAAGGAUAUUUUCUAGAGCUCCAAAGCCGAAGUUCUCAUAUGCUUGACUUAGACUCAUUGCUUCUAAGCUUCCCCUAAAGAUGUGGGUGGUUAAGAAAACUGAACUCUCUUUUGCAGGGAAAGGUCUCCAGCUCGAAAUCAAAGGCGUCUAAUGCUUAUGCUGGGGACCUUAAACAUCUUGUGGGACGCAAGAUAAAAUGUCCAAAUGGUCUUACUAUGUAUUUCAUCUCGGGAUUCCUUGACAAUCAUCCUAUUUAUCCUAACCAAGAUCUGAACUUUCAUAUUCCGCUUAUUUGUCAAAUGUUUCUGCUUCACAAUACCCUUGGUGAAGCCUAUCCCCCAAACUGUACUGUAGGAUAUGACACCAAAGGCUUCAAAAUGGAUUAUGGAUAGUGGAUGCACUAACCACAUGACUGGUGACCGAAGUCUUCUAAUGGAUUCAACCCUACGCCCGUCUGACAAAUGUCACAUCACAUUUGCUGACACUGGUAAAAGCAAGGUAUUGGGUCUGGGUAGAGUUGCAAUAUCAAGGGAUCAACAGAUGGAUAAAGUAAUGCUUGUUGAAUCCCUUGGUUUCAACCUAAUGUCUGUCUCAAUGCUUUGUUAUCUGAACAUGAUUGUGAUAUUUGGAAAAUAUCAUUGCCUUGUGCUUAUGGAAUCUAACAAGUCUCUAGUCUUUGAAGGGUAUCGAAAAGAUGAUCUGUAUAUGGUAGAUUUCUUAGCAGGACCACAAUUGGCCGUAUGUCUUCUAGCAAAAGCUUCAGAGUGCUGGCUCUGGCAUCGGAGGCUAGUACAUACUGGCAUGAGGAACUUGUACACUCUCGCGAAGAAGAAGCAUGUCGUAGGCAUCAAGGGCAUAAAGUUCAAGAAGGAUCAUCAGUGUGGUGCUUGUGAAGCUGGGAAGAUGACUAGGGCCAAGCAUCCCUCGAAGACAAUGAUGAUGACAUCAAGUCCCUUCGAGCUGCUUCACAUGGACUUAUUCGUCCCUACUCACUACUCUACUCUUACUACCAUUUCUUGUCUCUAUGGCUUCGUUAUUGUUGAUGAUUGAUCAAGAUAUACAUGGAUGCAUAUAAUCCUCUACAAGAAUUAAGUGGAGGAUGUCUUCAGACGAUUCGCCAAUCGUGCCAUGACAAACUAUGGCAUCAAGAUCAAGCACAUCAGUAGUGACAACAUCACAGAAUUCAAGAACACCGGCCUCGACACUUAUCUUGAUACACUUGGCAUCACUCAUGAGUUCUCAGCUCCUUACACACCUCAGCAGAAUGGCAUCAUGGAGCGCGAGAAAAGAACCCUCAUUGAGAUGGCUCGGACGAUACUUUGAUGAGUACAAGACUCCAAGGAAGUUAUGGCCUGAAGCCACUGAUAGUGCAUGCCAUGUCAUCAACCGUGUUUAUCUUCACAAGCUUCUAAAGAAGAGAUCAUAUGAGUUGCUAACUGGUAAGAAGCCAAACAUCAGUUACUUCAAAGUAUUUGGUGCUAAGUGUUGGAUUAAGGAUCCGCAUCACACUUCAAAAUUUGCACCGAAAGCACAUGAAGGUUUUAUGCUUGGAUACGGAAAGGAUUCACACUCCUACAGAGUCUUCAACCUCUUUCACUAUAAAGUGGUUGAAACUAUGGAUGUGCGGUUCGAUGAGACUAACGGCUCGCAAAGAGAGCACCUGCCAAAUGUGCUAGAUGAAGUCCCUCCUAGUGAAUCUAUCAAGCUUAUGGUUACUGGAGAAAUCAUACCUUCAGAAGCUCAGGCUGAAGAAGAAAUCAUCAUUGCACCAAAAUCAACCUGAAGACAAUGGCAACCUAAAGUCAAUGCUGAAGCUGAAGACAAUGAUCUGCUAGGGCAAAUCUUUGUCCAGUACAUCGAAGAGUUGCAAAUGAAGUACAGAUUGAGAAGAUAAUUGAUAGCAUCAAUGCACCUGGUCCACUCACUCAUUCUAGAGCAACACAGCUAGCAAAUUUGUGUGAGCACUUUGCUUUUGUCUCUAUAUCUGAACCCAAGAAAGUUGCUGAAGCCUUCAUGGAACCUGAGUGGAUUCAAGCUAUGCAAGAAAAGCUUCAUCAGCUCGAGCUGAACAAUGUAUGGGAACUGGUCAAGUUUCCUGAUCCUCGCAAGCACAAUAUCAUUGGCACCAAAUGGAUCUAUCACAACAAACAAGAUGAGCAUGGUCAAGUUGUCAAAAACAAGGCUCGUCUAGUUGCUCAAGGUUACAAUCAAGUAGAAGGUAUUGACUUUGAUAAAAUAUUCGCUCACGUGGCAAGGCUUGAAGCAAUUCCCAUAUUGUUAGCGUAUGCCAACCAUCACAACAUUAUUCUAUACCUAAUGGAUGUGAAGAGUGCCUUUCUCAAUGGCAAGAUUGAAGAAGAAGUACAUGUUGCACAACCACCUGGCUUUGAAGAUCCAAAACAUCCUGAUAUGGUAUACAAGCUCAACAAGGCACUAUAUGGCCUGAAACAAACUCCUCGCGCUUGGUAUGACACACUCAAAGACUUCCUGAAGAGCGAAGGAUUCAAACCUUAUUCUCUAGAUCCUACACUCUUCACGAAGACAUAUGACGGCGAACUGUUUGUGUGCCAAAUCUAUGUGGAUGACAUUAUCUUCGGCUGCACUAACAAAAGAUACAGUGAUGAGUUUGGGCACAUGAUGCAAGAGCAAUAUCAGAUGUCCAUGAUGGGUGAGCUGAAAUUUUUCCUCGUUCUUCAAAUCAGUCAGCAGAGCAACGACACCUUCAUAUCUCAAGAAAAAUACCUCAAAGAUUGCCUGAAGAAGUUUGGAAUGCAAGACUGCAAAGGAUACACGACACCAAUGCCAACCAAAGGUCAUCUGGGCCCUGACGACAAUGGUAAAGAGUUCGAUCAAAAGGUAUACCCCUCCAUGAUUGGUUUUUUACUUUACUUAUGUGCAUCUAGGCCAGAUAUAAUGCUUAGCAUUUGCAUGUGUGACCGAUUCCAAGUGGCACCAAAGGAGUCGCAUCACCUAGCGAUGAAGCGAAUACUUCGACAUUUGGCUUACACCCCAACAAUAGGAUUAUUAUUUUUUUGACUGAACACUGUAGGGAAAGCCCGCACAGCCCUUUAUUGACUUAUCAAAAAUAAUUACAAUAAUUACAAAUGCUACCAGGAGUAGCAAGAGAAAAAGUGAAAAGCUAAAAUAAAACAAUUACAUUUAAGGAGGGAGGAAGGAGACCCAUCUAAUCAGGCCUUCCUUGUAUCUAACCUUGAUUUUAUGAGAGAGUAAAAGCAUAUCAUUCACAAAAGCUCCUCUCCACCUAUUAAAACUAGGCCUUUCCUUUCGAAAAACCUUUCCAUUCCUGAUGAUCGAAAUGUUCCAGCAAGCAAUAAAGACCACUUCAGCAAAGAAAGGAUGAGCAAAGUUCCUCCUUGAAUUGAGCACAAUCUGACUCAUGUCAUUCCCAGCUUCCCAAUCAAUCUGGAGGAAGUUCCAAACCCUCUGACUGAAAUUACAAUUGAAGAAUAGGAGAUCUCUAUUUUCCCUGGUGUGAGUGGGACAAAGCACACAAUUGACUCCAUCAUCUAUAUGCCAAUGCCUUCUUUCCACCAUAUCCUUGGUGUUGAGCCUAUCCAUUAUUAACAACCAAGCAAAUACCUUAAUCUUCAUGGUACAACAGCUCCUCCAAAUCCAAGUCAAAAAAGGAUUAAAAGUAUGAUGAAUGAACCUGGAUACAUAAAACUGUUUAGGAGUAUAGUGUUUGUGAGAGCCAUGCCAAUACCAAACAUCCUUCAAGUCAGAGUCCCUUUCAUGGUGCAACAUAAGAGAUUUCAAAACCAAGAGCUCAUUGUGAGCCUGCUCUGAAAGUUGAAGAUGGAACCAAGAGAUCAGAUCUAGGGCAGAAAAUCCCUCCUUGACUGUAACCAGAGCAUCUUUGACAAAAGAAAAUAACCUAGGAAACCUGUGCUGCAAAGGCCAAACAGAGUUUCCAAUCAGCCAUUUAUCCUGCCAGAAAAGAGCAGUAUCCCCUUCAUUAACCUUGACCCAUGUGACUUCUCUGAAUUGAUCCAAAAGUUUAAGGACAUCCUUCCACCAAAAAGAUCCACAUGGUGCAGUUCCUUGUGGGAUAAGAUCAUGGUAAUAUGAGUUCCAAAUUAGAUGAACCCAAGGAACAUCAGCCUUGUUGAGGAACUUAUUCACAUGUUUCAGAAGAAGGGCCACAUUUUGAAUGCCAAGAUCCAGAAUACCCAGCCCUCCUUUGUUUUUGGGUCGACAAAUCAAAUCCCAAGCAGCAAGAGAAGGAGCUGCUUCUUGCCUAUUUUUCCUCCACAGGCACUGCCUUUGAAUUCUCUGAAGUUGCUUCAAAAUACCAGGGGCAAUGAGCAAGCUGCAAAGGAAGAAAAUAGGCAAGGAGGACAAAGCAGAAUUCAAGUACUGUAAUCUUCCACCCUGAGCAAGAAAAGAUGAACUAGCAGACAUUCUUCUCUCCAUACAGGUAACCAGAGGCAGCACAUCAGACAUUGCAGGCCUGGAAGUUCCAACAGGCAGACCAAGGUAUGUAAAUGGCAUCUUGCCCACCUGACAACCAAAGAGGGAUGCCAAUCUUUGGGUUUCCUCCUGGGAAACAUUUAUUGGGAUCAUGGAAGACUUAUGGUAAUUAACCUCCAGGCCAGUGGACUGUGAAAAACCCAGCAAGAUUUUUUGAGAGCCAAGAGCUGAGCUUCAUCAGCAGGAACCACAAUCAAGGUGUCAUCAGCAUAUUGCACAAUUGGAUAGUCCUUGUCAUGAGAAGGAAAAGGCAGUUUAAUUUCCCCUCUGUUGUGCAUAUCAUUUACCAUAGAUUGCAAGAGAUCUGCAACAAGAACAAAAAGAAGAGGAGAUACUGGGUCUCCUUGCCUGACACCUUUUUUACAUACAAUUUUUUCCCAGGCACCCCAUUGAGCAGAACAGAGGAAGUCCCAGAAGACAAGAGAGAUUUAACCCAACCAAUCCAUUUGUCAUUAAAGCCCUUGUGUCUCAUGAUUUGAAAGAUAGCUUCAUGUUCAAUGGAAUCAAAAGCUUUCUCAAAAUCAAGUUUGAGAAUUAGAAUUGGCCUUUUAGACUGGUGACAUUGAUGCAGAUAUUCCAAAGUCCACCCAAUGCAAUCUUGUAUGGUCCUAGAUUUAAUGAAACCAUACUGGUUCUUAUGGAUGCACAUCAUUAUCAAUUCCUGAAAUCUAUUGGCCAUCAUUUUGGACAAAAACUUAAUGCCCAUGCCAGUCAAAGAAAUAGGCCUAUAAUCACCAACCAAUUCAGGUGAAAGUUUCUUAGGAAUCAAGGUGAUGAAAGACUCAUUGAUGUUCUCCAAGUUGGCUUUGCCAUCAUAAAACUCCUGGGCUAAAGCAUAAAACUCAUGCUUUGACAUCAUUAAUGUAUCCAAAGGGCUCAACAUUUGAUCUGAUUGGAUAUUCUGAUGUUGAUUAUGCUGGUGACAAGGUUGAUCGCAAGUCCACUUCAGGAACAUGUCACUUUCUUGGACGAUCUCUUGUUUGUUGGUCUUCAAAGAAGCAGAACUGUGUAUCAAUCUCCACUGUUGAAUCUGAAUAUAUUGCUGCUGGAUCGUGUUGUGCUCAGCUCCUCUAGAUGAAGCAAACUCUCAAGGACUAUGGCAUCCACACGAAGAAUGUGCCACUCUUCAAUGACAUAGAAAGCACCAUCAAGCUUUCCAAGAAUCCAGUUCAGCACAUUCUGAUCCGUCAUCACUUUAUCAGAGAUCAUGUCAACAAAGAAGAUAUUGAUAUCAUUCGCGUCAACACUGAAGAGCAAUUGGCAGAUAUCUUCACAAAGCCCUUGGAUGAGAAAAGGUUUUGCAUGUUGCGAUGUGAGCUAAAUAUCUUAGAAUCCUUAAAUGUCAUGUAGUUGGACACACAUCCUAACGCUUAUGCAUGUUGGUGACUUAGAUGUGCAACACACGAAGUAACAUAUAUCUUCAAUCAAUGAAGACCUACCCUUUGAGUGUGAAUACAUUAUCAUGGAAUUUGACUUCGGAGCGCCAUGAUAAUUGUGCGCCCUGGGUCUAAUACUUCCUAUACGGUGGGUAACGCCACCACCAAAAUUCUUAUUGAAGUGUUUCUCUUGGCAUCAUGGUUGCAUAGUCUUCGCAUUUGGUUUGUCUUCAACAUUGAUUUGACUUCAAGGUUUAUCUUCACCAUGUUGAGUUGAUAUAUAUAUAUAUAUAUAUAUAUAUAUAUAUAUAUAUAGUUGGUUGUGUUCUGUCCUCUACAACAUUCACUUAUAGCCAUGUCUUCAUUCUUGAAUCUUUAUUGAUGUAAGUGAAUAUGAUUGGACCCUAACCUAUUCUGUGCUUCUACCUCAAAAUCUAUCUGUCCAAAUCAUAUGCAUUCUAUUGAAAGUUGUCAGUUGUCUUCUCUAAGUCCUUGUCAGCAGAAGACAACGUGACAAACAUUUAAAUCUGCUUUUAAUGUUGUAUCCUUACUGCCUGAAUACCGAAGAAGCUGGAACGACCACCCAACAAUCCAGGCAUGCGUCGGAACAUGGAAAAACUUUCAAUGAGUUGCAUGCAUGCCAGGUGUCCCUCACGUGUGAACCGCGAGGGGCACCUGAGUAAUUGCGCUACGCCGCCUGUUGGGGAUAUUACCACUAGGCGUAAACCGGCCUACUUGGGCCGGGUUAACUUCAUUAGUGGUAUAAGCAGGUGAAGGCCCAAGGCCUAUAGUCGCUUUAGAAUCUGUAGCCGUAAACCGACCUGAUGUAUAACUUGUAUUGUAAGUUAGGAAUAGAGAGAUACCAACCGGGAUAUGAAUAUGAACCGGUUGGGACUCUAUGGACCGACGGGCGUCACCCGUGUAUAUAAGGGGGCGACCCGGCGGCGGUUCAGGACAGACAACGACAACUCGAGCCUGUGCGAAGCUUGUUUGCUCCCUAGCCAUCGAGACCAUAUCAAUUCCAUCACAACUAGACGUAGGCUUUACCUUCAUCGAAGGGGCCGAACUAGUAUAGAACCCUCGUGUCUUUGUGUCCGCUUUAACCCCUUCAAGUAAACCCGUGGCGAUGGCUCCACGACUAAGUCCUUUCCCUAGGACAUCUGCCGUGACAAAUCCACGACAGUUGGCGCCCACCAUGGGGCUAUCGCACGAUGGUUUGACGAUCUUGGAGGGCAAGCUCAAAGGACUCGAAGGCUAUGCUGUGGGCCAGAUGACCAAGAAUCAUCGUGGCAAGAUCUACAUCGACGACGCAGGAUGGGGUCCCGAGGCCGAUUCGAUUGAGUACGGGUACCGGGUCCCCUUUGGUGGCAUACACGUUUUCAUCGGCAAGAUCGGUAAGCCGGGGCCUGAGCCAGACAUCUGCAUCGACCUCGUCGAGACAGCUCAGCGUGCGAGAUCUACCCAGGCUAAACCGGCCGUGAAGCGUGCCUUCGUUGGAGUCAUCCACGGAGGAGGGCGUAAGGACGAGUCAGAACACGGUAGCGAGGUAGUCGUCUAUUCCGGCGACGAGUCCUCGACCGGAGAGACCGAAUCACUAUACCAGUUACAAGACGACCAGGUUAGGGGCUGUUCCGAUGGCGACAGUAUUCCGGACCCCCCAGGCCAGGUCAACCGGGUUGGAAUAUUCAUGGCCGGCACACAGGCGGCGAAUCAUUCUUCGACCGCCGCAGCAAUGCUCUCCGGAUCAGCAGGGGCAGGAGGCCUUGUGCGCCCGCCGGUUCAAGUUCUAUCUGAUCUAUUUGAUACACUAGCCGCGCUCAUGGCAGAGGACAAUCCGGCGGAUCAGGAGGCCCAUAAUACAGAAAUUGCAAAGGUGAGAGAGCAGAUCAUGCAAGCGAAAGGGGAUCUGGCCGCAGAAAAAGACAGGAUGGCCGCAGAGCGGGCCGCUUUGGACGCCCAGGCUUAUAAGCUCAUGCUUGACCAGAACGCGUCAUAGGAGGUCUUAAAGCGGAAGCACAGGUCACGCCUGCCGUUAGGGUUUGAUCCCCGGAAUCUCUUUCACACUCCAGGAGCUGGACCCAGUAAUCCGCCACGGCACCUGGAGACAAACCGGAUUGAGGCACCAAGACCAGGGGGGACGGUCCAACCUCGCCUGAUGGAACCUCCUCCCCAGAACAUUGCGAUUUUCCGCCGGUCCAGACGCCCCCAUGUCAUUAUUCUAAUCCUAUGGACAACCUUGUUGCGGCCGCCGCGCGAUUAGAGGCUAUCCCAGUCGAAGGGGACUCUCCGCAAGCGAUAGAGACGCGCCGGGUUAAGGAGCUUCUUCGGACCGCGCUGAUUCAGCAGGAAGCAUACUCGUACAGCCGUGAUCGGAUUCACUCUACGCCCCGUCCAAGCCAGAGCUAUAGCAGGCGCAUGGAUGAACCGGCCAUAUUGAGCAAUGCGCGAGGCCAUGAAGCAGCCCAUGGCAAUAGCCCGGCAGGCGGUGUUCGCGAUGCUCAGGAUGUGGUGGACCGGGCCCGGGCACGGAGGGAAGCCGAGUUAGCAGCGCAGGAUGAUGCGGAUCAACUUACACCGGUUCGCCCUACCACCUUCGCCGGACUAGGAGUCGCAUCCGCUUUGGGAGUGCCUUGUUUAAUCCCCGCUUUACGCAAUGUGCGCCUGCCCAAAGAUUUCAAGGGUCCACGAUAGGUGCCGAAUUACACCGCUGAUUUAUCCCCUGAAGCGUGGAUAGAGAGUUAUGAGAUGGCCAUGGAGAUGUUAGACGUGGAUGAGACCGCAUGUGCAAAAUACUUCACCAUGAUGCUUGAAGGCACGGCGCGUACCUGGUUGAAGAGCCUACCGCCCAAUUCUGUCAGCUCAUGGGCCCAGUUGCGGGCCCGGUUUAUCCAGAAUUUCAAGGAUACGUGUAAGCAGCCCAAAUCCAUAGUAGACCUGGCGGCUUGUGUCUAGGGGGAAGGAGAAUCAACGACCCAUUGGGUGCACCGCGUUUCAGAAAUUUUGCACUCGUCCGACAGGAUUAAUGCUGACUCUGCGAUCUUAACCCUGGAAGGCAACUGCCGGUUUGAGCCUUUAAAAUUGAAAUUGGGACACAUGAAGCGGUUCUGUAAUGACAUGGGAACCCUCAUGGCUGCGCUAGUGAAGUAUGCUGAUUCAGACAGUACCAAGGAUCCCGAGACUGAUGAUGAUGAAGCAGGGAAGGGAAGGAAGAAUAGCAACUCCAAACAGCAGCAGUAUAAACUGGCGGGUCAUGGAAACGGAGGCAAGCGCAAGGCGGAUGGCAGCAUGGACUUUGUGGCCAACACUAAUGCACAGGACAGGGGGCAGCGGCGCAGAGGUAAAGUGGCAAAUCGUAAUGGGGCUCCCAAUCCUAACGCAAGCCGCUUGAGUUAUUUGAUGAAUCAGCCUUGCCCGAAGCACGGGACGAAGGAGGCGCCGGCUAACCAUCUUUGGAAGGAUUGUUAUAUCAUGCAGGAGUUUAAAAACUCUAAUGCCUUCCGGUAUGAUCACGGGUCAGGUUGCGGUUCAGGAUCCGUUUUUCGUGGGCCGGAUCACGAUGGAGCUUCCGGUUCAGGUCGCAAUCAGGGCAGUCACAAUCACCAGAAUAAUCAGAACGGCCAGCAGCAGCAGCAGCAGUCGGGUUAUCAGAGCCAGCCAAAACAGUUGAACAAUGGGCAAUAUCAUGUUUUCACAACUAGCUUGGAUAAACGCGACCGAAAACUCCACAAGCGAGCGGUGAAUUCUGCUGAACCGGCCUUACCACGUUACUUGCGCUGGUCGGAACAACCUAUCGUGUGGAGCAGAGAGGAUCACCCGCCCCGGGUUGAUAAUCUGGGCCAGCUAGCAUUAGUGGUAGACCCUCAGGUGGGGGGUUAUAAAUUCACCAAGGUACUCAUGGAUGGAGGAAGCAGUAUUAACAUACUAUACUAUGAGACAUUCCAUCGCAUGGGUUUAACAGACAAAGAUCUCAGACCGUCUAAUACGGUGUUCCAUGGUGUGGUGCCUGGCAAAUCUGCAUAUCCUGUUGGUAAGAUAGCCCUGGACGUGGCUUUUGGGGACGAGCACGACUCCCGGUCGGAAAAACUAACAUUUGAGGUGGUGAAGAUCGAGAGCCCAUAUCAUGCCUUGUUUGGCCGGCCGGCUUACGCCAAGUUCAUGGCGCGGCCUUGUUAUAUCUACUUGCAGCUCAAGAUGCCGGGUUACAAAGGGACAAUAACGGUUCAUGGGAGCCGUAGGGUCGCUUUGGAAUGUGAGGAAGGUGAUGCGGCUUAUGCAGAGUCGGUCUGUGCCACGGAGGAGUUGAAGUACUAUAAGGACAAUGUUGAUCCAGCGGAUAUGACCCCUUUGAAGAAGCCAACUACAGAGCAUGAUUCGGAUCUGAAGUUCAAAUCGGCAGCUGAGACCAAGCUUGUUGACUUCGUGCCCGGCGAUUCGUCCAAGCAGUUCACUGUCAGUACCAAUUUGGAUCCCAAAUAGGAAAGCGCGCUCAUCGAGUUCAUCCGUGAGAAUCGGGACAUCUUCGCAUGGAAACCAUCCGACAUGCCAGGUGUACCAAGGGAACUUGCUGAGCACACUCUUAAUGUGGAUCCUAGGUAUAAACCGGUGAGGCAAUUCCUCCGCCGGUUUAACGAGGAAAGGCGAAAGGCCAUUGGAGAGGAAGUGGCCAGGCUUUCGGCAGCUGGCUUUAUCAUUGAGGUGUUCCAUCCAGAGUGGCAUGCUAAUCCGGUGCUGGUUCUUAAGAAAAAUGGCACUUGGCGUAUGUGUGUGGAUUACACAGAUCUUAACAGGGCCUGUCCAGCGGAUCCUUUUGCCCUCCCCCGCAUUGACCAGAUCAUUGAUGCCACAGCGGGUUGUGAGCGUUUGAGUUUUUUGGAUGCAUACUCUGGAUAUCAUCAGAUCAAAAUGGCGGUUAAGGACCAGGAGAAAACAGCGUUUAUUACUCCCUUUGGAGCCUUCUGCUAUGUAUCUAUGCCCUUCGGACUCAAGAGUGCCCAAGCCACCUAUCAACGGUGUGUACAGAAUUGCUUGCAUAAACAGAUCGGUCGCAAUGUGCACGCUUAUGUGGAUGAUAUUGUAGUAAAAUUAAGGCAGAAGGAGACGCUGGUGGAUGACUUGAAGGAAACCUUUGACAACUUGCGGGUUUACAAGAUGAUGCUUAAUCCGGCCAAGUGUGUUUUUCGUGUUCCGGCAGGCAAGUUACUAGGUUUCCUGGUGUCUAAUAGAGGAAUUGAGGCUAAUCCGGAGAAGAUUACAGCUAUCACCUCCCUGGCUAAACCGAAGUGCAUCAAUGAUGUUCAGCGCUUGGCGGGCCGAAUCGCCGCACUAAGCCGGUUUAUCAGCCGCCUCGGAGAAAAGGCCAUUCCUUUGUACAAAAUGUUGAGGAAGACAGACCAUUUCAUUUGGAGUCCGACUGCUGAUGAAGCAUUUGAGGACUUGAAGCAGCAGUUAGCCAAUCCUCCUGUCCUUGCAGCUCCGGUUGACAAGGAGCCACUAUUAUUAUACGUAGCAGCCAAUGCUCGGGCAGUUAGCGUGGCUAUUAUGGUGGAACGCAAGGAGGCAGGCAAGGAGUAUCCGGUUCAGCGUCCGGUUUAUUAUAUCAGCGAAGUGCUUAUUGAAUCCAAGCAAAGGUAUCCGCACUGGCAGAAGCUGGUCUAUGGUGUUUUCAUGGCCAGUCGGAAGUUGAAGCAGUAUUUUCAAGGGCAUCCCAUCACAGUGGUCAGUUCAGCUCCCUUGGGUGACAUCAUACAGAACCGGGAGGCGACUGGCCGGAUUGCCAAGUGGGCUAUAGAGCUUGGGCCACACGGACUGAAGUAUGUACCUCGGACGGCGGUGAAGUCUCAAGCACUUGUUGAUUUCAUCAAUGAUUGGACGGAGUUACAAGCACCAGAGGAGAAGCCGGAUCACACAUAUUGGACUAUUCAUUUUGAUGGAUCCAUGCAACUGGAAGGCUCGGGGGCUGGAGUCGUAUUAACUUCCCCACGAGGUGAUAAGUUUUGUUAUGUUCUCCGCUUAAUGUUCCCUUGUACUAAUAAUGCAUCUGAGUACGAAGCCUUGCUCCAUGGUCUCCAGAUGGCUAAAGAGAUGAACUUAAGCCGGGUUAAGUGCUUCGGUGACUCGGACCUCGUGGCUCAACAGGUGUCUGGCACUUGGGAUUCUAAGGACCCGCUCAUGGCUGCAUAUCGUCGGGAGGUGGAUAAUAUUGCGGGUUGUUUCAAGGGUUAUCAAGUGGAUCAUGUGGACCGUCGGAAGAAUGAAGCGGCGGACGCUUUAAGCCGGUUGGGUUCUCAGCGUAAACCGGUCCCGCCUAAUGUCUUUCUGGACGUGUUGCACAACCCGUCAGUCCAGCUCCCAGGGGAAGCGGAUUUGGCUAUUCCUGAUCCAGAGGCUCAAUUGGUGGCAGCAUUGCAUGCUAUUCCAGAUUGGGCGGUUCCUUAUCUUACGUACAUGAACCGGGGGGAGUUACCAGAGGAUAAGAUUCUAGCCAGGCAGAUAGUCCGGCGAUCCAAGUCUAUGACGAUUGUUAAUGGUGAAUUGCAUCAUUGCGGUGUAUCAGGGGCGUUUCAACGUUGUGUUUCUCCUGAGGAAGGCUGUGAAAUAUUAAGAGAAAUCCAUGAAGGGGAUUGUGGACAUCACGCCGGUUCAAAGUCUCUGGUAGCAAAGGCGUUUCGUCACGGGUUCUACUGGUUGACAGCGCAUGCUGACGCGGAGGACUUGGUUAAACGGUGUGAUGGAUGUCAGAAAUUUUCAAGGCGUGCUCAUGUGUCGGCUUAAGAAUUGAGGAUGAUCCCAAUAACGUGGCCGUUUGCAACUUGGGGGCUGGAUAUGGUCGGACCUUUUAAAAGAUCCAAGGAUAAGAAAACCCACCUUUUGGUGGCAGUUGAUAAAUUUACCAAGUGGGUUGAAGCGGAGCCUGUCAGCAAGUGUGAUGCAGCAACAGCGGUGCAGUUCAUCAAAAAGGUGAUUUCCCGGUUUGGUUUUCCACACAGUAUCAUUACUGACAAUGGUACCAAUUUAUCCAAGGGCGCUAUGAAGGAGUUCUGUGAACGUGAGCACAUCCGACUUGACGUGUCGUCAGUGGCACACCCCCAGUCCAAUGGACAGGCAGAACGAGCUAAUCAGGAAAUCUUGCGAGGCAUAAACCCCGGCUUAUGGUCCCAUUGCAAAGAAAACCAGGAUGUUGGGUUGAAGAGCUACCAUCUGUGUUAUGGAGUACCAAUACUACGCCAAACCGGUCCACAGGAUACACACCAUUUUUUAUGGUCUAUGGAGCAGAGGCAGUUCUCCCUAGUGAUAUCCGGCACGAUUCGCCUCGUGUGGCAGCUUAUGUUGAAGCGGACAAUGAGACAGCACGGCAAGACGCUUUGGACCUAUUGGACGAGGAGCGUGAUAUAGCGGCUGCCCGUUCGGCGAUUUACCAGCAAGAUCUUCGUCGCUAUCACAGUCGCCGGGUUAGAACCAGAACUUUUGAAGAAGGAGAUUUGGUGCUUCGACUCAUCCAAGAUCAGACGGAUAUGCACAAGUUAUCCCCACCUUGGGAGGGACCUUUCGUGGUCAGCAAGAAUUUGCACAACGGGUCAUACUAUCUGAUUGAUAUUCGAGAGCAUAAAGACUCACGUACAUCAGAGGAGGAGACCAACAGGUCGUGGAAUAUAGCUCAUCUUCGGCCUUACUACACUUGAGCCAUCGGCUCUAUCUAUGUACAUAUCAUGACAGUGUAUAUAUUAUCUUUGAUAUAAUAAAACCGGAGCCUCAGCUAAAGCGGGGUCUCUGUCUUUCUUAUCAUGUGUGGUUACCUGGAGUGGUUCUGUUUUUAAAGCGGCCUCCGGUUUUCCCCUUGACAUUUGCUUUUUAUAUAUCACUUGGGGCCUUGGUCGUGUCCGAACCAACGCGACACCUUUUGAUAGGCGACAACCACCAUAUCACUUGGGGACAUGGUCACGUCUAAACCAGUCACGCCUCUUGAUCGGCCUAAGGCCACAAAAUCACUUGGGGGCUUGGUCGAACCCGAACCAUUGCCACGCCUCUUGAUCUAGCAUAUAUGCCACGAAUCAUUUGGGGACCUGGCUGACUUGAAUCAUUGUCACUCCUAUUGGGGGCUUGGUCCUGUCCGACCAUGCUAACACCAUCUGAUCAGCUCAGUAUAGCAUAUUUUUUGCAAAUGGUUUUUAUCAUUGCAUUUGCUUCCAUGUUAUUUUCAUGGUUUGUUUGUUCUUUGUUUUUGUUGGAUUUCUUUUAUGUCAGCAAACCCCCUUUUUCCGGUUCAGCCGAUGGAUUUGUUUCCCCUUUAAUCCGGAGAAGUAUGCCCGGUUUACCUUUUCUUUUACGGGAGCUAUUUUCUCCCCCCUUAUUGACGGUAAUGGUUUAUAAAACCUCCGCUUCAAGCUUGGCUAAGUCAGCUUCAUGCCCAGACAUGGCAGGAAAUAUGAAUUGAAGUUUUUCGAACAAAAGCUUCAGUACUUAUGCGCGAAGGCAUAUUCAAGGCAGAAGUAUUAACUAUUCUAUUACAAGGCAGCACGGUGCCCAAAUAAGAUCGUUGUUCUUUUGGAAAGAUGCCAAAGACAGCUAUCCAAACCGGCUUCCGGUUCAAGCCUGCUCCUCAUCAUCCACCACUUCAGCUUCCUCGUCUCUACCCAUUGGCUGGAAAUCAACAGUGGUCCAGUCGAUUCCCAUUAAAGCUUGGAAAACAGCCUCUUCAUGGAUUAGGGAAGACGGUUCAAUAUCAGGAGCGUAAGUGUGCUUAUGGAUUGGACGGAUCAGAUUCUCCGCUUCAAGAGUUGGGGCAGGCACUCGCUUGUUCUGGUCAUUGUAUUAUGCUUGAUAAUGCGUCAAGUCUGCCUCUUCAGCUAGCUGACAAGCCAGAGGGCGCACUGCACGGUUUAUUGCCCUUAAAUCCUCUUCGUUAAAUUCAGAGCCAUCUUCCUUCAGGCUGGGAUAGCCUUGAGAUGCUUCCACAGGGUCGAAAUCUGGCACCCAUGCCUUUGCCCGGAUCAAAGCGUUAAUAGCUCCGGUUCGAGCAGCAGAUUUCUUCAGCUCCUCCAUCCGGGCCGGAAGCAUCGACAACCUGUUAAGAGUGUCCUGGAUUAAAGAAGGUGCCGGGUUAUUAUGAGAGGCUGUGGUGAUGAUCCGCUGGGCUCCGGUAUAUAAUUGUUCCACUAAGGUGUAGGCAGCCUUCAGUUUCUUCCGCACAUCAUUUCCUAAGUGCCCAAUGCGUGUGCCUACAACAAUACAGGGACGGUCUCACACCGGAUUUACAUUACAGCAGGUUCAAAUUAUCACAGAAGUUAAAAGGAGCUUACCAAAGAUUGCAGCGGUCAUGGAGUGUAUUUGCUGCUUUACGGUCGUAAGUUCAUCCACCACCGGUUUAAGGGCAGCUUCAGCAUUUUCCGCUCUUUUGGUUAAAGCAGCCUUCUCAGUGGCCCAAUCAGCCCGCUCUUUCUUGAAGCCCUUAUUCAGCUGUUCAGCGGUGCUCAAGGCGCUGGUAGUUCUUCCUUUGCCUUGUCUGUUUCAGCCUGUUGGGUUUUCAAGGCCUCCUGCAAAUCGGCAAUCCGGUCCUCCUUGAUUCUCACCUCAGCCUGCAUACAGACAGCAUUUAGUUUUCAAACAAACGGUCCAAAGAAAUUGAAGUAUCAACCACAUAAACAAAGUUAUACGCCUGAUACUUGGGGGCUAAUGCACCUUCAAUUUUCAUCAAGUUAUUAGAUUGCGAAGUCCCAAGCUCAAUACAGGUAUUCAACUUGGCACUUGGGGGCUAUAUUAAUGGAUUUCAAAAGUGUUGGGGAUCAUAUUCAAGUCCCGGUUUGACAAAAGCUACAAACCGACCCUUGGGGGCUAGGAGGAUUGGUGCAAAGGCAGGCAGUAAAGAAGUAAGUUACCUCAAAUUUAUCCCUCAUCAUUUUUACCAGACCAGCUUCACAGUCACGGCUAGUAUAAAGCCGGUUUAGAUAGCCGGAAUGAAGAUCUUGGGCGCUCAGAGCAGCAUAUGUCUCCAGUUCAACAACCCAUUUUUCUUUAUUCAGAGCGGAAAAAUCCUCUUUUAUGGUAUGCUUGGUUAAGGUGACAGGAUUCCCGGGUUCAAAGCGGCCUACACCGGUAAUCACAACAUCAUCAUCUUUGGACUCGCUGGUUUGUGUGAUCAGUUUGUCAACAGGACUGUGGGAUUUCUCAAUCCGGACGGAGCUGACAGGCGGGUCAGCAGAGACUGAAGUAUUAAUAGGCCUCUCUUCGGGAAUAGCAUCGUCUUGUAAAGGAGGAUCAUUGGGAAUAUCCUCAAGAGCAAAUGCCUCAAGAUCUGGCGUUUUGUCAUGUUCUUGGGCUACAUCCUCUUCGGCCGCUUUAUCCAGGCGGGCUUUCUUGCUCGGUUUAGGUUUGUCCCUGAAAGAAAACCAAAGAGUCAAGGAAAAGCAUAAGCCAUUACACAGUGUACUGGAAACAUAUGUUCAGCUUAGCUUACCCAAGAACCGUUUUUAACGGUGGCAGCUGAGUGGCCGAUGAUUCACCAGAAGAUGAAUGAGAAGUAACCUGAUAAUUGGAGUUAGAUGGGUUAAGAGGUUGACGGAAGAAACCCGCUUUAGGAUGUAAAUCAACAAAAAGGUCAGAGACAUCGGAUAACCGGACUGUUUGGUAAACCGGUGGAGGUAACUACCUGGCCAUUGUGCCGGGUUGUGCGGCGAACUUCAUGUUGCUGAAUCUUCAUAUGAAAUUUAGGAUCCAAAUAAGCAAGAGGAUGAGAAAAUUUAACUUUCCGGUUUGCCUGUCGAAGUUUUGGCAAAGGCAAGAUUUCUGAAUCGGAAGAGAGAAUAGUUACCUCAACGAAUUCCGCAUUGCUGGCUUCAACGUCAUCCUGACAAGCAUCAUCAUCAAUAAGGCGUGUAAAAAAUAAGCCAAGCGAGUCAAGUUCUACCUCAAGGUCCGGGUUACCCACAUCAUCAUCAAUAGCUGGAUCAGAUGAAGCGGUGGUUUUUCUCUUAUGAGCUCGCUUAUUAAUAACCUUGGUCUUGGGACGGAUUGGCCGCCCUGCUUUCUCCGUUUUUUCUUGAGGAAGUUUCUUGCUCCAAAACGGAUUAUCGCCCUGGAUCAGCAGUAAUUAAAUGUCAAACAUAUAAAGCAGUAACCGGUUCAACAAUAGAGCAAUUAAAAUAUUACCGCUGGCGGUUUGUUGGUGGUGCAGUAAGGAGGCAGACCGCUUUGAGCACAGAGGUGCUCCGGUUCAUUCAGCAUCUUUUUCACAGAUUAUGUGACUUCGUCAUAGGGGAGUUGGAUUUUAGUGUGUCGGAGUGGGUCAUCGACACUAUCAGUAUACUUGCACAUCAAAUUGGAGCGCCGGCUCAGAGGCAGUAUGCUCCAUGAUAUCUAGCAGCGUGCAAGAUCUAUUCCCGUUAAGCCGUUGGCCAUAAAAGCUCGGAGUUUGGACAGUUGCGGAGCGUAUUUAAUUCUUUCCUUGGCGCUUAGUCUAUGUGGAAAAGGGUGCGUGUUGCUGAGCCGUUCCGGACGGAAACCAGGCAAGGGAUUUUCAUUGUCAGGGGAGGUAUCCUUGCAAUAAAACCAAGUUGCAUUCCACUCCUUGGGGUGAGUAUGGAGUUUGACGUGGGGAUAAGUGAUUUCCUUCCUCUUCUGAAUGGCCAUACCGCCCAAUUCAGUGUUGGGGCCAUCGGUGAAUUCAGUGCGACGGUUUAAAUGAAAGAGGUCUCUAAACAAUUCGACUUAAGGCUCCUCUUGAAAGUAUACCUCAGAGAGCACUUGAAAGUGGCAUAGAUUGGUAACAGAGUUGGGGCCAAUAUCCUGUGGACAGAGCUGAAAAUUGGCUAAUAGAUCCCGGUAAAAUUUAGAGCCGGGCGGUUUGAAGCCCCGGGCCAAGUGAUCUGCGAAGACUACAACCUCUCCUUCCUGGGGGGUAGGUGGACAUUCAUUUCCAGGAACCCUCCAGUGGAUCGUACCUUUACUGUCUAAAGUGCCGAUCAAGACUAGAUCGUCCAACUGUGAUUCCGUGAUGCGAGAAGGAACCCAAUUGCACUCAUACACUUGUUUGGCCAUGGCGAGAUCUACAAGAAAUAGAUGAUCCGGUUCAAGAAAACGCUGGGUAAAAGAAGGUGUUGAUCUAAACUAUGAUAAACCGGUCUUCCACAAUGCGGCAUCAUGUGGAUUCUGGCGGUUCAACCAGGGGACUAAUGGUAUACACCGAUUUAGUAACUUUUUUCUAUGAUAAGUUAAACCGCCUGACCUAAGCAUCGGAAGAAAUUGAAGCUAUGGACAACUAGGUAUAUAGAAACAGGUUUCACAAGAUCUUAUUACAGCCACGGAUCUACAGCGAGCUCACAAAAACAGAAAAUAUUCCGAAGAGUAAGGCGGAACGGAAGUGAACCAUUGAGUGGGUAUGUGCGUGAGAUCUAUGGGCUUAGAUAAGAAAUAACAGGCGGAUGCUUAAAGAUUACUACUGAACACAGCGGGAGUUUACAAAUUCACCCAAGAGUCGAAAUACAAGUAUGAGCAAGUGACGAACACAGCACGAACAUGGAACCCUAAGAACAGAUCUAGGUCAAGAAGAGGAGAAAGCUUACUGGGAACGGAGAAGAUGCGGAACGAUACCGCAGUGCUCUGGUGCGCUCAGGUUGAUGCAGCGGCCCAAGACGAAGCAGAGGUCGACGGUGGCGGCGGAGCUCCGAGGCUGGCGACGCAAUGAAGACGAAGAAGAGAUGAGGGGAAAAGAAAGGAGAUGACCCUUCGGUCUUAUUUAUAAGGCAACAGGGUUAGGUCAAACGCGCAGAUCCAGGAGCUGCCGUUAACAGAGAGCGUUAUAAAUGACAAAUUUCAUGAUGACGUCAUGCCGGUUUACAACAACCAGAAAUGAUGACAACAUGGCGGUUUACCAAUUACCAGAAGAUGUCCAAGAUACAAGAUUUUGUGAAGGAUUGACAUGAACCAGUUCAAAUCAAUCUGGGGCCUAAUGUUGGGGAUAUUACCACUAGGGUAAACCGGCCUACUUGGGCCGGGUUAACUUCAUUAGUGGUAUAAGCAGGUGAAGGCCCAAGGCCUAUAGUCGGUUUAGAAUCUGUAGCCGUAAACCGACCUGAUGUAUAACUUGUAUUGUAAGUUAGGAAUAGAGAGAUACCAACCGGGAUACGAAUAUGAACCGGUUGGGACUCUAUGGACCGACGGGCGUCACCCGUGUAUAUAAGGGGGCGACCCGGCGGCGGUUCAGGACAGACAACGACAACUCGAGCCUGGGCGAAGCUUGUUUGCUCCCUAGCCAUCGAGACCAUAUCAAUUCCAUCACAACUAGACGUAGGCUUUACCUUCAUCGAAGGGGCCGAACUAGUAUAAAACCCUCGUGUCUUUGUGUCCGCUUUAACCCCUUCAAGUAAACCCGUGGCGAUGGCUCCACGACUAAGUCCUUUCACUAGGACAUCUGCCAUGACAAAUCCACGACACCGCCCUUCUCCUUCCUAUAAAUACUCACCUGUGUAGUCAAUAUCUGUUCUUCCACCUCACCAUCUCGCACAAACCCUAGCACCUCCGCUAGCUCGCGUCGACGCCGAAGAAGAAGCGCUUAGCUGCCGUGACUUCUUCGAUGUCGUCCUCAUGCCGGCUGCGGACCUCGUCCUCUCUGCCGCCGCUGUAGGAGUCUUCUCCCGCCAAGUUAGGGCGCGGGAGAUUGAACUGCUCGGCCUCUCUUCCAACCUUGUCUAGCAGUUCGUCAGCGGUAAUUAAAUCUCACUUUUUACUGCCUUUUGAUCCAUCAAAUCCGUCCACUUCAACCAGAAGUGGUUUCUUCACUUCCAAAUAUGGAUAUAUCUUCUCCUGCAUCUCAUAUCAUGCCAAGUAUAUUCACUUAUGCUUCAUAACUGGUUAGAUUCCUCACUUGUACUUAUUCAUGGAUUCGUACAAAUCUGGAACCAACUCUCUCCAAAUAAGUGAAUGUCUUCGCACAAUGAGGUCAAUGUCUUCUAAACUGAUUUAUCUUCCAAAUCUUCUGAGAAUGCAUAUGACCCCUUCCCCUUUCCUCGCAUCUCUAAUGCUGUCAUAGGUACAUGUCCGUGGGAGAAUCCCUUGGUUCUCAUAGUCUGCAUUCAUUUGCAGAAUAUUUACAGCAUCACAUCGAAUCUCCCGAAGCCAGUUCUUGUCUGACCAGCAGACGGAAGCCUUUCACUGUGUUGAAGCCAACAGUUUGAAUAUUAUGGCUUCAGAAAAGUCUGCAUGCAAAGGUGGCAGGAAACACCGUGGCAACACUGCACUAGAUUUGCCUCCUAAUCUGUAUGAACUGUAUAAGUCAAAUCCCGAGGAACAUUACAAUCAGCACAAGAACCGGAUUAAGUGGAUCAGAAGAUAUUGGGCUGAGGAAUGGUUCAAGUACAGGUUUGUAAUGCCUGAAUAUGCUGAAAAGAAGGCCAUCAAGCACCCAUGGGGUGACUGUCUAUAGCAAGGCUUGGUGCCAAAGAGCAAGGCUGAAGCCAUUGAGCGAAAGUUCUAUCCUUGUAUGGUCACAGGACCACGGCCUGAAAACGCCGACCCAUCUUCUCUGUUAUGGUGUCAUGAAGACAAUCUUUUCAAGCACAACUAUCAGCUUGCAAAAGAUUCAGCUGUCAACUUCAACCCUGGCCCCUCCGCUCAAAGAUCUGAUGGGACACAUGAAACUAAUUAGAACAGGAUUGGCCCCUUCGCCAAUUUUGAUGGGCUUCUGUCUCACAUUGCUGCCCAGAGAGCAGCUAUGGAGCAAUCUGCUGGAGAAGCUGAUUCUGAAGAUGCUCCCUCACCUCCAAAGGAGAAAAAGAAGAAGAAGGUAAAAGCUUCAAGACCAUCUGCUUCACCAAAAGCUUCAACUAGGAAGACUCUGAAGUAUGCACCACCCGAAUCCAGUGUGUAGUCUGAAGAUUUAUCUUGCGUGUCCAAGAGGACCAAGAAGCCAUUGCCCAAGAAGGCCACUGGGCAACCCCUGACUCCGUUUGCCAUUUUGUGCAACGAAGAUGACACCAUUGAUCUGUCCAGCGAUGAAGAUCUUGGUGAUGAUGCUCUUGAUAUGCUUAUCAAGAGCAAGCAAGAGGCAGAAAUUUUCAAUGACCUACCCCUCUUUGAUGUUGACAUUCUGAACAACUUCAUUGAUGAGUGGUUCGAUGACCAGCGCAUUAGUAUUGAUGAUCUUCAGCUUUCGGUGGACAUCAACGUCACAUUCCAUGGAGCCAUUGCUAGUGAGUUGGCCUUGGACCAGAAGAUUGUCGAGCUCAAGACCAAAAUUGAUUAUGAGAAGGCUCACUUCAAGAAGAACAUGGCCAAGCUCAGUGUGGGAGAUGUUCAAAUCUUCAAGAAGAUGUUGCAUGACCUCAAGGAAGAGUUCCACAAGAAGCGCAAUGAAGCUAAAGGUUCUCGGGAGCACAUAAAGUACUUCGCUCAGAAAUGCGUUCAAGCACAUAAUGAAGCUGAGAAGCGCAAAACUCUUGGGUGCCUUGGCAUCGAUCCCAGGAUGGCUGCCAAACAAAAUAAGCCUGCUGUGACCCAAACUGAAGCACCAAGGCAGGAAGAACCUCGCAUUGUCUUCCCUGUCAGCAUGAUAGGCUCGAAGACCAAGGUCCCCUCGACAGCUUCAGAGCUGAAGAAGACAAGGGCAGCUGAAGAUGAAUCCAAGAAGCGCAAGAAUAAGGACGCAUCUGACGAUUCCCCUUCCAAGAAAAAAAGUUGAAGACUAAGGGAACUAAGUCUUCAAAGAAAGAGUGUGUUGCAGCCUCUAAGCCUCUCAUUGUUGAACCUAUGUAAGUCGCCCCUCCAGCUGCCACCAACAAAGAUCGACGUGUUGUGAUCCACUAGCCUGCUUCCACAGAGGCUCAUGAAGAUGAACAGGUUCCAGCUGUUGACCCCAACGCAGCUGAAGACAUUGGUCAUGAAGACAAUGUUGUUGAUGAUGAAGUCCUUCCUCAACUUGAGCACCACUUGGUAUCAUCGUGUGCUCCAACGAGCAGUGAAUACAUUAGCAUUAGUCAUCCAUUGACGCCAAUCGCUCAAGAUGAUUCCUGGGCUGAGCAUCCUCAAGAAGAAAUACAUGUUCAAGAUGAAACACCCCAUACUCCAUGAGCGCAAGUCACCAAUCUAGUACUGAAUGACGACAACUACAUGGAGACCACUCCAUCACUAAAGGCAUCACCCGUGUUUCAACAGCUUCACAAAGCUCUCAUGCCAUCCGUCUCCAUGUCAACCAUGCCAGAAGAAGAUUCACAAUAAUCCAGCUCAGUGGCACGUCAAGUGUUCCCUGAAGAGAAUCCUUCUGUGACGGUUCCAGAGUCUGAAGCUAAAGUUGUUGAAGACAUACUGGCUGCAUCAGCUGAAGAAGAAUAAAGAAGAGAAGCAAGAGUUGCCACAGACCAAGUCAUUCUCGAGGAGAAUGUGAUUAUGCCAGACCCUCCGGUCGUUGACCAAAUGGAGGUUGAGAACAAUGAGGUUGCCACAAACACUGCUGAAGCCAAUGACCCUAUCUUGGCUGAAGAACAUGUGGAGCAUGUAGCUAAUGUUGUGCCUGAAGUCAAUGUGAAUCCUGAAGGUUCUGUGACGUCAGUCCCCACUGACGGUGCUAUUCCUCCCCCAAGGCCUCACACUAUGGAAACGACUUUCAAUCGUGAUGGGGAGUUGGUCACGGUUCACUGGCCAAUCAUGGUUCCUCCCACUGCUCCCGGACCACAAUAUGAUUAUCAUGUGGAACAGCGACCACAAGUUCAGAAGCCAAAGCCGAGGCUGCCAACGCUUCCAGGUGCUGCUAUAUCGCCAGGAUCAUUUAGCGUAAACAGCUUCAAGGCACACAGUACCUUCUUUGACAAAGACAAGAACCCAUACUCGAAGCCAAAAAUCUCUUCAGAUCACUCUUGGAGCCAUCAACAUCGCAGCUACUACUCUUGUAUCCUCUACAACCGAGAGCAAAUCUUUCCUCACAUGCGUCUUGAUUGUGAAGCUGUUGUUGGGCUGCCAUGCCUUGAAGAAGCUCUUGACUUCUUUCGGGAUGCUGGUCUUCUUCAAUUUGUCACUACCAAAGAGCACUGGAACGAAGAGCUCCUACUUUAGUUCUAUGCUACUCUUCACAUUCGUGGCUACAACAAGGAUCCGAAGACAUGGAUCCUCGAGUGGAUGACAUGAGAUGUGCACCAUGAAGCCAAAGCUCAAGACAUCAUCGAGCUUACCUCCCUGCCCACUCCAGGUGAAUUGUAUGAGCCUGGAUAUCAGCGUCACAGAGAAGAAUUGUAGAGUAUCUUUCAGCGGCCUGAACCCAAUAUGAGUCACAUGCUCAGUAUGAUGAAGCCAUUGCCUCAAGAUGCAGAAUAUCCCAAGGAAUUCUUCAUCAAGGACCUCGAGUACUUGCCCCGCACAGUCUAUCAUAUACUGAGGCAUACUCUAUGGCCAAUCAAGGGACAUUCUUCUGAAGCCAAACUUGAAGGAGCCAUGAAGACCUUGGUAUUUUAUAUUGUCAAUGGCAUCAGAUUCAACUCCCAGGAUUUCAUCAUCAGACAACCUGCUGCAUCUGGGAUUGAUCUAUUUGGCCUGAAGUUCUAUGCUCCAUGGGUGAUACGCCUGAUAAAACUCCACUCUUCUGUCAACUAUCACCCCUCAUCACGCAAUCAUCUUGUCUUUCUGCCUGAGGUUGAUCUGUCAGUUGAAGCCAUCUACCCCGAGCCUGCCAAGGAGCCUCUAUAUCUUCAUAAUGUUGAUCAUCAAAGCUUCACACAACCAAUAGAAGGUGUUCAUGUCACCAAUGCUACAUCUCCUGCUUAUCCUCUGGGUGGCAAUGUGCAUAUGCCACAUCAUGCAAACACUGAAGCCACUGCUAGUACGAUUGCCCAAAGGCCUCAGAAGCGUUCUCGUGUACUCAAUGAUCGAGAUCUCCUUGUGGCCUUACAUCAGAAGUAGGACAAGCACCACGACUGGCUAAAGCAUCCAAUGCAUAGUCUCUUGGUGGAUGUCAAUCGCAUUCGCAACCUGGCCACCAAGAACUCAUUUGUUGCCCAUGAAACCUCACGGCGGUCCUGGAAGAGCCUCACCCUGCAGCAUUCUGAAGAUGAUCUUUGCGCAGAUGGCUUCACCCAGGGCUUCAAGAUUGAUUCCAGGCCUCCACAAAAUGCAAGUUGGUGCCGCACUCCCUCACUUGAAGAUUCUGAAUAUUCAUCUUCGGAUGCAACUAUUGUUGCGAAUGUCGUCGAUGAAGAAGACGACGCCACUUCACCAACCAUGGCUCCACUUCAUCUCGACACUGCAUCAGCCCCUUCUGCACCACCAAACUCCAAUGUCGACCCUGUUCCAGCUUCUGCUCCUUCUGGGAACGAGUAGAUGCUCUAUGUCUUCAAACCUUUUAGGUCAUUACUGACAAAAUGGGGAGAAGCAUAUGAGUUGAUAGUCUUCAAGCGGGUCCUUAUGGCUGGUUGCAUUAUUUUGUCAAGUAUUUACAACUCUCUUCUUUUGAUACAUUUUGUUCUUUGAGUUGUAACACUUAAACUCGAUGGUCGUCUACUCUUUUUCUGAUACUCUAUGAUGCGAUGAUAAUUCCGCAUGAAGUCAUUCUGAAGACGUCAAUUUUCCAUUAUGCAUAUCAUUAUCUUAAGUAUCUACUUAUAUGCAUAAUGUAUUGUCUUCACACUUUGAAGAUGGCCUCCACAAAGCAAAACUUGCCAUGUGCAUUUGCAUUCAAAAGCAAAUCAUUUGUAUGCACAUCUUCUGGGGGAGCCUCAUCAUAUGUAUGAAUACAAUACUCACAACACAAAACUUUCACAUACUUUUAUCCCUGUUGAAAACUUCAACCAGUUUGUCAUCAAUAACCAAAAAGGGGGAGAUUGUAAGUGCAUCUAGUGCCACCCCUAGUUGGUUUUGGAGUAUUGACGACAAACUUGGUUGAGGGACUAAUGUGUUUGUGAGAAUUGCAAGAUAAUACAGGUAGUAGUCCCAUAUUGAUUCGGUUUACCUACUAGAGAUGACCCCUAAAAAUGUGUGAAGACAUUGAAGACAAUGGUGGUCUGUGAAGAUAUUUACAUUGAAGACUAUGACAUGAUAAGACAUCGCAUAAAUACUAUGGAGUGCGAAGACAUAGUUGUUUCGUAGUUUCCUUUUCUUCCUUGUUGAGUCAUAGGAACCACCGUACUAUUAAGUAGGGUCCAAGUGAACAAAGUCAGAGUGACUGAGGUGUUGCUCAAACAAAUCCUAUGUCUUCGAGCGAAGACAAUGAGAGCAAAUCUUAUCAAGAGCUAGAUGAGUCGGCUUUACUUGUAGCCCAAGUCAAGUUGCCGCGUGUGUUUAAAAUUUGACCGUUGGACACAUGUCAGUUCGUGUUGCCUCCUGGCUAUAAAUAGCCCACCACCUACACCAUAAAUUGGUGGCUGCUUAGAGUUAGUGCACGAAUUUUGUCAUUUGAGAGAAACCCACCUCCGAAGCCUUUGAGAGAGUAAUCCUUGCAAGGACAAAGCCCAAAGCACCCAGAGCCAAAGAGUGUUAGGCAUCACUGAAGUCUUUCCGUCCACGUGAUCUGAAGACUUAUUACACUUGAGGACUGUGAAUCCUCCAGCCGGUUAGGCGUCGCGUUCUGAGCAUCCAAGAGUCAUUGUGGAUUGCCGGUGAACGAAGUUUUUGAAGGUCUGGAAGUCUCCCUUGAAGACUUGCGAGAGUGAUUGGGCAAGGACUAAGUGUUCUUAGAUCAAGGGGAAUAAGGUGAAGACGCGAUCUUCUGAGUUGAAUCUCAGCCUCCCUAACCAGACGUACAGUUGUCCCAGCAACUGGAACUGGUCCAACAAAUCCAUGUCCUCUCCGAGCAACUGGUUCCAUCUUUCAUCUCUCUUUACUUACAGUAUGUCUUCGUGAAGUCAUUGCCCAUUUGUCUGAUCUGAUUGACUUCAGUGAGUGAAGACUGUUUACUGUUUGUCUUCAUACUAUCUUCCAUCCUGAUCUUUACUACCUAGCUGCUGAUAGUCUUCAUGCUUUCACUUUAUUGCUUAAUUGACUAUGGCUUGUCUAGUGUAGUCUACCUUCCGCUGCAUAUCAAUAGGUUCAUUUCUAUUGUUUGUCUUCAAAGCAUUUGUGUUUUGAAGACUUUCAUAAAAAUUGCCUAUUCACCCCCCACCCUCUAGUCGAAUACUAGCACUUUCAGUUAGAUUUAGAAAUCACAUCACACAUGCACUGAACUUUACCAUGCUUACUUAAACCUCUAAUAUUCCAAAUAAGACCUAUCAUGUCAAGGAAUUCUCUAAGGGUGAGACAAGCCACAAGGCUUAGCUUUAGUGAGGACGGCAGGAGAUCUAUCUAUCACAUCAGUAGUGCCAACUGAUGCAACAGAGGGUUCUCUAGCAGGGGUCCCAACUAGAUCCUCGUGAGUUAAGUCAAUAUUAGUAGGUAGGACAGUUUUAGGAUGAUCAUUAGCAAAAGCAAUGCAUUUUUCUGUUCUCUAACAACCAGAUCUUCAAUAAUUUCAUACAUGGUAUCAAUAUUACUACUAAUAGUGAGACGAACCUGAUUAGCUUGAGUAGCAAUUUGAACUGGACUAACAGUGGGGAAAGAUUUACCUUUAAAGGUUUGAGGAAUCACCAAAUUCUUCUUCAUCUUAUAGUUGGUUGCUUUCUCAAUCAUGUUCACAUAACCAUGAAGCCUAGUGCCAUACUUUUGAACCAGAACUAGCCCCAAUUUUGAGUGUUUGUCUUCUUUUUUGCCUCCAGAUUGUGCUUGUUCAGUGUUUCUAGCAGAGAGUGUUUUAGACCAUUAGAUUGCAGUUUUUGGAUUGUAUCAGGGGAGAGAACUCCAACUUCCACCUCUUCUUCACUUUUUUCAUCAUCAGGCAUAGACAUGUCCACUGAUUUCAGUAGAUCCAAGCAGUAGCUCAUACUGCCACUCCUAUCUUCAUCAUCAACUACCUUGCGACACACCAUCUCAGGAGUAAAAACUCCACUCAUUUUGUUGAUUGUACCAUUAGUAUUAGGAGACAACACCUUCUCACUUGCAAAAUCAUUCAAAACAUUUUCCAUUUUGCCUGAGAUACAUUCUAGGAUGAAGUUUUCAUGAUCAAAAUAAGUGCAGUCAUUCAGUGUGUUAUAGGUUGUCUUUCUACCAGUAGAGCCAUUACCAUUUUUAGGGGUAAGGUUUUCUUUAUCAAGCUUAUCAAUGGCAGUGUCAUCAUCAAGGAGAUCAUCAGUCCCAUCAUCCUUAGGCAGCUCAUGAUUUUCCUAAUUUCCAUUGUCUUCAUUGGUACCCUCAUCAUCUUCCUCAUCUUCAAAUUCAACCACAGAGCCCCUACCUCCAACCUGCUCAAAGCCUUCCACAGUAAAUCCAAGAAGAAAUAGCUUUUUCUUCAUUUCAAUCAACCUCUCAAAUGGGAUUUUACUAGGGUCCCUGUAGGCUAUCUUGAUUCUCGCAUUUACAAAAAAAGUUCUGAACAUACCAUUCCAGUCAACAUCAGCGAGAACACCAAACAUAAAAGCAAUUUGUGCAAAAACCUUCUAGGAACACCACUUAGGAGGAAUCCCCUCAAUCAACACCCAAGCUUCAGUCAUCUCCCCAAAAGGGUCACAGGUCCCAGUCCAUUCGGUCAUCUUGAAAGAAACAUCUUGAGGCAAACUGAAGCCAGGAAGUUCAAUCAAGUCCUCUAUUUUCUCCCAUGGGGGAAAUCUGACUAGAUAUGUUUUACUAGUCAAUUCCCUAAUUUGCCAUGGCCAAUAUCUAGUUUUACAGAAAGUGGCAGUUAGAAGACCCAUCAAUUUCUCUUUAUCUACUUCUCCUUUGGUAAUGUUGACCACACCAUAAUUCUGAAAGUUAGGCCACUUAGAUUCACUUGUCACAGGCACAUCGACAUGGUAGAAACCAAUACCGCUCGCACCACUACCAAAAUAAGCAGCAGUGGGUUGACCCCUAGCCCAAGCGGAGCAGUUGUUGACAGUGCAGUUUUGCUGGCAGAUAAAGAAAGUUUUAGGUUUAACACACUUCCCAACAUAGUGACCAGGGCCUCCACAGUUAAAGCAAAUCAUGUCCUUAUAUCUAUGGUCCAAAGGUUGCUCUAACUCUACUUCACUAGCUUGAUAUGAUUGAACUUGAGAGGAGGUGGCAGUGGACCCAGUAGAUCUAGUCGGCCUUUGAGGAGGAACGGUCCUUACCAAAAGCAGAUGGCUGCUUGGCUCCACCAGCACUAGAGGCAGGUUUCUGCACCGUUGUCCGAGCAUGGCCAGCGGCCCUAGAAGGGUUAGCUCCUCGACGAUCUGCCAUCUUCAAGCCUCGUUUGACCACUUCAACAAAGGAUAGAGAUCCUCGCUAAUUCCUUCAUGGAUCAGCUUGAUGGUUUUCGGAGUAGGAUCAAAAGCACGGCGGAUAGCGGGGUAGCAAUCAGAGGCCAGGUAUGACCUAUUUGCCACAAGAUCUUUUCGGAUCCAACAAAGGAACCUAGUGGGAGCAGAAUAUUUACGGGGUGGGAGGGCAGUGUUAGGUAGACAGCAGCGUGGGGGGAGGAAUGAGCCAUAACUGGCCGAAGUGUUCCUAUAUUUCUAGGUUUUCCUCCGUAUAUGGACACAUAUUUCUAAAAAACCCUCUUCCUCUUGACAACACGCCCUCUGAAAGAAGGACCCACAAGUAGUGGGGAAGCGGGGCGCGGAGUCUGAAGCACACAAUCCCCUGUUCUGCAUGCAUCAGCCUGAACACGACUUGCUGGCAGCGAGUUCGCCAUGGCAGGCAGCAUCUCCUUACUAGGCUCAGCCGCAGAAGCAGCAACCAUUUCCAUGUUGACAUUUUCAUCUAUAGGGACAACCCUAGAACUAGUAUCAUCAGCAGUUUAAGCAAUGGGGGGAACGCAUUUGCGAGAUUUGAGCAAACUCUCAUGGAAAGCAAACAAGCAAGAAUGAAACAUGGGAGGAAGGAGGAUAAGAGGCAUACCAUCCUCACCAGGCCAAGAAGGGGCUUUAAUGGUAUGUUGGCGCAUCCGCCCCUGCUUCGAGUGGGUCAGAUCCGGUGGGCAGGCGGUUGAAUCCCCGGCGGCAGAGCCCCGAGCAGAAUGUUGGCCAGCGCAUCCACCCGCGGAGGGUUGAUGUUGAGCCGCGAGGGAUUUGCUGUUCGGUAGAACGCCCACCUCGCCGCCUGCUCUGGAUCCGCCGAUUUGGCCUCCUGAAUCGCCCAGAAUAGGAACUCCACAUCGUCCACUCCCUCGUCGUCGAUGAACCGCGACUCUUCAAAUUUCACAAAUUCAAUUUCUUCCAAUCUCCUAAGUUGAUGAUCCAUGCUUUUUGGCUGCGCCAUCAAGGCAAACAAGCACACCAACACACAAGCACACAAGAAGCAAGCGAAAAAGACGAAUGGAAGAGGGGCAAAGAAAAGGCAAAAAGAAUUGAAAAUCGUUUUAGAAGUGGGGGAGAGGAAAACGAGAGGCGAUGAAUAAUGUAAUGCAAGAGAGAAGAGUUUAUGAUGGGUACUUGGUAUGGCUUAACUUGACGUAGAUCUCCCUGGCAAGGGCGCCAGAAAUUCUUCCUGCUACCUCUUGAGCUUGCGUUGGUUUUUCCCUUGAAGAGGAAAGGGUGAUGCAGCAAAGUAGAUUAAGUAUUUCCCUCAGUUUGAGAACCAAGGUAUCAAUCCAGUAGGAGACAACGCACAAGUCACCGAAUACCUGCAAAAACAAUCAACAACUUGCAUCCAACAUCAUAAAGGGGUUGUCAAUCCCUUCAUGGUUACUUGCAAAAGUGAGAUCUGAUAGAGAUAGAUAAACGGUAAAGUAAUAUUUUUGGUAUUUUUGGUUUAUAGAUCGGAAAGUAAAAGAUUUCAAAAUAGUAGAUCGGAAACUAGUAUGAUGUAAAAGAGAUUCAAUAUAAUGGAAAAGAGACCCGGGGGCCAUAGGUUUCACUAGUGGCUUCUCUCAAGAUAGCAAAUAAUACGGUGGGUGAACAAAGUACUGUCGAUCGAUUGAUAAAAGAGCGCAUAAUUAUGAUGAUAUCUAAGGCAAUGAUCAUGAACAUAGGCAUCAUGUCCGUGUCAAGUAGAUCGAAACGAUUCUGCAUCUACUACUAUUACUCCACACAUCGACCACUAUCCAGCAUGCAUCUAGAGUAUUAAGUUCAUAAAGAACGGAGUAACGCAUUAAGUAAGAUGGCAUGAUGUAGAGGAAUUAACUCAAGCAAUAUGAUGAAAACCCCAUCUUUUUAUCCUCGAUGGCAACAAUACAAUACGUGUGUUGCUGCCCCAACUCUCAUUGGGAAAGGACACCGCAAGAUUGAACCCAAAGCAAGCACUUCUCCCAUUGCAAGAAAAACCAAUCUAGUAGGCCAAACUAAACCGAUAAUUCGAAGAGACUUGCAAAGAUAGCAAAUCAUGCAUAUAAGAAUUCAGAGAAGACUCAAAUAAUAUUCAUAGAUAAUCUGAUCAUAAAUCCGCGAUUCUUCGAAUCUUGACAAACACACCAAAAAAUAAUAUUACAUCGAAUAGAUCUCCAAGAACAUCGAGGAGAACAUGGUAUUGAGACUCGAAGAGAGAGAAGGAGCCAUCUAGCUACUAGUUAUGGACCUGUAGGUCUAUGGUAAACUACUCACGCUUCAUCGGAGAGGCAAUGGUGUUGAUGUAGAAGCCUUUCAUGGUUGAAUCCCCCUCCAGCAGGACACCGGAAGAGGUCCCCAGAUGGGAUCUCACGGGUACAGAAGGUUGCGGCGGUGGAAAAGUGGUUUCGUUGCUCCCAUGGAUGUUUUCAGGGUAUAAGAGUAUAUAUAGGAGAAGGAACUAGGUCAGGAGACCCACGGGGGGGCCCACGAGACAGGGGGCGCCCUACCCCCUGGGCUCGCCCUCCACCCUCGUGGCUGCCUCGUUGCGUCUCCGAGUUCAUCUCCAGGUCUCCCUGGUUUGCUUCUGGUGCAAGAAAGAUCAUCGCAAAAGUUUCAUUCUGUUUGGACUCCGUUUAGUAUUCCUUUUCUGCAAAACUCUAAAAUAGGCAAAAAAAAUAAACUGGCACUGGGCUCUCGGUUAAUAGGUUACUACCAAAGAUAAUAUAAAAUAGCAUAUAAAUGCCUAUUAAACAUCCAAACAGAUAAUAUAAUAGCAUGGAACAAUAAAAAAUUAUAGAUACGUUGGAGACAUAUCAAUGAGCUCCAGGUUCAUGGCUCACCAGGCUCCGUUGGCUUCACCAACAGCUGUCUGUGAGCACUUGCAUAGGUUAGCUGAGAUGCGUCACGUCCCCUCUCUGCUUUAUCUAGACAGCUGUAAAAGUAUGGUCAAAAAUUAAAGAGGGGAGCCAAAUGGGAGCACGACUUAGAAAUAGCCAGGGUAGACCAAGGUUAGCCAGUGUAGUCCACUGUCAAAUUUAGGAAAAUUUGACAAUGGAUUCAGUUACUACGCAAGUAUGCACAUUAAAUUAAUAUAAUGGGAUAUUUUCCCAUGCCACGCACACACACUCGAGGGCUGGACGCGAGUACAUGAUCUAAUCAAUCCUGGCCCCCUUGUGUUGUGUCUUGGGGUGUGAUAAGAGUUUCGGAGGAUCAACAGAGUUUAGCAACAGAUAGCAGAGUUUUGCAAUAUCUGCGCUUUCAGAAGGGGGAGGGGGGGUCGAUGUCCCGUUUCACCUCCACGAGGCUCCUCCGGUGCUAGUAUGUGACUUAGCAGUCUCUAUAAUUGGAGGAGACACUCUCAAAUAUAGGCAGUGCCAUCUGCGCAAAGAACAUACGCAUGAUAUAGGGAUAUCAAAUAAAUAAUGGUAAUUAGAUCCAUGUCGUGGGAUGAUUUAAACUCCAUUUAUUUGAUAUUGUGAAGGUAGGUCUCUUUAGAAAGACCAAGCAUUAUACAGAUUUUCUUUCUGUCUUUCCACAGUAUACGAUCGUAUUAGUCUUGCCUUCUGAGCUACUCUUGCUAUGAUUCACGCAUACUCGAUGGCAACCUGAUUAACCAGAGACUGAGCAUCUCUUAUUUAUCACUAUGAUUGUUUUUUUUUAAUUCCUCUCAUGUAUUGUGAUCUCAAUUGCUUUAAGCAGUUCCCCCUGACCUUACAUUUUGUGUUCUUGGGUACUAUAGGAAACCCAACGUGUGUUCAGGAUACCACACAGAACGGUUCUUGACAGCCUCCUAGCACACCUUGGUUUAUCACCAGCCGGGUGCGAGCAUGCUGUUCAUGAGGACGGCAAGAUCCAUGUAACCGUCUCUUUCAACACCUCUAGAUUGACCUUGGGGCACCGAUCAGUGACAUUUCUGUGCCAGGGUUUUAUUGCACCGACGAUGAGGCUGUCAAGGAUACCGCUGCAAUAAAGGCUAUCAGAUACAUAGAGGAUAUGACUAACACGGUUGCAAGAGACUUGAAAUUUGCUUUGUCCAAACGACAUCAGCACCGUGCCGAGCGCUUCCGGCGGUAGUUAGAGGAGUGAAGGACCAAUAAGAUGAUGCUUGCUAGAGGUUGGCAUCUUGCCGUCAGAUACAUGCAUUACUUUUCUGUGCACAUUAGGAAUGUGGUUGCCAUGGACUACUCUGUUGGAGAUCUUCCUAACAUGAUGGAAGACACAAGCAGCCGCUCCGAAGGACAUCUGGAAAAGGCCACACUAUUAGAUGGCGCCUCUCCUAAUUCACAGCUUCUCCUAUGCCUACCAAAGUGAUUUCGUCUUACUGUACAUAUAUUACACUUUCUAGAUGCUUGAGUGCAGAACUCAUUGUACUCUAUAUAUCUUACAAUUUGUUUGUAUCAGGUUACGUGUGAGGUGGUCCCUGUGAAGUACAUCGAUAAGGAAGAUGAAUUACAUGGGUUCGUAGUUGGCUCUUCUUAUGUGUUCUCGCUUUUGGUAUCCAACUUCGUGUUGAAUAGCCGUCUUUUGUGGUUGGAUAAAUGCACCGAGCUUGAUCAUGUCUUAUAAUCUGAUGUUGAUCUUGAGAUCCAUUGUGUUUUACUUCUAUCACAAUUGAAUGUUUCUUUAUCUCAUUAUCAUCCUGUAUAAGUACAAAUGAUAUACUUGUGUUUCUACUGGCAUGUUGUUACAUGCUUCGGCAAAACGUUGAGACCGGCACCCUUGCGCCAAGGCACGGUUCCGAUCUAGUAUGUGAACAGGCCGCUAAUCGAUUGAUCGUGGUCAUUUGUUUUUUACAGUCCUAUGUACACCUUUCUUAUAUACCCCUAAAAAAUAUACUACCUCUAUAACAAAAUAUAAAAGCGUUUAGAUCACUAAACCUUUCUCAUACAGUCUCUUUGGGAGUAUACUUUAGGAGACGGUCGGGCUGUGAAAGCUGGCCGAGGCGUAAGGCCAACUCCAACGCGCACCCUCAUCUGGUCCCGUUUCAUCCGUUUGAGACAAAACACGACCCAACGGGCAUACCCAAAUGGACAAAGUGGUUCAUUGGUGUCCACUUUUGUCCGGCCCAACCCCAAAACUAGACCAAACUUGGGCCAUAAAUGCAGCUGGACAGACGCGGCCGGACGCUCCUCUCGCUCCUUCUCGUCCGCUUCUGUCCGUCCCGUGGCCCACAUAUCAGCGACCGCAAGAGCCCUACCUCGAUUCCCACAGCACACGCUGUGCAUCUCGUCGCCACUACCACUGCAGCUCACGGCGGACAAGGGCUCCUCCGGGUACUGCCGCACCAGGUCCGCGGCCUCUCACGCGAGGCAUAGGGCACGACCAGCAAGGCCAGCGCGCCGAGCACGGCAUGAGCGCGAGCGCGUCGAGCAUGGCCAGGGGCGGCGCGCUCUGGCGGCGUUGCGGCGGGGCAACGCUGCGGGGCAGGGUGGGCGCGCUCCGGCGAGCGCGGGGCCGCGGGGCAGCCGGGGAUCUCAGGGCGGUUGAGGGGCGGCCGGGAAGCUCGGGGCGGGCGCACUCCGGCAAGGCAGGUUGCGACGGUGAGGCGGAGAAGCUCGGCGCGGGCGGGGCGGGGCGGUGGCAACGAAGGAGCUCGGGGCGAGGCGGCGGAGCUCGGGGCGGGGAAGGACGACGGCGAAGCAGAGGAGCUCGCGCGGGGCACGUCCGUUUGGGGUCGGGACGUCUCGUGCACGUUGGGCGCGGAUGCUCCAGGCGCAUGUCGGCCCCCCGGACGUCCGUCAAUUCGCACCCCAAAUGGACAGAAACGACGUCCGUUUGGGGAUCUGCAUUGGAGUUAGCCUAACGGCAUGUACUCUAUUUACUGCUGGGGAGAAUAUCAUAUGGUCGUGCCGGUCAAGGGUUAUUGAAAGAAAACUACAUUCUGGUUUUAUUUCUACGGGGAAAAUGGAAAUCUGCAUUAUGUGGGUGUGUGCAAACGAACGACCCGACAGCGGUAUAGACCAAAGAAAUGACCACCGAUCGGUAUUACCGAUCCUAAUCCCAGCCACGUACGCCCUCAUUGUUAGCAGCAAGCCAUGCCGAUGUGUGUGUGCGUGCGUGUGUGGCAUGGUCGCGUGUGUAGUGUGUCUGGCCAUUGUACGACCGUGUGUGUUUUAGCUACAAGGGUGGCCGUGCAUGUAGCUGGCUGGCGGGUUGUUAGUGCGUGCGUUGGUCAGUUGGCGAUGGAGCCGGAGGGUGACCGCGUCCAGGGCUGUUUGAUGGCCGCGUCGUCUGUUUACGGGCGCGACCAGAGCCCAAGCCAGGUACGGCAUGGGAUGCGGGGCGUGGGCGAGUGCGUGCGUACAAGCACACGUAUAAAGCCCAGGUGGCCUCUGUGUAUCGCUGGCUAUGGCCGGGCUGAGUUUGUGCUCAGGGGAAAAAGGUGUUCGUGCGCCUGGAAACUUGCCGUGUCCUUGUUCUUCCUUCUCCUUCCUCCUUCUUCUUGUGUUGAUCUAGUUCAGAGAAAGAGAGAGAGGUGCAGCGUGAGAGAGAGGUAAAGCUAGGGCAUAGCCACGGCAACAACAAUUGGUAUACAGAGCCACAGGUUUGGGGGGCGGCCCUGGCGUGUGGCCGUGUCCGCGGUGCGCACGGCGAGCGUGACGGAGAUGGAGGCUGCGGCCACGGCGUCCGCGGCGAGCGCGGCUGACAUGGACGUGUCGGCUGCGAUGCGCGGCCAUGCACGGUGAUGCCGUGCGCGCAACGAGCAGCGGCAAUCUCGGAGAUGAGGAGGUCGCAGAGGAUCUGCGUGGUGGCACAGAGGCCGCGAAGGCUCGGCGCGACGAUCGUGGAGCCGCUGCGCUGCGGUUGACGGCGCAGCGGUGCAAGGGCAAUAAGUGCCGCGGCGAGCCGGGCGUGACCAGUGCGUGUUAUGGGUGCGCACUGGACGCGUCGGGCACGUCGGGACUGCGGGAGUGGACCGUGUCGAGGCGCUGGACCUGGUUGCGCAGAUCGCGUACGUGCACGGAGGGAGCGCGGGCCAGGAGCGCGGGGACAUGGGGAGUGCGCGCGAAGGGCACGGCAGCACGGUGGCAGGCGUGGCAGCGACGUCGGGGCGGUGGCGGCUACAACGACGACGACGUCGACGGCGCGGCGGAGCGCGCACUGCCGGCGUGGCGAAGGCAGCGGAGGACUGACCGCGUCAGGGCGCUAGACUCGGGCCGUGGCGACUGCGUGCGUGCGCGUCGUGUACACGAGUUUGGGAGCGCGGGACGUGCGGUGCUGCGCGGUAGAGGCGGUGCGACGGCCAUGGCGCGACGUCAACGACGAGCCUAACAUGUGCAAGGUCAUGGCUUGGGGCGUGAAUGUUAGCAGCAAGCUAUGCCCAUGUGUGUGUGCGUGCGUGUGUGGCAUGGUCGCGUGCGUAGUGUGUCUGGCCAUGGUACGACCGUGUGUGAUUUGGCUAGGUGGUUAGCUACAAGGGUGGCCGUGUAUGUAGCUGACCGGCGGGUUGUUAGUGCGUGCGUUGGUCAGUUGGCGAUGGAGCCGGAGGGUGACCGGGUCCAGGGCUGUUUGGUGGCCGCGUCGUCUACGUACGGGCGUGACGGGAGCUAGCGCGAGCCAGGUACGACAUGGGAUGCGGGGCGUGGGCGAGUGCGUGCGUACAAGCACACGUAUAAAGCCCAGGUGGCCUCUGUGUAUCGCUGGCUAUGGUCGGGCUGAGUUUGUGCUCAGGGAAAAAGGUGUUCGUGCGCCUGGAAACUUGCCGUGUCUUUGUUCUUCCUUCUCCUUCCUCCUUCUUCUGUUGAUCUAGUUCAGAGAAAGAGAGAGAGGUGCAGCGUGAGAGAGAGGUAAAGCUAGGGCAUAACCAC
This 178511-nucleotide long non-coding RNA is filed under the name Triticum aestivum (bread wheat). Its description in RNAcentral is "long non-coding RNA (TAES_LNC012604)". The record is from RNAcentral. Lineage: Eukaryota; Viridiplantae; Streptophyta; Magnoliopsida; Poales; Poaceae.